UCUCAAUCUUGUCGGACUAGGCAUCUCCUUCGACCAAACUGUAGCUGUACACAAAGUUGUCUUUGUCAAUCCCAUCGAUCUUGUGGGUCACUGAGCCGAACUGGCUGCCUUCGCCAAAGGUGAUCUUCUUGAUGGUGCCUACGCCUCCGUCUCCUUCAAUGAUUUCAGCACACUUCACUGCUUGUGGAGCAAUCUUUGGGAUGAGAUUGUCAGCAUCAAGGAUAAAAGCCUUGAAUAAUCUUGGUGGGGGGAUGAUGGAGGUGAACUCGGUUUCAUAAGUGAACACACCCAUUAUCAGCUUAUGAGUUUGAGAAAUGAUCAAAAGGAAAGAAGAAUUAUGCAAAUUGGUGUUUAGGAACUGGAGGAGGUUUUUGAUUUGUGAGAGAAGAGAAUGCCAGGGGUGGUAUUUAUAGGUUACUCAAGGGAAGAGUUGGUGUGACUGAUGAGGUUGAAGGUCACCAUAUGGAGACUUAGCUAGUGUGAAUUAAGAAGUGUCCCUGUAGAUGCAAGCUGUACUUAAUAUUCUCUUGGAUAUAUCCAGAAUGGUCAAGCAAAGCACCCCAUCCCCAAUUAUAAUUGGUACCUAAUUGGCUUUGGAUGGUGAAGUGAACAAAAUAAAAUGCAUGGGUCAGGUUCUAGAUGUUCUUCUCUGCACAUUCUCUUUGAAAUUUCAGUUUAUACACGUAAUGUCGAGCAGUCAACAUUGGCUAUCCCAUAUAUCAGUUUCUUUUUGUAUCAAUACUGGCUUGUAUUGACUGCAAAAACUAGCUAGCUAGUACUUCACAAUCAAAAAUGCAAAGUCUAAUAGUUAAAAAAAAUCAGUGUGCUUCCUUUUCCAGGUUAGGAUGAGAAGUUGGGGUUUUUACAUCAAAGAAUCAGCCAAUUAAGGCGGCAUCGUAGACUUGAACAAUUUUUCACAGGGAAAUAUUAGUUCUUUGAAAAUUCCCUAUGUCUAAGCUCAAGCUUUGAUCUUCAAGGGGUGAGCUUCAUCCUUAACCUAUAAAUACUGCCUCCAGGGCUCAUACUUUCUCACACCAAUAUCAAUAUUCUCUUAUCUUCCUCCACAUUUCAAUCUUCCCAUUUUUAGCUCUUUUAUCAUCAUCAUGGGUGUGUUCACAUAUGAAACCGAGUUCACCUCUGUCAUUCCACCACCAAGACUCUACAAGGCCUUUGUCCUUGAUGCUGAUAACCUCAUCCCAAAGAUUGCCCCACAGGCUGUGAAGAGUGCCGAGAUCGUUCAAGGUGAUGGAGGUGUCGGAACCAUCAAGAAGAUCCACCUUGGUGAAGGGAGCGAAUACAGCUACGUGAAACACCAGAUUGAUGGACUUGACAAAGACAACUUUGUUUACAACUACAGUAUCAUUGAAGGUGAUGCUAUCGGAGACAAGGUAGAGAAAAUCUCUUACGAGAUCAAGUUGGUGGCGUCUCCAAGUGGAGGCUCCAUCAUCAAGAGCACCAGCCACUACCAUUGCAAAGGAGAGGUUGAGAUCAAGGAAGAGCAUGUCAAGGCCGGAAAAGAAAAAGCCGCUGGUCUGUUCAAGAUCAUUGAGAACCACCUUUUGGCCAACCCUGAGGCCUACAACUAAAUCAAACUACGACUGCAUUAUAUACUGUUCUGUUGUGUCCAGUUCUUUUUGUCAUUUGGUGUCCCUCUGAUAUUUUUCCCCUUUUCUUGCCUACCAAGCCUGGGAUUGUUUCGGCUUUCACUUUGAGUGAUGGUGAAUUGUAAUGUUACAUUGGAUUUCAUUUGGAAUAGUAAAGAAUAAACCGUAUGUUCCUCUUUAUACUAAUUAAUUUACUUUGUUUAGUCUCUACCUUCUGUAUGCUAGUACUUUGUCUGUAAUUCUGUAACUGUACAAAAUUUAGGAGUCGACGUGAGAACUUUAUCUGAGUCGUUUCAUUUGAACAUUUGUUGGGUUCAAAACUUCAAAAUGCAGUAAUUGUGAUUAAAAGCACACACUUAACAAUCUCAUAAUUUAAUUACAAACUCGUACAUAAAUAUCCAAUCCAAUUAUGUUUGUUUCAAUUUAUAAGAUUUAACUUAUCUUCUUAGCUAGUAAACGACCUUGAGCAUAUCUUCUCUCGCUAGACAUUUGUUAGUUUCUUCCAGUAUUUCAUAUAUUCAGAUGGAUCAAUACAAUUUUAAUGAGAGUUUUUGCUUUUUACAUUAAUACUACAAUGUCUCUCUCUUUAAAUAACAAAAAUCGAGUUAGUGCCAUUAUUGCUCAUUAUCAUGUUAAAUUCAUGCGAACCAAGUAACCAUGCAAACAAUGCCUCGUAUUAUCAAAUGAGCACUGUCAUGAGCCCAUCGACUUGUAUAACAAGCUAGCUGGAAAUCGAUCCUGAAUUUCAACAGCUCAUUUCUGACCCCUUCAAAAAAAAAAAAAAAAAACCAGCUCAUUUCUGACACAAAGGUUCUUUUGUGUCCAUUUUUGUUUUGAAUAAUGAAUGCUAGGUGAACCACAUUCAUAGGAUGUUUGUUGAUCAUCUUUAAGGACAUUGUUUUAUAACCGCAAUUCGUUAUUUUAGCUUAGUAAUUGAACUACGGAUAUGCAAAUUGUGAUGCAGCUUGUUUAUUUCAUAGAAAGCAUUACAACAUUCCAUCCUCUUAAUGUUCCAACUGGAACAUCAGCGGAACAAAUGGACAAUGAACUGGAAAAAAUGAAGUUUAACAGUAUUCAUUAGGAUUGGCCAAGAGGUAGCCUUCAACAAGCUUGAAGAGGUGCGACGCCUUCUCUUUUCCAGCCUUGACAUGCUCUUCUUUGAUCUCCACGUCACCUUUGGUGUGGUAGUUGCUUGUGCUCUUGAUGAUGGAUCCUCCAUCGGAAGAUGCCACCAAUUUGGUCUCGUAAGAGAUCUUCUCAAUCUUGUCGGACAAGGCAUCUCCUUCGACCAAGCUGUAGCUGUACACAAAGUUGUCUUUGUCAAUCCCAUCGAUCUUGUGGGUCACUGAGCCGAACUGGCUGCCCUCACCAAAAGUGAUCUUCUUGAUGGUUCCUACGCCUCCGUCUCCUUCAAUGAUUUCAGCACACUUAACUGCUUGGGGAGCAAUCUUGGGGAUGAGAUUGUCGGCAUCAAGGAUGAAAGCCUUGAACAAUCUUGGUGGUGGGAUGACGGAGGUGAACUCGGUUUCAUAAGUGAAUACACCCAUUAUCAGCUUACGAGUUUGAGAAAUGAUCAAAAGGAAAGAAGAGUAUUAUGGAAAUUGGUGUUUGAGAAGUUGAAGGAGGUUUGAGUUGUGAGAGAAGAGAAGGGUCAUACUUAUAGAGUAGUCCUGAGUUGAGGUAUGUGCUGGUUGAAGGUUACCAUUAGCUUGUGUGAACUAGUAAAUAGUCCCAGUAGAAGGAUUAUGCUCAAAAUGGUCAAAGAAGGCACUCCCAAUUAAUUUUUAGUGCCAAAUUGGCUAAAGUAGACAAAAGGAAUGGGGUCUUGUUCUAGAUGGUCUUAUUUCAGAGGAAUUUUUAGUAGCUUCCUUCGGUGUUUUCACAAAGUAAUGUCGGUAUCGACAGUCAACAUUGGCUAUCCAUUUUAUUUUUCUCAUGUACUUGCAAUCAGUUGGUUGCAAUCAGUAUGUUAAGUCCGAAUGCUCCUUUUCCAUGUUAGGAUGACAGUUUGAGGUGCCUUCUUAGACUUGAACCAUAGUUCAUUGAUCUUUCAUUGCAUGUCUAUUUUAUAUGUUCUUUGAAAUAAUCCCAUUUUGGCAGCUCAGAUUUGAUCUAGAGGGUGAGCUUCAACCUAACAUAUAAAUACCACCUCUAGGGCUUACACUUUCUCACACCAAUACCAACAUUCUCUAAGCCUCCUCCACAUUUCAAUCUUCUCAUAUUAAGCUCUUUAAUCCUCAUCAUGGGUGUUUUUACAUAUGAAACUGAGUUCACCUCUGCAUCCCACCACCAAGACUCUACAAGGCCUUUGUUCUUGAUGCCGACAACCUCAUCCCCAAAAUUGCCCCACAGGCUGUGAAGAGUACCGAAAUCGUUGAGGGAGAUGGAGGUGUAGGAACCAUCAAGAAGAUUCACCUCGGUGAAGGAAGCGAAUACAGCUAUGUGAAGCAUCAGAUUGAUGGACUUGACAAAGACAACUUUGUUUAUAACUACAGCAUAAUCGAAGGUGAUGCUAUCGGUGACAAGGUUGAGAAAAUCUCUUAUGAGAUUAAGUUGGUGGCAUCUCCAACUGGCUCCAUCAUCAAGAGCACCAGCCACUACCAUUGCAAAGGAGAGGUUGAGAUCAAGGAAGAGCAUGUCAAGGCCGGAAAAGAAAGAGCCGCUGGUUUGUUCAAGAUCAUUGAGAACUACCUUUUGGCCAACCCUGAGGCCUACAACUAAAUCAAACUACGAUAAUGCUAGUAUACUACUGCAUUAUACUGUGUCGUUGUGUCUUGUUCUUUAUAUCAUUUGGUGUGGCUUUGAUCUAUAUUCAUUUCUUUUUCUAUCGUACCAAGACAGAGAAUGUUUUGGAUUUUACUUGGAGUGAUGAGGAAUUGUGUAACGGUUUUACAUUUCAUUUGAACAAGUAAAGAAUAAAAUUUUCUGUUCCUCUUUAAUUUACUCGUUUUAUUCAGGAACAUUAUUAUCAUGAUGAUACUGGAUUCGUUUAUUUUCUUAAUUAUGAUAUUUAAUGUAUUAAGUUUGAUGCCAAUAUAUAUGUAAUUGAUAAUAUUAGCAAACAACUAGAUCUAAUCUAUCUUCAAUCAAAACUUGACAUAUUCGGAUCCGUUAGAAAAACUGAAAUUCAGAACACUUUGAUAUUUGGUGCUAAACUAUCACCCAGUCCUCAAUAUCUUCAUGAUCGUCUUCUUGUGAUUCUGAUUUUGAUUCUUGAUUGGUGGCAGCAUGAGGAGGAUUGCGUUUAAAAUAGCUGCCUACUCUAACCACUAUCGACCAGAGUUUUUCCACUUGUGACUAUUGCGUUGUCCCCAUAUCCCAAACAUCAAAAAUAGAGACCACCCUCUUUGAAAAACCAACGUGAGUUCUUCCAGCCGGAAAAAUCAUCGGGGCAAUAACGAAUAUAAAGAAACAAUUCAUCAUCAUGAUUCUCCUUGUUUGGUUUAAAAGAGGGCUUGUUGUCGAGUCUUAUUAGAGAAGAGAAACUGUUUUCGGGCUUUUGGAUCUCUGAGUAUCGCAUAGGAUGAGUUGAGCCUUUGGAACAUGGCAUUGGCAUUGAGAUCGUUUAGCCUCUUGUCUGGAUGCAACUGCAAAGCCUUUUCCUUACCCGAAGGUGAACCAAGAACACUAUAGUGAUCUAUGACCACUUCCUUCUUCUCCAUCUCCAUAUUUGAAAAUGAUCCUAGGCUAGGCGGCUAGAGUAGAAGUAUACAAACUUGCAGAGUGGUUAUUUUAUUCUAUAUUUAAACCAAAUUUCUAACAGUUAAUUUAAUUUCUUAAUUAAAAAAAAAAACACAGUUAAUUUCUAACGGCUAGUUUUUUAUGGUUAAUUUACAACUUGUAGUUAUUUGCUUCUAAAUGUACAGAGAGAGCCAGUCAGCCAAAUGAGGUUCUAUAAAUGAUUUAAGAAAUUCUUUUUGAGUUAUUUUAAUACAUCGAAAUUAUAUAAUCUUCACGUACUUAAAAGAACAAUAUAACUACACGGUACUUUAAAAAUGGCCAGCCAAAAUUCAACUAGAAAAUGAAGGACAUGAAGCCUCAUUGCUUCGCCUAGUGGUGCUUAGUUUUUUGAGCAUGGUUGCAACUCGAAGGAUUCGGGUUUCUCUAUUGAAGUACUUUUUUCUACUUUGAAGAAUUGGAGUGCUUGUUUUUCUUGUUUUCAAAUUUCAAUAUAUAUGCUUAUCUUUGAAUAGGUGAGUAUAGGAGGAGUAAGGAAACUUGUUCGUUGGAUAGGUUUCGUACUCUUAAGAUCGAGAUAGCCAUGUCUGACGACCCCUUUCAGGUGUUUAUACCCCUUUGAGGUGGUUUAUUUUUGUGCUACUCACUCAACUAUAAAAAAUUUCUGACCAAUUUCCCUAAAUGUGUGUGCGUUUGAAGCUAUUUCAGCCGGCAGUUCAUGAUACGUUUAACAAAAGAGAUUUGAGACUAGAUAUAUAAGGGGCUACCCAGAAAGGAGCCGUUCCUAUAAUCUUUGUAGUCGCUAGGCUGAAAUCCAGGUCCCUGGGAGUGUGGAAUCUAGUUUCAACUAGCAAUAGAGGCAGUAUCGAUUGGUUAGAACUUAGAACCUCAUAUUGCCUCAAGCGCAAGGACAUCCAAACUGUAUCAUCAAUAAACAUUAAAUUCCUCAACACCUGUCUAAUUAGUUUACAAGGCUACGUGCCAGAGCUGCAUUUUUAAAGUGAUCUUUCUAGAAACCAUAAUGUAUGCAAAUGAACAGAUCGAUAUAACAAGUUUGUCAUAGCGAUCAAAGAUUUUGCAGAUAGAAAUAAAUAGUGUGAAACUAUCUUCACCGAAUGAAAUAAAUAGCAUAAAACAAUCCUUUCCAAAACUCCUACACAACCAAAACUACUAAUAGACCAUACAUAUCUUUAAGGACAAAUUACUGGUCACUCCGCUAACUUUAGGGUGGUCGACAGUUUAGUCCAUUAUCUUUCAAUUUCAAUCGAUCACUCUGCUAACUGUCCAAUUUCAUACAAUUCGGCCCAUCCGUUAAGUAGCCGUCCAAAUCGAUAGUUAAGUGCUGACGUGGCACACCAAAAAUCAAUUAAUUAUUCAUUUUCCAUUUCUCUCCCAAAUUUCCAAUUAUCCCCCAAAAUUCCCAAUCUCCCCCAAUCUCAUUUUUCAGCCAACACCAAAUUCCCAGUCAACAUAGUCCGACCCUUCUUCCCUCUUCUCCUUCUUCUUCCUCUCCACAUUUUCCCCUCUAUCCCUCAAACUCUCUCACUCAGCCGCAGCAGAAGAGGAGCAGAGCAAUGGCUUUCAUCAAGGCCUCGAAGCCCCGCGCCUACUUCAAGCGUUUCCAGGUCAAAUACAAGCGCCGNNNNNNNNNNNNNNNNNNNNNNNNNNNNNNNNNNNNNNNNNNNNNNNNNNNNNNNNNNNNNNNNNNNNNNNNNNNNNNNNNNNNNNNNNNNNNNNNNNNNNNNNNNNNNNNNNNNNNNNNNNNNNNNNNNNNNNNNNNNNNNUCUCUCUCUCUCUCCUCCUCUCUCUCUCUCUCUCUCUCUGUGUCUGUGUGUGUGUGUGUGUAAAGGUCAAGUCUUUUGCUGUUCUAUGUGUGCUUGAUCACAGCUGCUUUUGAUUUUGGGAUUUGAAUUGUAAUCUGUUGUGGUUCUUUGUGAUUGUGAGGGUUUAAUUUUGAGAAUUGGAGUAUGAUUUCAGAUGUUUGAUUUAAUGUGUGUGAAUUUGUCGAGGUGAUCAGCUCUUGAAUUUGAGAAGUGUGAGAAAUGUGGAGAGGAAGAAGAAGGAGAAGAGGGAAGAAGAGUCGGACUAUGUUGACUGGGAAUUUGGUGUUGGCUGAAAAAUGAGAUUAGGGGAGAUUGGGAAUUUUGGGGAUAAUUGGAAAUUUGGAAGAGAAAUGGAAAAUGAGAAAAAUGAAUAAUUAAUUGAUUUUUGGUGUGCCACGUCAGCACUUAAUCAUCGAUUUGAACGGCUACUUAACGGAUGGACCUAAUUGUGUGAAAUUGGACAGUUAGCGGAGUGAUCGAUUGAAAUUGAAAGAUGACGGACUAAACUGUCGAGCACCCUAAAGUUAACGGAGUGAUCAGUAAUUUGUUCUAUCUUUAAUCAUCUCCUUCAAUUCUUUCUUAUAGUUUGAGAACAACAUCAAAACUGCUUAGUGAAGGGUUUGCCGUUUGCGCAAAGAGAACGACAAGCAUAUGGUAAUGAAAGUUUAGCAUAUGAUUAGAGAACACUGUGAGGCCAUAAUAUAAGAGAAACGUUUUAAUAUAAAGAGAACGACAAGCAUAUAGUAAUGAAAGUUUAGCAUAUGAUUAGAGAACACUGAGGCCAUAUUUUAAGAGAAACGUUUUAAUAUAACAAGAAAACACGAGGAACAAGCUUGUGUUUCCAGAAAUUUUAGAGACGAAAUUGUAAGGGGCUGCGCGGACGCAAACCCCCUGGCCCCUGGCAACAAAUAAUGACGUAGACUCUCCCUCUUGGGGAGACCUUAAGCGAGCACCCCUCCCAAGUGCAAUGGAGGUCACUUACCUAGGCCAUGAGUCUUCUCGAUAACUAAAGCUUCAAUAUGCAUUUACAAUAAGCCAAUAAUGUACAUUUGGCAUGCAAGUCACCAUGCAUCCUACUCAACCUAUUCUAUAUACUAUAGCAGGAAGGGAAUACAACUGUUCAUAUCUUUAGUGAAUUAUGUUUUUACCCUAAGUUUGGGUUAAUUGUGUUUCUGCCCCAGUUUGGGUUAAGUCGUUUUUGCUUCCGGUUUUCCAUUAAUUACACAACUGCCAUCACCUUCCACAUGUUGGGAUGCUGCAUGUUGUUUCCACGUGGUGCGAUCUUUUUAUUCCACAUAGCUGCUAUGUGUCUCAUCUUGAGGUUAAUCCCAUUCUCCACGCAUUUGGACCUCGCUCUCUCCAUCUCUUGCGCACGAUGCUAUUGCUGUCGUUGAACAAAAAGGGUGCCCAAGCUUCUCUCCCUCAUGUUCAGAUCAAACCCGGGGCAAGCUGGAAGAACAUGGAUUUGGGUAAUUGGUUUUCAGUUUGGUUCUCNNNNNNNNNNNNNNNNNNNNNNNNNNNNNNNNNNNNNNNNNNNNNNNNNNNNNNNNNNNNNNNNNNNNNNNNNNNNNNNNNNNNNNNNNNNNNNNNNNNNNNNNNNNNNNNNNNNNNNNNNNNNNNNNNNNNNNNNNNNNNNNNNNNNNNNNNNNNNNNNNNNNNNNNNNNNNNNNNNNNNNNNNNNNNNNNNNNNNNNNNNNNNNNNNNNNNNNNNNNNNNNNNNNNNNNNNNNNNNNNNNNNNNNNNNNNNNNNNNNNNNNNNNNNNNNNNNNNNNNNNNNNNNNNNNNNNNNNNNNNNNNNNNNNNNNNNNNNNNNNNNNNNNNNNNNNNNNNNNNNNNNNNNNNNNNNNNNNNNNNNNNNNNNNNNNNNNNNNNNNNNNNNNNNNNNNNNNNNNNNNNNNNNNNNNNNNNNNNNNNNNNNNNNNNNNNNNNNNNNNNNNNNNNNNNNNNNNNNNNNNNNNNNNNNNNNNNNNNNNNNNNNNNNNNNNNNNNNNNNNNNNNNNNNNNNNNNNNNNNNNNNNNNNNNNNNNNNNNNNNNNNNNNNNNNNNNNNNNNNNNNNNNNNNNNNNNNNNNNNNNNNNNNNNNNNNNNNNNNNNNNNNNNNNNNNNNNNNNNNNNNNNNNNNNNNNNNNNNNNNNNNNNNNNNNNNNNNNNNNNNNNNNNNNNNNNNNNNNNNNNNNNNNNNNNNNNNNNNNNNNNNNNNNNNNNNNNNNNNNNNNNNNNNNNNNNNNNNNNNNNNNNNNNNNNNNNNNNNNNNNNNNNNNNNNNNNNNNNNNNNNNNNNNNNNNNNNNNNNNNNNNNNNNNNNNNNNNNNNNNNNNNNNNNNNNNNNNNNNNNNNNNNNNNNNNNNNNNNNNNNNNNNNNNNNNNNNNNNNNNNNNNNNNNNNNNNNNNNNNNNNNNNNNNNNNNNNNNNNNNNNNNNNNNNNNNNNNNNNNNNNNNNNNNNNNNNNNNNNNNNNNNNNNNNNNNNNNNNNNNNNNNNNNNNNNNNNNNNNNNNNNNNNNNNNNNNNNNNNNNNNNNNNNNNNNNNNNNNNNNNNNNNNNNNNNNNNNNNNNNNNNNNNNNNNNNNNNNNNNNNNNNNNNNNNNNNNNNNNNNNNNNNNNNNNNNNNNNNNNNNNNNNNNNNNNNNNNNNNNNNNNNNNNNNNNNNNNNNNNNNNNNNNNNNNNNNNNNNNNNNNNNNNNNNNNNNNNNNNNNNNNNNNNNNNNNNNNNNNNNNNNNNNNNNNNNNNNNNNNNNNNNNNNNNNNNNNNNNNNNNNNNNNNNNNNNNNNNNNNNNNNNNNNNNNNNNNNNNNNNNNNNNNNNNNNNNNNNNNNNNNNNNNNNNNNNNNNNNNNNNNNNNNNNNNNNNNNNNNNNNNNNNNNNNNNNNNNNNNNNNNNNNNNNNNNNNNNNNNNNNNNNNNNNNNNNNNNNNNNNNNNNNNNNNNNNNNNNNNNNNNNNNNNNNNNNNNNNNNNNNNNNNNNNNNNNNNNNNNNNNNNNNNNNNNNNNNNNNNNNNNNNNNNNNNNNNNNNNNNNNNNNNNNNNNNNNNNNNNNNNNNNNNNNNNNNNNNNNNNNNNNNNNNNNNNNNNNNNNNNNNNNNNNNNNNNNNNNNNNNNNNNNNNNNNNNNNNNNNNNNNNNNNNNNNNNNNNNNNNNNNNNNNNNNNNNNNNNNNNNNNNNNNNNNNNNNNNNNNNNNNNNNNNNNNNNNNNNNNNNNNNNNNNNNNNNNNNNNNNNNNNNNNNNNNNNNNNNNNNNNNNNNNNNNNNNNNNNNNNNNNNNNNNNNNNNNNNNNNNNNNNNNNNNNNNNNNNNNNNNNNNNNNNNNNNNNNNNNNNNNNNNNNNNNNNNNNNNNNNNNNNNNNNNNNNNNNNNNNNNNNNNNNNNNNNNNNNNNNNNNNNNNNNNNNNNNNNNNNNNNNNNNNNNNNNNNNNNNNNNNNNNNNNNNNNNNNNNNNNNNNNNNNNNNNNNNNNNNNNNNNNNNNNNNNNNNNNNNNNNNNNNNNNNNNNNNNNNNNNNNNNNNNNNNNNNNNNNNNNNNNNNNNNNNNNNNNNNNNNNNNNNNNNNNNNNNNNNNNNNNNNNNNNNNNNNNNNNNNNNNNNNNNNNNNNNNNNNNNAUUUUGUUCGGUGAAGGUGAUGCCCGCGCGUUUGAAUUGCACACGCAAGCUUAAUGUUAAUGGCACCUACUAUGAUGUCCCAUGUACAUAUGAAAAUUGGUUCGUGUCUUGCUAAAAAAUGUCCUUCCGUACCAAUUUAUAUAUCUUACAAUUGCAAACUGUUAUUUCCACUUAUAAUGCUAGAAAAUCACAAUAUUGAGAUGGACAUGGUAGUCAAUGUACUCACCAUGUACUCGCAAUAUUUUCAGGUUUUUAUCACUGUCCAAGUCAGUGCAGUUUGUCCAUCACCUAUGUGAUAUUGCUGCAUUCUAUCGGCAUAUCAAACAACAACAAUAUUGAACAAAACAGAAGCAGUUGCGGUAGUUAAUAUCCGGCAUUGCAAACCGCGGCAACGCGGGCAUCACCUAGUGGCAUACUAAUCCUCCUGAGCCUCCAUACUGGUUCAAGACUUCAUGAUUGACAAAGAAGAGGAUUUCAUGUAUUCUUGUAAUUCCUCUACCGCAUUCAGAUUAGGUGCUCCGGACAUCUGACUGAUCAAAUUCAUCAGUUAGCCAAAACCAUACCAAGCAAGACACAAACGAAAUUUGUUGACUAAGCUCCGAGGGGCACCCACAAAGGUGCACCCUUCCAAAAAUAGACGUAUGCCACUUAAAACGUCGCACACACGGUAUUCUUUAGUAAAAGGCGAAAGAAUAGUUCGCUUUGUGUUCAACGCAUGGCUCCGUGAGUCUCUCCUUCGCAAAGCUGCUUUCUUCUAUACCCCUCGCCUUAGAGAUACACAGCUCUUAUUCGAUGUGGUACUUGUAGCAUCUGUCAUUAAUUUAUUACUGCGUUUCACGACCUUCAUUUGUGACUUGAUAGACUCUGAUAUUACAUUAUGCCAAUCCCACAUAGUUUUCUCUAAAAGCUGGCUGGCUCUACUACCGAGCAAAAAGUCUCGCCCAUCCCAUCGGAGAGACUAGCUUCACCUAACCAAUUCACUGGAAAGUGUUGGCAGAAUCCUGUAGAAUAUUAUUUUGGAUGCUAACAGAAGCCAGAGGCUUAGAAGGAAGCUAAUAGUGAGUAUGAUUCAUCAUUCAUCAUAACCAUAAAAAUUCAGCCUAACCGGCACUUCAACUAAAAAAGAAAUCAGAAUUCCAAUAAAAAAUGAAGCUACGUAUUCGAUGGUUUUCUUGUUCCGUUCUUAUAUUGUGGUUCAAACUCUAAAGUUUAAAGUAAUGUCAAGAAGUUGUAAUUUCUGUAGGACUGCCAAGCUGCACAGAAAUGUCAGUACAUACUUGAGGUGACAUCGAUAUUACUCGCGGUACUCGUGUAAAUAUCAGCUGGCUUCACUAGAGAGGGCUGAAAAAGAACAAAAAAGAAAAAUAUCAAUAAAACUUAGGGAGCCUAAAGCAAAUCCCUUUCAACCGUUGGUAUUUGUUACAUCUAUAAUUCUAUAGCGCAACACUGCAAGUGCAGAAGAUUAAGCUGAAGAACCAAUCAAUGUGUUGAACAGCAGUGAACUGGAUAUAUGCCUCGAAUCACACAGAAUUAUAGAAAUCGAUACCUUCCAUUUUCCUCACAUAAGUAAUCAGAGCGACAAAUAAACUUUCAUCACAUAAGUCUACGUAAUCAGAGAGACAAAUAAACUGCGCAUUAGAAUCGAGUUUUUUACGUUGGUGUUGUUUGCAUUCAGAUUACCUAAGCUACCCUCUUUCUGCAGACAAUUGAUGUUGUUAACAUAGUGCAGUAAUUUAGUGUAAUGUAGAAAAAUUGUGCUGCACAGCAAAAUUGCCUUUUCUCUCUAAUGGGAAAACUAUAAAUCAAGACUAGUACAAUACUGGGCAAAAUCAGAGAAGCAAAUAACAAAAGAUCAUCAGAACCAGUCUCAUUCAAAUUGGCAUUAUGCAAUAGAGCAGUAAAAAGACAAAAUAACCAGGGCGAAAACAUAUACCUGGCACUACACUAAUCAUUUACCGUGCGGUAUAUAUUACUUCUGCAUCAAUGAUUUGGACUUGGAAUUGGCAGGGUGGGCCAUGCUUUGCUGUAGUGCAACAAAGAUGACACGUGUGAACCCCAAUAACAGAUUGUGAUAGACUCAUCCCUUUAGAAAAUUAAUUUAAUAUUAUAUGAACCACGUGUAAGCCCCACUCACCCUUUAAAAAAAUUAAUUUAAUAUAGUGCGAACCUUUAAUCCAGAUAUUAAUCCUACUAUUAAACUGAUAAGAACAGAUACUACACUUGAUCUUAGCCAAAAGACCGAGAAAGGUAUGCGUUGUACAGCCAAGCUCUUCGUUCUUUAUAAUCUCAUGGGUUUCCAUACUUUGCCACAAAACUGAUGUGGGAGCGUAAACCAUUUCAACUAGUGCCAAAGAACUGCAGGGGCUGGGAAGGCUCUUUGCCUAUGAGUCUACCACUCUUAUAAACACAGUCGACAAAUAUCAAGAUUAAAUGGCAUUCUAUUACAUCUCAGAAUCAUAAUCAAAAGGGAAUCCAGGGCUCCCAUCUGCAAGAGCUACUGGAAAGAAGGAUGACAUAUUUUUGACACCCAAAGGUGAGAAGCAAGCUUGCUCCUCUUGUUAUAAUCAGAAGAAAACAUACAGUCAUAUUUAACCGACUCUUUCCUUUGUUUAACAUCAUACAGUCUCUUAAUCCAUUAACUCAAUGUUCAAAGACCAACUUUGUAAAUCGGAUAUAGUAACCAAAAAGUCCGAAAACACUUCCUAUACACGAAAGUAGGGAAACUGAGGGGGUUUUAUGUAUUUAUGUAUGUUUUGCCACAAAUAAGGUAGCAACUAAAUCUACAUACACCCAGAUUUCUUUACACCAGUAUAUUCAGAGACCAAGGGUUGGUUUGUUGUGAUGAUGAGCUAGGGUGAAAAAAGAGGCAAAUAGCAGAUAUGUCAUCCUUCGCAAUGCCUCUUCCCUUAGAAGAGGCAAAUAGCAGAUUUGUAUGUCUUCUGUGUUGGAGAUCACAUCCCAAACCUGAAUACAAAAGCAAAUAAGUAAUAUCAAGCCUUACAUAGCCUUUUUGUUCAUAUAUGUAAAUCUUGUACAAAAUUUGAAAGGUUGUAGACUCUUUAACAUUUAAAUUGAUGACAAUAUUGAGUCUGAGGUUUGACAUGAUGAGAGCCAAAAACAAAAUGAAGCUUGGAUAGCAAUGGCUGACAUUUUGGAGAGAAGCAUUGUAGUUUUUUUCGACAAACAGAGAAGAGUUGUAGUUGAUUCGGUGCGGCUGGUGCAAACUUUGCAGUCUGGAGUUUUUCAUUGUUGUCCCUUGGACUGGUUUUGAAUGACGGGUCAGCUUUGUAUUAAAGUCCAAGCAGACACAAUCACUCUUUGUCCAAGCGGAGAAACUGGAUCCUAUGUGUUGAAGGCUUUUUAUAGUCUCAUUAUGUACAUAUACGUCAUCCAUGUUCCAAGUACAGCAGUAUCAAAAAAAAUGAAGACCUUGAUAUACUUACUACCUGCAUUGCCAACAACAUGCUGUACUAAAACUAUGAAAUUCAUUGUAUACAUAUAUAUAACCAAUAUCUUCACUGAAAUAAAUAGCAUAACACAACAUCCGUUCCAAAGACUCAUACACAACCAAAAACUACCAAUAAACCAUACAUAUCCUUAACUACUAUUGUUUCAACCGAACCCUUUGGUCUAGUAAAGUGCUAGGCUAAACGCCUGACGAAAAUAGAUAGUGUGAAGUUCACCUACUACAGGAAAGUUACUCCAUAUAAAACAGUGAUUUAGACGCCAAAACUUUCAUUCAUCCUCUUCACAUCACUUUGAUUCCAUAAGAUAGUAUUUACUCCAUGUUAAUCAUUAUCGCCAAAACCCCAAGUCGCAGAGAACAUAGAAUUUCAUACAAAAGCUGGCCAACAAAAGAAUGAAGAGCAAAAAGAUCAACUUCAGGUUUUAGUAUAAUUUUGCUACAAGGACCGCUAAGGCUUUUGAGAUACUAAUUUGAACCCUCAUUGAGGCUUGAAUUAUGAGUUGUUUCUGAAAACUUUAGAACAUGAAAAUUGUAGGAUGACUUGUUUCUGAAAACUUCCAUGAUCACCAAGGGAAUCUGAUUCUAACCUUUGCCAGAAAUAUUAAUCCUUCCUUUUCCAUAGAGAAGGUUAUAUAUAGGAGUCUCCCAUGCAUUUUGUAAACAUUUCAAAUUUUCAUCUCAAUGCUGAGAAUCAUGUCGUUCUGUUACUGCAUUGAGAUUAGGUGCUGCUAGCAUUUGAUUGUGAUCAAAUUUUCAUGUCAUAAAUUUUGUAAUUUUGUCGGAAAGUGUUGGCACAAUCGUGUCUAAAAAAAUAUUUUGGAUGCUAAUAGAGAGCCACAGAGGCUUACAAGGAAGCUAAUAGGUGAGUGUGAUUUAUCAUUCAUCUGAACAUAAAAAUUUGCCCAACUGGCACUUUCAACUAAAAGAGAAGUUAGAAUUCCAAUAAAAAUGAAGCUGCAUGUCUGAGGGUUUUCUGGUUUGUUUCUUUUUGUGGUUCAAACUUUAAAGUAAUGUCAAGAAGCUGUAAUCUCUGUAGAGGGACAGCAAAGCUGCAUAAAAACAUACGUGAAGCAACAUCGAUAUCCUGCAAAUAUCAGUUGGCCUCACUGGAGAGUGCUGAAAAGGAACAAACAAGAAAAACAUAAAUAGAACUUAGGGAGCCAAAAGUAAAGUGUUUACUACCUUCUGUAGUGCAAGACUGCAAGAGCAGAAGAUUAAGCUGAAGAACCAAUUGACGUCUUGAACAGCACUAAGCUGGAUAUAUGCCUCGAGUCGCACAAAAUUACUGAAAUCAGAACUUUUAUUUUCGUCACUUAAGUCUUAUCAGUGUAUGUAAUCAGAGCAACGUAUAACACAGCAAUUGCCUUUGAGCUUUAUGUCGAAUGGGAAAUUUUAAGUACAACACUGGCAAAAUCAGAGAAGCAAAUAACAAUUUAUCAUCAGAGCCGUUCUAUUCACCUGCAUAAAUAAUUUGACUUAGAUUUGAUAGGGUGCGCCAAGCUUUGCUGUAGUGCAACGCAAAGAUGACACAUGUAAGCCCCAAUAGCAAGCUAUUGUUAUGGACUCACCCCUUUAAAAAAUUAAUUUAAUAUCGUAUGAACCAUUGGUCCACAUAUCAGAUAUUAAACUGAUAAGAACAGAUACUACACUUGAUCUUAGCCAAAAGGCCGAGAAAGGUAUGCAUUAUACAGCCAAGCUCUUCGCUUUUUAUAGUCUCAUGGGCUUCCAUAUCUUGCCACAAAACCGAUGUGGGAGUGUGAACUAUAUCAAAUACUGCCAAAGAACUGCAGGGGAUGGGUGUUGAAGGCUCGUUGCCUAUGCGUCUAUCACUCUUAUAAACACAGUCGACAAAUAUUAAGAUUAAAUGGCAUUCUAUUAAUUAAAUCUUGGAAUCAUAAUCAAAAGGAAAUCCAGGGCUCCCAUCUGCAAGAGCUACUGGUAAGAAGAAGAAAUAUUUGUGACACUCAGAAGAUAACAUACAUAUGUAACCGACUCUUUCCUUUGUUUUGAACAUCAGUCUCUUAAUCUAUGAACUCAUUGUUCUAAGACCAACUUUGUAAAUCGGAUAUAGUAACCAAAAACUGGUUAACAUUACUUGCUAUACACCGAAGUAGGAAAAGUAAGGAGUUUUAUGAGAUAUACAUGUAUUGCCACACAUGAGGAAGCAAUUAAACCUACAUACACCCAGAUUUCUUCACACCAGGAUAUUCAGAGACCAGAGGGUUGGUUUGGUGUGAUGAUGAGUUAGGGUUAAAGAAGAGGCAAAUAGCAGAGAUGUCAUCCAUUGCAAUGCCUCUUCUCUUUGACUUCCAUGCAAGAGCAGCACAUGCCACCAAUCUUUUUGCUGCUUUGUUCCUAUCUGGUGCUGAAGAAACUAUUUGUAUAGCUUCUUUGUUGGAGAUAACAUCCCAUACCUGAGUACAAAAUCAAAUAAGUAAUAUCAAGUUUUUGGAUAGUCCUUAUUAUUCAUAUAUGCCAGAACAAAAUUGAUAAAUAAUUAAAUAUAGAAGAAUUGCGUGCAUACCCCAUCUGUUGCUAAAAUGACAAACAGGUCUUUUCUGGUUAUGUAUCUUUGGCUCACAUCAGGCACAGAAAUAAGCCCAAAGUCCUUAACACAAUAGUCACCAAAAGCUCUGGAUACUGCCAGUCCAGGUGUCUUCCCGUUUGGCAUCCACACCCUGUAAGUGCCCGGUUCAUCAGGUAGACAAAACACUCGUCCAUUGGACCUUCUGAUUCUCUCAGCCUCCUCUACAACAUAUAUAGAAAUGCAAGUAUGAGAGAGGUGUAUUUGACUAAGACUUAAUACAUAUAUACCAUUAUACCUUGGCGUGGUGAAGUGAAGAUUGAUAAAGAAUGCUUACGAGGCAAGUUAGGCUUGAAAUCGACUGUAAGCUGGACAGGUACCAAGCUUCCAUCUUCUGAAGUGGUGGCCAAAACAGCUCGAGAGUCGCCCACAUGUGCUGUGAUGAGAAGUUCACCCUGAAGAUAUUGAUGGUGAUAUUUUAGUUAACUUAUUGGAAGGAAUAACUAAAGUUUAGGUGAGCAUACAUCUCAGACCUACUAAUCCAAGCUGUUUGGGUAGUUCUAUAGAAUCUUACACCUUCUGUAUUUUCAUCUUAAAAACAAUUAUUAGUCAACUCUAUAUACAGACCAUCAUUAAACACCUAAGCAUAGAUUCUUCAGUAGAAGUUUAGAUGUCACUUAUGUGCAUAUUAGUUCUGAUGUCCUCUAGAUGCAUAUCUGGACAAAUCAGCAUACCUAUUGUUAAUAGCUUACUAUAUAUGUUACAUGAAGAACCAAAACAGAAGAAUAGCAAAGAAAGCACUUAGGACCAAGAAAAGGGUUUUGGGCAAGAAAUAGGUCAAUAACUUGAAUUUCCUAGAAAUAUAAUACAAUUUGUACCUGCUUAAUAAUUGUCAGCGCUGUAGUACCACUUCGAUAGGAAUCGAUUUUAGAAGAAUGCUUAAGCUCCUGGUCUAUGGCAGCAUAUGUUUUAAGAAAGGAUUGCUUCCAUGUAUUGUAUCGAUGGAGUUUCCGAUCCAUCUCCAUUUUAAAAUUCAGGUCAAGUGAUGUUAAACUGAGAGUUUCUUGCCAAUUGCACAACAGAGAAGAAGGCAUAGACUGCCUGACCCUUCUGCUAACUAGAUGUCCCCAUUGUCCAUGCCCAUCAAACACUCCACAAAAGAUCAUGUCUUCUUGGCACCCAAAUUCCUAUUAAUCAAACCCAACUUAUCAAACUAUUGAAGAUCUUAAAAUCUUAAAUCAUGAAACAAGCAUCUAACAGUAACUCAACCUCAACCUUUUCAAAUAUUUCACAGGAACUUACCUCCCAUAUGACCAAGCAAUCCUGAUUGAUACCCUUUUGGCCUCUCUUGGAGCAAAUAGAAGAAAAAUUGUUAGACUUGUCAGAAUUAACAAUCCCAGAAGAACUCAAAACCAGCUCAUUCUUUUUUGCUUCCUUUGCCAAUGCUUCUGCAGUCUCCUUUGCCACAUCAUUAUGGCAAUUCUUUGUCUUCUUGUUCGAGAUGGUUCUUCCCAAUCCAUCAAGGAAAGAUGGAAAAAGCACCAUAACUCCUACACAAUGCAAAAUCCAGAUCAUUAUGCUAACUACAAAACUUCAAUAUGCAAGUACUGCAAUUUCAAAUUCAUCAGCUUAAGUUUUCAUGCAAAUACUUGAGAUGAUGAAUUGUAAACAACAUAGAAAACCGGCCAGUAUUCAAAACCUUGUAUGUUCUGCUGAUUCUGUACAAGAAAACUGAAAACUUCCACCAGAAACCUCCUACGAGCUGCCGGAAGAUGAUGUCAUGAGCUUGCUGCUGAUCCAAGAAGAAACAGGCGAUGCCUUGUCCUGCUUGUACUCCAUUUUCAUCAUCUUCGUUAUUUUCAUUUGCAAACACAAGUAUAACUACGCAAAAGCAAACUUUGAGACAAACUAGAAGCUAGUGUGAAAUUACUUUCACGUCUUUGCCUUGGCCACCAUGUUUUGCACACUUCAUGGACCUUUUAGACAUUACAACAGAGAGAUCGAGUUACAUCAACAUUGUCAUAUGAUAUCUAUCAUCGUUGCCCGCCCACUUUGGUCAUGCUUUUAGUUUAAGAUAUCAGAUAGCUCAUGGAUUUGGAUGCAUUAGUGGGAUCAUCAUUACUUAAUCAGAAUAUUCCACACAAAGUUGUCCUUAAACACUAAACAAAUAGCAAAGACUAGUAUGCAGUGUGAUUAAAAAUAGUGAUUGAAUUCAUGUGGAGGAGAUUAGAUUCUGACUAAAGAUGUAUUAUCUUGAAAGAGUAUUCUAGAAAAGUAAGUGUUCAUUACAAAGCUGAGAUGGUGAAAGCUUUAUUAACAAGAUAUAUUUUGUUGUGGAGCAAAAGCUUCAUUGGAUGAGGCAUAAAAAGAUCAUUGAGAUCCAAUUACCAGAUACCAAACCAAACACAAGGCUAUGAAUGAACCACUUGUUCUUGAUAGACCAUACACAUCAAAUACUGGGUGGUCAAAAGAAUUAGGUGAUUGUGACACUAUAAUGAUCCCAAAAACAUAGCAGAAGUGGUUGGACCAUAAAUCACAUAUGCAUAUGCAUGCUAGAUUCUGGUGCUAGAUAAUGGUGGGGGUGGGGUGUUACACACAAGCUUUUAGGAAGGCAGAUCUCAUUCAACUUGCACAUAUUGUGGUGGUUGUUUGUUUCUUUUCACACCAAAUAUCUUAUGCAGCUAGCUGAGCAUGACUUGCAAUUGCAAUGACAUUAGCAAGAGGUUUUGAGUAAAUGGUUGAAUUUAACAUACCAAACCAGUCUUCUCAUCAUCUCAUGACUCGUACUCCAUUUGGUUCAAUAGUUUUAUAGUGUCCCGGGUUCAAAAGUUUUUUAGUGUCCCAAAGUAUUGACACUCCGAGAUGUUAGUCGUUCGAUCAGUGAAUACAUCCGGUGUGCCGCGUACGUAUAUUGAAACUGAACCACUUAUAUCUGCGGGGUUUAAAAACUUCGGAUUUAAGCUAAAUCAAAUUAAUUGGUAAAGAACUCAAUGGGUACAGAUGCAACUAUCAACGAGCCUCUGGAAUAACCACUAAAAUUUGAGACUAACAAUGGGUUGCAUAAUUCACUCUAAAAUCAUGUAGGGCAUGUAACAUAUAUAUUGGUCUACUGAGAUGGUUCACUUUACAUGACAGAACUAUUUGCUUCUUCCUUUUCCAGUUCUCUAAUCAACAAUUCCAUCAUUUUCUUAUACAUAGGCAUAUAGUGAUCAUUGAUCAUCGUUCUAGAAAGUCGGAGCUUACUGUACAGUUCUCUACGUGUCUCAUAUAUACCAACAUGCUCUUCAGUCGGUCCAUCAUGUUCUAAAUCAGGAGAAUCGGAUGAAGUUACUGAAACAAUGUGCAUGAUUCUGCCAGGGGGGUAGAAACGGUGGCUCUCUGAAAUAUCUGAGGAAGAGAUUGGUGUAUUGCUUUCUGCAACAUCAACCAGCAUAUUUUCUUCCUCAGUUAUUUCUUUAACUGCAGCAGCUUCUUCCUCCGCGGCCUCAACAUUGAUUUCAUUCCCCUGCCUUUUAAGCUCCUUCUCCAGUUCAUACCACAAUUCACCUUCAGUAAUGUCUUCGACAGCAGAUGUGGUUGGAUCUUCAUGCACUGGCAAAAGCUGCUCCUCUUCAUCAGUAUCAUCAUGACCUGAUCCACCAGAACUACACUCCAUAUUGUCCAGCAUUGGGUCAGUGGUUGUUUCUUCGACCAGAGAUUCAGAAACCCUUUCACAUACCACAGAAGUUUCAAGCGAAUCACCCAUGUUAGUGUUAAGUGACUGACCCACAUUACGGCGACGUGCACCCAUGCAAGACCAAGACGAUAUAGAUGAACGGGUUCUAACAACAGCUAGGGCAACAUUUUGUGCACGCUUCAUCACAACCUACAAGUUGCAAACAAAAGAGCCUUUCAUUAUACAGAUAAAGUAGAAGACAAAACCGUAAAAGUUUGCAUGGGGAGCAUUAUGUUUUUCAUUUGAAUGAGUCAAUUGCUAUAUUACCAGUCCUUCUCAAAGAAACGCCGACACUUAUUAACAUAAACAAGCCAGUGAAUUACAUUUCUAGCAUGCAACAGAUCUAAUAACAGUACAAACCAACAAAAACCGUGUAAUUAACCAUCAAGUCAAAUAAGAGAAGGAUUAGAUUCACCUGAGUACUGCUGGAUACUGGCCUCAAUAGUGCACCUGCACCAGCAACCCUGGCUUUUGCACUAGCUAUAGAGGGUAGAUGAGAACCCAGAGCGGUUGCUGAGCGAUAAACAACAUUUAAAACCCGUGUACGCUCAACCUGAUCCCGCAAAUCAUUUAACCAUGAUGAAGCUGUGACCUGAUAUGAGGACAAAUUCAAUAACAAUUAUAAAAAUGACUAGAAGAUGAAAUUAGUACAAUAGUACCAUAUACAUAUUUACAUAUUUAUAAACAAGAAAACUACACUAUCCAUUUUGAAUCUGGAGAAAACUCCACCUCAGUGCGGAGGUCAUCAACAGAAGCUGCUGAGAAUGUAGGCACCAGGUCAGAGCCAUUGAUGAUAGUAGUGAUGAAGUGCUUGCCAGAUUCUGCCAACUCCAUUGUUAUGCAGGCAGCUGCAAAGUGACAAUUAUAGUAUAAGCAAAUGUUAUUUUUUAUUUUAUACUAAAGCUGACAUAGAGGAGACCAGGGAAAGCAUAUUCCAGAAGAAAUUUAGCUGAGAUAGAUGGCAUUGGCAUAUAUGUGUUAUUAUACCUGUGGCAUUUAUUUGCAUUUCAAUGAACAAAUGGACAUGGAAUGCUUUAACCAUUAGAAAAGACCGAAGACAUGCCUGGAGCAAAUGUAAUGCAAGUAGUUGAAGAGAAUUCUCUCUGUUCCCGAAGAAUGUAUGUUAAUAAAGCAGCUGUACCACCCCCCAGUGAAUGUCCAACAACCUGAAAUGCAAAUUUCAACAUUAGAUAGUAAAAUAACAGAGAUGAUAAUCUUUCUCUCAUAUGAUUAUACAUAUAUCGCCAGUUCCAAAACUAAAGUUUAUGCUAUAUGAACCCUAGAUUUUAUGGCAAAUUAGUCUGCAUGAAACAUCUAUAUCAGGAAAAAUGACAGAACAGUUUUUACUUGUCCUUCAAAAGAUGUAUGUUACUUAAUUGUGCAGUCCUUUAAAACAAUGGUUAACUUUGAAAUUUGAAUACAUAAAGUCAAAUCUAACUAUGAAACUCUGAACUCAUGAUUUUUUUAUGAGAAACAAAAAAAUUAUGUAAACAAAAGUAGAUAUUGCAUGUAGCGGAUAGGCGUCCACUGCUAUCUCUAACAAACUAAACAAAUUUUGGGAAAAAACAGACAAAACGAAAAUUGAAAAUGCUAAUAGAAACCAACACCCAAAGGGAAGAAAAAUACUGAACCUCAAAGAUUCAGCACAUCUUCACAGUGCCAAACAACCCCCGCCCACCCACACACAAAAAAAAGGAAACUAUGCAGAGAACUUAUAGCUCUCACCACAUAUAACUUCAGACUCCAUAAACUCAUAAAGAAUUUACCAUAAGGCCAUUGUAGUCGGACAAUAUGGCAGCAAAUGAUUUUACUUCAGCAGCCUUUUUAUACAUCGAAGUAUCAGACACAAAGUCUGAGGGUCACCAAGAAGGCUGUCUCUAUUAAGCAAAAUUACAUGUAUUUAUCUUCCCAUGAGCACUAACCCAAGCUACACUCACACAUUACGAGGUAAUGUAGCUUCAUUACAACAGCAGACUUGUGCAUUAUUUGCUUUAAAAAGGACUUGCAAGAGAUAACUCUUGAAUGCUCGAACCUCUAUGAUCAUUGAUCCUACCUAUAUGGUACCAGCACUAUAUUUUCCAAACAAACCAAAAAUUCAGACAUCUCUACCACCUCUUAUUCAUUCAAUUUUUCCAUAACCCAAAAUCCCAAACCACAGGAUAAGAAGAAGAAUCUACACAUAAUCUGACAACAUGAGUGUGUAAAAAGGGAUAGUCUGUAUAUUCAAGGAAAAGGGUACAUGCUUAAUUUACUGGCAAGAUCAUUUUGAUUGCUUAAUCACAAGACCUUCUUGAAAGAUAACAGUAAAUAUUUUUAUUAGAACAUGUAUUGGAAAAAUUACUCAGUUUACUUCAGUUCAUAAACAAAAAUGUAACACUAGGAGUGAAGCUAGAGAACAGUAAGAAGACAAAAGAUGCAGCAUAAAUCUAAGAUAUAAUACAUGGAGAAUCAAAACAGAUAGAAAUAGGAAAAAGAAUUCUGAUGCAUAGUUCAUGAAAUGGCAUUCACCUUUACUGUAUACUCGGGGUAUUCACCAAGAGCCUUAAGCAAGCAAGGAGUACUGAGCUUAGCAAUCCAACGGGCUGCAGCAACCAUCCCACAGUGAGCAUAUCCUAGGACUAAGUUGCUUAUUCCACCAUCAUGCAGAACCGAAUGGUGAAAAGGGGCCACUGCACCGGUUGCAGCAGUUAGUGUGUCUUUGAUGCUAUGAGUACCACGUAUUAACAAAAGGAAGCAUUUUGAAUCUUUAUCACGUAGAAUUGUGAAUGCAGGCUUCAGAAGCUGCAACAUUAUGUUACGAGUUAAUAAUGGCCAACAACCAUUAACUAGUACAAAAGUAAAUUAAAAAAGAGGACUGCUUUAUCACAAGGAUCAUAGAAUUAUUAUGGAGUUUUCAUGCAACUGUGUGCUUCUGCACCAUACUUAGAUUCUUUCCCAGAUAUCCCCUUUACUCAAUUCAUUUUCUUUUGGCAUGAGUGAUGUUACGGAAUAUGGACUAACAGUUUCAGCUGUCAGUUUUUCCUUGUUAUGAAACUACUUUCUGCUGCUAUGGAUUUAUUCUCAAGAAAGACGCAAGCUAUGAAACAACUCAGAAGCACAAUGCAACCACAUGACCAAAUGCAGUCACAUAGAACAAUGUCAAGAGCUUACUAACCGCAGCUUUGGGCUUCUGAAAAAGAACAUCCUCCAUGGAGAAACCGCCGGACUCUAAAAACACCGGAAAUGGUUUCUUGGAAAACAAAUAACAAAGCGUCAACAGCUUCAAGUAAUAAUUUAGCUCCUCAAUAAUCUUAGACCCUCUGAGCUGCACACUGUCACUACCAGCAUACACACUCGCCACUUGUAAAUUACCCUGCACAUCAAAAAAAAUAUCCAUAAACCCUAACGCAAAUUCCAAAAAGCUCCAACAUUUGAAGCCAAAUUACUCACCUGCCUACGCAUGAGGUAGUUAAUACCAAACGCCAAGUCGCCGAUCGGCCAUUUCCCUAGAGUCUCGGAGUAAGUGAAACGCAGCGUAUCGGACAAGGUGGACAUUGACUCGAUCCACGUGGCCGGCGCCUGAGCCGGCCGCCUUGAAAGCCUCCGCCUCAACGAUCUCGACUUGGAGAAGUCACCGCUCCCGCUGUCGUCGUCUUCCUCCUCAGAGCCGUCUUUCGAGGCAGCUCUCCGGCCGAACAUGUAGUACAGAAUCACGGCUGCUCCGGCGGCGGUCGCCAUUGUCCCCGCCGCCAUUAGAUCGAAGCUUCGAGAUUCAAGAGCUCACAAAUACACAGCAUUCACGAAAUCAAAACCCUAGCACAAAUCGUAAUGAGCUGAAAUUGAAAUUGAAAUUUAAUGAAAUGAGGGAAGCGAAGAAUCGGAGAGAGAUGGAUUUGGGGGUCAGUGGUUUCCGGGAGAGGAAGGUAGUGUGUGUACAGAGAAUGUGCGCCAAUAAAGAAAACAACUGUGGAAAAUGUCGGUUUUGUCCCUGCCGUGGAGUAGUUGACUCUACGUUUUUGAACGAAGUGGCGUCGGGAAUUAGUUACUUUGAGGAGGUGCAGUUUCGUCACGCAGGGAGUUUUGUUGUUUUUUACGUGUUGAUCGAAGUGGAAGGGAGCGCACGUUAGCGAUCGGAGUUUUUUUUUUUUUUUUAGGGGGGUCGACGAGUGGUGUGAUAUGGGGGAAGUGGGCCCGGGUGUGGGAUAAGAGCUGGAUCCAACCCAUUCAAGUGUUGGAGUUUCUAUCCGUUUUCCCAUUGGGUGGGCCCGGGAGGAGGUGACAAGGCCCAAAAUGUUUUUUGCUGCUCUGCUCGUGCGGCUGAGCAGGAGUGAACGUCGGCACUUCGCUAAACUAUUUACAUGAAGAUCCUAAGAAGCAAGGACAGAUAUCUCCUAUAAUAUGUAGUCUUUCUUCAGGUGGUGGCAGCACUUUGAAUUAUACGAAUAUAUAUCCAACUUAGAUUGUAUUUGAGGAAUGCUGCUUAUGUUAAGUAGGUUUUCAAUAUGGCGUAAUAUGUAUUUUAUAGAUGUAACAUGACUUUUCAUUGCAAGCAAGAACAUACGCAAAAGUUACAACUUUGAUAUAGAUCAUUCAUAUUAUAUAUAUGAUUUAAUUUGUCUUCCAAUCGCUUAAAGUCUUAAGUCAUUGAACUUUUGCCUUAAAAGAAUAAAGUAAACUAUUUGAAUUAACAAAGCUAAGAGCAUGAAGCAAGAAAAUGAAAAUGAGGCGAAAAUAGUAGGUGAUACUCUAACUUCUUCAUUUUGUCCUAACAAGUUAGAAUCCUAAACAUGUUCAUGGCUUCAAGUCUUCUUAUCAUCGAUGAUACAACGAGACUUGUAACGUUGGAAUCCACCAACAAUAUACUUGAAUCCACAAGUCUGAUUUUCUCUAAUCUACGAGAAAAUCUGGAAUCUACCAGAAGAGUUGAGAAAAUCUCAAGAGUUUUAUUAAUAUCAAAGAUAAUGAUUACAACUGAAUAAGGAUCCUUAUAUGUGAUAAUAAAUCAUAUGGCAACUAACAACCAAGCCGAAAAGUCCAUGAAUUACAAAGAAAACCAAAUCCAAAACAAACUUAGAAAAAUAAAAUACUAAACAAGUAAAUCUGCGUUUUGAGGCCCUAAACAGACUCGGAUAGCCGAAAAAGCUCAUACAUCGAGACCAAGUUUGACUUUGACUCGUAUCGUCGUUCUGCUUCCGGAAAUGUAUUAUAAUUAGCAAUCGGACACCGAAUACCAAAUCUGGACCAAACCGGGUUUGGACUUGUAACAAUUAAUCUGUUCUUCAAUCUUUAUCGUCAUAUGUUUUAAUGUCAACCUAAAUUUUCUCUGUGGUGUAGGGUGGGGUGUACCAUUGUGAUUGUAUCACCUUCAAUAUUACAACUUUAACAAUAAAUUGUCCGCAUCUUGUUCAACACGCUUAAAUUAUGGAGCACCUAGUUAUUUAAGAGUCACACUUGAGCAAAUAAAUUGUGAUGUUGACAAAUUCAUGAAAAGUAUACACAUCCAGCCUUCAAUGUCCAUAACUCAAUUUGGGUCCAACCUGUUUUGCUUCUUCUUUCCUAAUUCUCGUGAUAGAGUCGAACUUAUAAAAACAUUGAUGAGAUAAGUUAGACAACUGCUUUAAAUAGUCGAUUUCUCUAUAUUUCACUAUGUAAAUAAUUUGAUUAGUAUAUAACUAUAUACGCAUUUUAUAUAUAUUGUCUAUAGUUCUAAAAGUUCGUCAUUCUUUUCCAAUUAUAUGCCGAUGUCUAUCCAUUUUGCCGUAAUAGACCAACAUUAUUUAGAGUGCUAAUUGGAGAAAACAAAACUCGUUGAGCAACAUGAAGGCAUUUGAGUGAGUCAUGAAGAUGAAGCCAAUGCACUUGGUUCGAAACAUGGAGCAUAAAACAAACCUAGGGUUUGAUAUUCAAACCCUUCACCUAUUCCGCAAAUGAGGCAUUGAAUUUUGAGCACCAAAAAAGCUUAAUGGACCUAUAAAUUAACAUUAUGGGAAUUUGACUACUUAAAAAUUGUUAAUAAAACAAAAACUACAUUCUAGCUAAUUGGAAUUAUUUUCUUAAUAAAACAAAAACUACAUUCUAAUCACGAAGCACACCAAUCUCAAAACAAAAGCUCCAUAUCCAAUGCUUUGCUAAUGACAAAAUGGCCAAGGUCGAAUUCCAAACGCCUAGAUUGCUCAAAUUAAGAAAGAUUCUACUAGAGUGGAAACUAUUGGGCAUCAGACUUCUCAACAAGGUCAGGUUUUCAAAGAUGCCUUGUGUUUUUGGGCUCCAGCAUCAUCAUCAUCAUUUGUUAAUCAUAACCCUACAAUUAGAAGAAGCUCACAUUGCUCCAGGUAGAAGAAACUCUUUUACUAUACUGUUAUGCCCGUGACCUCAAAAACCCUAACCUUUCCAUAUCUAGUGUUAAAGUUUCCUGACCACAUUGUAGGUGAAAACCAAAAUAAUGAAUCACCCUAAGGACGUCCUCAACCUAAAUAACUCGUAACAUUGUAGUUCCAUCACAUAAAAUAGAUGUUCUUCAAUUGUUGAUACUGGUUUUAUUUACUUGUUAGAAGUGUAGAAGUGAAUAGUUUCAUAACGUAGACAAGUAUUAAUCGUUGAGGUUCGUAUGCACCUAUCAAUCGUUGAUGUUCAUGUUCGUAUGCGCGUAUAGAAUUAAUCUUAGCAUAGUCGACGGGUUUAUAUCCGACCAUCCAUGUUCCAAACUCCAAAAGUUUUACACACAGUAUUGAAUUCUCCCACCUAAAACUAGUAGUAGAGAAGCUCCUUCCCCUUGAAUCUCUUCACGUGAAGUUUCGCAUUGUUUGUGUGGGGGUGAUUCAUGUUGAAAUUAGUUUUGUGCACCUACCAAAAGAGAGAAUAAUUCAUUCACUAUGGUCCUCUUUAACACUUCUUCAUCAUGAUCUCUCAACUUCUUCUUCUUUUGGUUCUGGCAGCAACACUAUUUUAGCUGCAACAUUCAAUCUUUCGGGACCCUUCAAUCUGUGGCUUUAUUUGGUGAAUGAGUUUAAGGCAGCAAUUAGUCAAUUUGAUACUGACAUUUUGCAGCAUUAUUCUAUUUACUAUGAACUAGUAUCUUACUGUCAUGAUAGCCCCCUCAUAGAUUAUAUCAUUCACCCACCAUUUCCACUCAAUCAAGUUUAGUUAUUCAGUUUCUGUAAUCUAAGCUAUAUUCAUAGGUGAAUGAGUUGUACACCUAAUGUCAGCUAUCAUGAGAAGAUAACCUUUCAUUGAUUUUGUGAUAUUCUUCUUAAAUUUGCAGAUUCGGAUUUCAUGUGUAUACUAAACAUAAGAAACAAAAUCCAUUUACAGAAAUCCUUUUCUAAAAGCUAAAUACACAUAUAAAUCAAAAGCGUUAACCAUCAUACGAUAAACAUUAACCAUCAAUAUCAUAUCUCACUUUUUCCUUUACAAUCAUCUUUUAUUAUAUUUGACAAUCCUCAAUUUUAAGAAUUGCAUUAUAUAAUUCAGAUUUGUAUAACAUAAUGAAUGACUCGGGUAAGUGAAAACUAGCAAAUAAUUUUCUCUUUAUUAACUACGUACAAUAAACACAUAUAUGAUCGAGUGAUUUUAACAAAACUUUAUUUGAUAAAACAGAUCAAUAAAAUAAAAUCUCAAACAAAGAAAAUUGUAUCGCACAAUUGAGAUGAUGUCAAUCAUCACACCAUAAGUAGUCUAGUUGGUAAGAGGAUAGACAUGGAAACCAUACCCAAGUUUGAAAUCCUCCGACACUAAUUGAAGUUUAGACCUCAAUUCAUUUUUAAUAGCUAGAGAGGAAAUGUUUUAAUAUAACUCUUUGAUGUGGGUUAGUUUUUAGACCUAAAAAGUUCGUAUGAUUCCUUUAUAAAUCAAAAGUACUAAAGCUACAAAUCGACGUGAUUAUUCGAAGCUUGAAAUCAUCUACGGAGUCAAUAACCUAUAUUUAUUCAAAAUUUGAACCUCAAGCAUAAAAGCUUACACAAAAGAGUAAAACCGAAGGACUAUAAUGACCGGGAAGACUGUUCUGAAACGCUUCCACGUUGCAAGAUCAACGGCUGACCUCUUCCUAUUCCCUUCCCGCACCAACUGAUCCACUUUCAAAAAUCUCACCCGCAAACUUGGCUCUUUUUCUUAACCGCUCCACCUUACCCCCCUUGUAAUCACUGCGCCUCUCUCUCUCUCUCUCUCUCUCUCUCUCUCUCUCUCUCUCUCUCAUGCACACCAAAACCCCACAAUAUCUUUGCUACCCAAUUUAGCUUCGAUCUUCUCCUUCAUUUCCAUUCUCUGGUCACCUCCAUUUUUUCCUUCCUCUGUUGGAACUUGAAAAAAAUGGGACAACAUUCUGAUUACAAAUCGCAGUUGGUGACAGAGAUUUGCUCCAUUUCGAAAUUUUCCAUUGCUUGUUCUCACAGGCACUGCACUACCCCUGCUCGAUCUUCUUCAACUUUCGUCGAUUGGUAUCGUCUUCUUGGGGUACGUUUCUUCACAUUCAAAACGUCAAAUCCAUUAUUGGUUUUUUGUUUUCUUUCUUUCCUUAAAUGUUAGUAUUUACGUUUCUAUAGGUGGAAGAAACAGCUGGGAUUGAUGUUAUAAGGAAGAGAUACCAUGAACUUGGUACGUUUUUGAUUGGCAUUUGCAUAAAUACCCGAGUUGUGAAAUUUGCUUGGUUUGGUAAUGUGAUAUGGCUUUUCUAGUGCAGCUUUACAACUUCACCCAGAUAAGAACAAACAAGCCAAGGCUGAAGUCGCCUUCAAACUUGUCUCAGAGGUUAGAAUUGCUUCCUCUUCCAAAUUUUACCUUUUUAAAUUUCUUGUUUUGGGGAGGAGUUGACAAGAGAAUCCAAUGAGUUCACACCCCGUUAAAACCCAGUUGCCCCAAAUAUGUACAAGACAAAAUUUAUUUUUGUUCUGACAGUAUUUAUGCCUCAUCACCUUAAUUUGGUACAUGAUAUUGGUGAGACCCUUCAAUUUUUUCUGACAAAAUGGGCCAUUUAGCUUCUUGAUGAUUUAGGGCAUUCAAUUGCAUUGUACUCGCACUGGGAUUUAAUAUUCAAUUUAAAAUACUUGGUUUCGAAUUUUGGUGAUUAUAUUAUUGCAGGCAUAUUCAUGUCUCUCUGAUGAUGAAAAUAGAAGAGCUUUUGACUUGGAGAGAUGGAGCAAGUUCUGCUUUGAGUGUGGUACAAUUCCCUACACAACUUACAAGGCUCCCAGCAAUGCCAAGGCUUCAGAACCCACAAGUCGGUCGAGGUCUUGUAAAGUUAUCAAGGGCCUGAAAGAUAUCAGAAAUCGAUUUAGAGAAGAGGCAAGAGUGAUUGAAAACUGUCUGAGGGUUAAUAAUGCAGCAUCAAGAAAUGAAACCUCACUCUGUAGUCCACCUUCUUAUGUGUUUCAGAGCAAUUUUAAUCCUAGGUUGAGCAGGGAAACCCCUGUAUUCAACCCAUCUGAUCAUGUGGUUCAAGGAUAUCCCCAUCUCAGGACUCGAAUCUACGACAAAGAUAAAUCUCGGAGCUUUUGGUGCUUGAGAACAGGGCAUCACAUGUUGAAUUGUGAACAAGGAAGGGAUAGUAGGGCUACUUAUGAUUCACCAGUAUUUGAGGUCAGAUCAGAUAGUGGAAUUUUAAAGAGUAGAUCUACUUGUGUUCGUUCAUAGCUUAAUGAACAAUUCAUUUCUUUGGAGAAUAAGUUAUUUUUAACAAAUCUUAUUGCACUGCCAUGGUAAUUGCCUUCAAUUUAGUUGGUAUCUGGUAACACAUUGAUUGCAAUUGUCACGGCUUAGAUUCCAAAUAAUUAAAAUCCUGGAUUUCCUGAAACAGUUGGUAAGGCAUUGAUCGUAUAGAUCUCAUCUAAUUUCAAGCAUCAUAAUCUAGCAACAUUUGACUGUUGAGAGGAAUGGGAACGGAGAAAUGUAAAUUCAUUAAUCAUGAAUAAGCAUCACAAAUGCAUAGAGUAAUCUUGUUAAUCAAAAUGACAUUGUAUAACAGAUUGUGACUGUACCAUCCACAAAGUAUAGUUAUAGAAUCCCGUACAAAAUACUCGUCGUACAAAACUGAACUUUCCUUCAACUUUAGUGAAAAACUUGGUCGGAUGGGGAAUUGGUGUUGCAUUAUGAUCUGGCUAGUCACCACCAAGCCAUAACAGUUCUCGGAGACAUUGUCUUCAUUCUUUAGUUCCAAUUGCUACUGGUGCCUCAGGGACUUUCAGAGUACCAGCAUCUAUCAAUGGCUGCAAUUCCUUCUUUGCCAGCUUAUUUACAUGAGAAUCUGAAGAUGCUAAGUAUGCAGAAACUACCCUACAGCUGCAAUCACAUAAUAGAAGUCUAAGAAAAAAGAGUUGACCAUACUUUUGAUAGAAAUAAGAACUAGGAAGAUGAGAAAGCUUACCUGUGACCUUGGGCCCACAAUUCACAUUUCCCUUUCAGUGCCUUGUUCCACAAAGUGGAGGCGAAUGCAGGGCAAUCCAAGAUUAGUCUUCUAAUGGUCCGACUAGAAUGAAAAUUUUCAAGGAGGUGUUCUUCUUUUGGAUCGUCGGAUUUAGGUUCUGCAACAAGAGUUGCUAUAGCUUCAUAUAGUUCAUCUAACUUGUCAUCCAAAGUUGGGUGGAGGAUUCCAUCAGCACCCCCAGUUGCCACCUGCGUGCAUUAAAAGUUAAAGUCCGUCAAUUUUUUUUCUGAAACAUUUAAAUGCCCAUGGGAGAAACAAUUCCGGGUGAUUCACGACUACUACUCUUAUCCCACAGUGAAACAGUAGAAGUAUAAUGAGUACCUCAUAUAUGACUUCUUUGCCAAAGUUUGAUCUAAGUAACUCCCCUGCACUUGUAAUGCAUACAUCAACUAGCCUCUGCAAGAGAUACCAUCACUCAAAGUCAAUAUUCAUACCGUAAAAAAAAGAUGAGCUGAAUGAGAAAUCAACUUCUAUAUGAUGUCCUGAUUUAAAUUUUGAUGAUAAAAGCAACAAACCUCAGCCAGCCCACUCUUGACUAACAAUUCUUGCCUUCGGACUGAAGGAUCCUUUUUUCCACCAUCAACUAAUUUGGUAUUCUCAUCAGGAUCAUUAGUUUCAGUUUCCUUCCCUUCAGAAGGGAUAUCUGCCUCAACCUAUAAAGAGACAGAAAACCGUAAGCACCAUGCAACCAAAUCACUAUCCUAGCGUAAUGCUAUUUUCUAUAGUAGUUCUGUAAGAGCUACCUUGUUGGAUAAAGAAGGGAUAGAUAAACUGAGAGAAGCCAGAUCAUAGGGAGUCAAAUAGCGUGAACAAUUUGGAUGAAGUAGCUGCAGUAAUGGGCGCCUUCCAUCCUGAAAUUUGCAAACAGUAAACAGCAUAUUAGGAAUGUAGCUAGUACAAUGAAGGUGGAAUCAGACCACCAGAUGUGGAAUUGAGGUCAAUGAGCAUACGUGAGCAAUAACGUAUAAGUGAUAUAAGCAUAAGUUUAGCCAAUCGAUCAUUUAUUUUCUUCUAGGGGAAGUGGUCUGAGAAGAUGAUCCUAUUGAGGUAUUCCAGUAAUCAGCAUACAUCCCAAUACCAUAACACAGUAAAAGAAAUAUGAUCUAAAUGUUAUAUAUAUCAAAUAAAGUCAAAGCGGCAGGACGGACACAAACCUUAUCAAAAACAAGAUCCUUUAAAUGUUCUUGAAGCUCAUUAAUGACAACCUGUAAUCAGGAGUGUUUAGCUUUUGUAAGGUCAUCACGAUUUGAUAAACUAUACCCAUAAAGCAACUAAUGUUACAUGAAGAACAGACCUUUGUAAUAAGCUUUGUGUCAUCAACAACUGAAACAAGAGAGACAAGCACCUGCAAAGGAUAGCAUAACUUAUAUCAUGUAUGCAAAAUAUUAGAGUAAGCUCUGUGCCAUGUGUGCACAUAAUUGAACCAACAGAAACAAAACAGUAAGAAGCAUGGAAUCAAAAACUAUAUAGUACUUCUUACACUAGCAAUAAAGUACUGACAGCAAAGAAUCCCCAAUGCUUACCAUACUUCCACAUUGAUCACUGGCUAUUUUACAUAUGUGGCCUUUCAUUCCUUUGAUUAUCUUCUUUCUUUCCUAAAAGUAAAGACGGUGGAAGUCAUUAGCCAAAACUUGGUGCAUAUUCACUAACUACAAACAAAUCACUUGUAUCUAAUAAAUAGAGAAAUUUCAAUAAACCUUUGCACUGCCAUGCUUGACACAGAGCAUUCCAACCCUAGAUCCAUCCCUUGUAUGAAUCAUUCGGACAAGAAGAGGACCUGACAACUGUUUAAUGACAUCUGCAGCAGAGAACUUCCAAAAAAAAAAAAAACUUGAUAUUCAGAAGGAGAAGACAGAAUGACAAGCAAAACGAUAUACUAUAAGCAAAGAUUUACUUCAAAAAAGAUUGCUCAUAAAACAAUAAAGUACAAUGGGACAUCUCGAACAUACCUCUUCAGCUAUGGUGAAGUACUCUAUCAACACCCUAUGUAAUAUAGAGUGGUCAACUAUUCCUUUCUCUAAAAUUGGUUGAAUCACCGAAGUCAUAUGCUUCAGGACUGAAGAUUUCUGCAGAUCUAACUUUGCUAUUAUAUCUACUAACCUGAAAUUUGAUCACUAAUCAGGAGACAGAACACCUUCAAGAUAUAUCAUAGGUGGUUCUUUUGGGAGUUCAACAAGAAACAUACAGAGUGCAAUGAGAAUAUUUCAAUACUACUCGCACUGUUAAAUUAUUGGAUAUAAUUCUUUACCUGCCCUCUUUCUUCAAGACCAAGUCCUUAAACAACUGUAGUUCUGUAGAAUAUAAUUCCACCAAAAGUUCUUGCUUUUGAGUUGCAUUUCCCAAUUGGUACGCAUGCUCUACAACUGUAACAGGAUUUACAGAUGAAUAAAGUUAUGAUACUCCUGAGUGUAAGAGUGGGAACAAAAAUAAUUGGCUGGGUAUUGGUGACAUUUAUCUCCAAGUACCCCAGAUAACCUCCAGCAUACCUACAGAUCCAACCAUGUGACGCAGAAGGGUUGCAACAUGUCCAUGGAGUGACGAGAUAAACUCCGCAAGCUGCUGUUUGGAGGCUGGCAAUCGGAGCACAGAAAGUAACUUACUAAUCAAUUAGAAAAUAAAAAUUCAAUACGAACAACAAGAAUACACUUCUAUACGGUCAUUGCCAAGUUUAAACAUACCGUUGUCCAACAUCUUUUUCACCAGAUGAACACCAUAUGCACUGCGUGUAAGGGUAAGAAAAUGUGGCUUAAGCUCCUCAAAUACUGCAUCUUUUUCCGCUUUUCUCAUUUUUGCAUCCCCUUCCGCUUUUUUCUUCUUUGCAUCCCUUUCUGCUUUAGAGCAGUACUUAACACAAGUCUGAGAAAAAAAAAACAAAAACAAAAAAAAACACAUAAAUACAAGCUACUGCUAUAAAUCAGAGGUUUAGGUUUUGGAAACACUGAGAGAUGAAGCUAACAAAUCACCUGCAGAACACGGGAAGAGACAUGAGAGCUUGCAAUUUCAGGAAUUUUCCCCUUCAUUUUUUGAAGGGCUUCGCUCACCAACCUGCAAGGAUCAUCAACAGUAAAAUCAGGUCAAACAACAUAUGUAACUCCAACAAUGCAGAAUUGCAAUAUAACUUCUCAAAGUUCAUACUUGUAUCUAUCUUCCUUGGAAAUAUCUCGACUCCUCAUCUUCUCCCACAGAUGUGCAAGCUCCUAUUUCAAAAAGGGGUCAACAAAAACAACUUUAGCCCAUCACCAUAAACCUUUCCCUUCAAGCAUUUCAAAGAGGGUCUGAUUAUAGUUGUACUUGCAGACAUUUAUCAGCAUAUAUAGAUUCAAACAAUGCAUGAAGUCACAAGUCACUAAUUCUAAUCUCGCAAAAGUAGGGUUUAUCGGCAGAAACUAAACAACAUACAUUUCAUAUUUCCAUUUUCAUCUCAACAAUUUCCACAUAUCAAACACAUAUUCAUAAUCACAAGAAACAAAAUUUUAAACACUCACAUGCUCUAAAUUAUAGUAAGGCUUUCGCUUCUUCUUCCUAGCUUCAGCAAGCUCCUGCCAAAAACAAAACAAAAAACCCAACAAAACCCACAAAUCAAAAUCGUUCAUUUACAACAAACCAUCAAAAACCCAGAACCAAAUUUCACCACACACCCACCUUAGCACGGACGCGAAGCUCUUUCUUCGACAACGACGUCGUUUUCUCGGCGUCGGGAUUGGGACGCUUGAAGGGUUUAGAGGAGUCAUUUUUUCGAGGGUCGGUGGGUUUAGAGCCGGCGAGUCUGGGUUUCUUGGAAUCGGAGCUACGGUGGGUCUCCGGCUUAGUGCCGCCGGGAACUUGCUUCCUCUUCUUGAGUCUGGUGUCGUUGUCCUUGGCCGCCAUCGGAGUGGAGUAGAGAGGUUUGAGUUGUUCGUCUCUGUUUGUAUUGCAAAAGGGUUUUUCUCAGGGUUUUGGGGUGAGUUUCGGGUUGGGGUCGAUACGGUUCGGGUUUGAAGUAUACCUAACCGCCCCGCGGCCCAUCUCAUAAUGUCUCCGGUAGGUCGUCCCUAUGACUCUUAUGUCUUAUUUCCAAACUACCCUCUAACUGGUCAACGUGAUAUGUUCCUCUUUCGGAGAAUGCGUAAGAAGAACCUAAACAUUUACCAAAAAAAAAAAAAAAAACUAAGAAGUACCGUUGCAUCUUGUUGAUACAGUUCUUGUUAUUAAUUGAUCGAAAUAUUAUUAAUUAUUCUUUAGGUUCAAUUUCGUAUAUGGUAAUGUAAUGUCUAAUGCUUGGCUCGGUCCCAGACCGGCACCCGUUUCUUAAUGUCUGGACUCGUAUCGGUUAGUGUCUAAACAUAUCGGUUGUUGUAAUAACUUAUGGGAUCAACAUGAACAUUGCCGAUCCUGUCAGUUUUUGGUGCUUGUUUUUAUUUACAUAUUGCAUUCUCAUUUCGCUAAACAAGUAAACAUACAUGCAUCACUUGCAUUCUCAUGAUCUCAUCUCUCACAAUCAGUGUCAACUACCAAAUCAAAUACUAAAAGACGAAUAAUAACUAAAUGGGUAUGUCCACCCCAAGGAAGACUCAAUGUUAAUGUGGAUGGGAGUUAUAGGUUUGACAAUGGGUGUGGAUGAGUUGGUGUCGUAGUCCGGGAUGAACAAAGAAGAUGAAUAACAAUCAAAUUGAACGGAGUUGAUUUGAACUCAUUAAAUUCAUUAUGUCAAACUGAAAAAAAAAAACACAAAUUCAGAAACUGAUUUGGUAUUUGUGAGACUGCAAAUAUAAAACUCUUAGUAAACGAAACUGGAGAGUAAUAGAAAAAAGGUCGGAAGAAGAGGAAGAAGACUCACCUGGAGGUUGGGGAAUAACUGAAGGUGUCAAGACCCACCCCGAAUUUCACCCUGAAACUCGAAGUAAAUCCUGCGGGGACCACCUCCAAGGAAAAUUUACCCAAAAUUCGGCAUAACCUCCCUUGAAAAUGGACAACCCUUCCUAAAUAAAACACCUGCAAACACUUCUAAAAGUUCCAACUCCAACCUUAACUCCUGGAGCCUUCGAGCUCCCCACAAAUCACAACAUCUCCCAAAAUAGAUUCACUAAUCUAACAAAUGAUCCUAUAACCAACAACCACAUAUUCAGAGCAACUCUACUUGAGAGGAGAGGAACUAAAAAUAAAUAGAAAUGAGCGAAAGCUAUACUAUUGACUAUGCCUCUUCACCAUGUACGCUCGGCCUCACUAUGCUAACCUGCAACUGGGCAUUUAUAAAACGAAGAGUCCAGGGAAAAACAUUUGAAACCGUUAGAGUGAGCGGACAAAAACAUAAAUUUAAUGAAAAUAUUUAUGCUUUCCCAAUUUACAUUUCCAUAGAAAUAUGCUGCAUGCGACAGCUCAAAAAUGCUCAACACAAAAACUGGCAAUUUCAUAACUAACUCCGGCCAGUCUCCAAAGCUCAAUAAAAUACAGCCUCUCAGGCUAAAAUAAAAUAUGUAUGUAUUACACUCGUCAUAUCCCUUGUAUGAAUUUUCUUGAAAUAGCUAAAACAAAUAGAAAAUUCACACAAGGCUACAACGCUUGCGUCUAACGCUCACGUUGCACCAUAAUGGUAUUUUACCUCAUUAUGGUGGAAAAGACGGUGUAUAAAUAUACGCGCAUAUCCCCUAUAUAAAUUAUUAUUUUUAUAUAGGGCUACAACGAUUGCGCCUAACGCUCACGUUGCACCAUAAUGGAAUUUUACCUCAGUAUGGUGGAAAAGCACGUAUAGCUAGCUAGCAUUCUCUCAUAUACAUAUUAUUCUCAUAAUCAUCCAAAUAUGGAUAUAUAUACAUACUCACUGAAAUUCUCAAUUUCGGUUAUUCUCCAACAAUAAUGAAAAUUGCCAAUUAUCAUAAAAAGCAAUACGCACACGACUCUACCGAAAAUCUCAUUUUCGGUAACUUUCCAAAUAACACGAUAGCCAUUAAAAAUGAGAACAUUUACUUCUGAAAAUGACUUCGCGAAAAUAGACAAAUCCACAAAUUGAUAUUCAAUAAAAUCAAUCAUUUAAUGUAGAAUCACCGCAUGCAUAUAUUUUAAAACAAAAGUCCACUCACAACUUUAGGCCUAAGCCUGACGUCGAUCUGAGGUCUCUUCUGCUUGAGCCUCCUCACGUCCUGUUUCCAAAAGUAAGAUUAAUUUCCCCACUAAUACUCCAAACAUUUACAAAAUAGGCAAAAUAAAACGUGAGCCAACCACGCUCAUCAUUGCCUAAUUUUGAUAUUCCUAAUUCGAAAUGCUCCAAACUUCACCGAAAAAAAUAAUGGCAGCCUUAGCACAACCUUCAUAGAUUAUACGACUUUAAUCUAAUGGCCGGAUUCUACAUUAAUUAACCGCCAAAAAUACCAAACUUCGGAAAAUCAUAAACCUAUCCAAAACUCAUCCAAAAAUUCCAUAACUUACAACAAUAUACUCCCCUUAAUAUUCCACAUUUAAAACCCUAAAAAUCUCUUAACCGGCGGCCGGAGGCCAAUUCCGGCGACCUCCAAAAUCUAUGAAAUUUUGACAAAAUAAUCUCCUCAUCAUGCUCUACAACUUUCCUGACCAACACAUCACCCAAUUUCAAGCCUAACUAGGCUAAUCGAACAAAAACAUCCUAAAAGCCCUAGAAAUUUCAACUCCACAUUUCUCCUUACCUAGCUCAAGAGGGAGUGAGCUGAUUGGAGGGGUUGUUGCACGAGAGGAGGGCUACAAAAUAAGCCAAGGAUCACUGGUUUUGGUGGCCGGAGGAGAGAGUUCCGACGGCCGGAAGUUCGGGGCAGCCUAGCCUUUCGGGCGGCACCGCUCUCUCACGGCGGCACUAGGGGGGCUGUCACCGGUCCUGGAAGAUAGCUGGGUCGGAGACCGAUCGAUUGGGACCGGUGCGGCGGUCUGGGGCGGCCGGACGGCGGCGGUCGGGCGGCGAGAAGUUUCCGGCGGGGAAGAGGCUCGGGAGGAAACCGGGAAGAAGAGAGGAAGAAAAAGAAAGAAGAAAAAAAACUGGGUUUGGGCCUCACACCCCAAACCGGUCAAUCCUUUUAAACAACCUAAAUCCAAAAAUAAAACACCCCGAAAAAUAAUACCCGAAUAAAAAUUACAUUUUACUAGCUAAAAGUUACCAUCUUUACCGUCGUCAUAUUUUCUCCCACGAACAAUUCCCCGAAACUAAUCAUCUCUUAAAAAUACCUCUAGGGACCAAUUAAACUAUUAACUCAAUGACGGGGACUGUAAAAUUCUUAUUAUAAUUAAGCUAGUGAAUAAGGUAAAAAUAUAAGGGUCGGGAUGUGACAAUUCUCCCCUCCUUAUAAAAAUUUCGUCCUCGAAAUUUACGUACCUGUCAUCAGAAGAGAUAGGGAUACUGCUGCAUCAUUUGCUCCUCUGAUUCCCAAGUAGCUUCUUCUACUUGAUGACUCCUCCAAAGCACCUUGACAAGCGGGAUUGUCUUGUUCCUAAGCACUUGCUCCUUUCGGUCGAGAAUCUGAACCGAUUCCUCUUCAUAGGACAAGUCUCUCGUCAAACUAAUCGGCUGCUCUUGCAGCACAUGAGAAGGAUCGGCAAUAUACUUGCGAAGCAUGGAUACAUAAUUUUCGGUAACUCUCCAAGAGAAAUAAAAAUCGUCAAAUUAAAAUGACGUUAUAAUAUUCCGCAACAUUAAUUGUUCAACCAUGAACUAUAGCAUGCAUUUAUUUAAAAUAAACGUCCACUCACUCUAACGUUAUUAAAUGUUUUCCCCUGGGCCUUUCGUUUUAAAUUGCCCAGUCUGCAGAGUUCGGGUUGGAUCUAGUAGGCGACGAGGCAUAGUCACCCGCAUUUCCUCCAGUUUUCAUCAGUAGGUUACAUGUUUAACCUACUCGUGUUUUCUUGCUUCCGCUAGUGUUUAGUAGCUCUGAAUACUUUGGGAUUAUUGUAUAUUAUGUGUAGAAUUUCUGAAGGAUAAUUAUGUGAUCUUUGGAAGUGUUGAUUUAAGAGUGUAAUUUGGAAUUUUCGAGUUAGGGUUGUCCAUCUGCAAGGGAGAUUUUCUUAAUCUUUUCAGUAAAUUUUCCUUGGAGGUGGUCCCCGCACAACUUACUCCGGGUUUCAGGGUGAAAUUCGGGGUGGGUCGUGUCAGAAGGGGGCCGUAAGUCUGGAGAAACGUCGAGAUAGAAGUGAGAAAGAAAUGGCGGUCUCUGCAAGACUACAAUUGAAAUUGAACUCGGACAUAUAGUUUUAGGUUUAAUUUUCAACCAAAAAAAAAAAAUUGUACUCAGUCCUCUGAUAAUAGUGUAGCCAUGGGAAAUUAGCCAAUAAUUGCAUCACACGUCAAACUUUGAGUUUUGUUUCCAAUCUUGAUAUUCUUUAGAAUGAAAAAUGGUCCAAACAAUAUCUCAUAUUUUAGAGAAGCUAACUUUUGGUAUCUUAACUUUGAAAAACUUCAAAACGAUAUCUCACGUUCGUACUCCGACCAAAAAAUUGAUAUCUAAUACCGUUAGUUCUAUUAAAAACUGAGAGCGAAAGUAGACUGGUUGGACAAAAUUAUAUGAUGGGUACCUUAAAAGAGAGACGGGUUGGCGUGAUCAAUCUUCAGACGUGAGAUACCAGUACCAGAUACCAAUAUUUGAUCGGGGCAUGAAUGUGAGAUACUGUUUUGAAGUUUUUCAAAGUUGAGAUACCAAAGGUUAACUUCUCUAAAAGGUGAGAUAUUGUUUGGACUAUUUUCCCUAUUCAAAAUCAUGUUAUAACUUCUGUUACGCGCCUAAAUCAUAGGAAAGCUUGUCGUUGUUUCUCCCUAUUCUCGUUCGGCCGCACUGUGGCGUGGGUUGAGGCUUAGGCUUCGCCCACGUGUCCUGAGUACGGCCUGAUAGGACAGUAUGAUUGUUGUGCUAAAUUGGUUUUGACACGACCCACCCCGAAUUUCACCCUGAAACCCAGAGUAAGUCGUGCGGGGACCACCUCCAAGGAAAAUUUACUGAAAAGAUUAAGAAAAUCUCCCUUGUAGAUGGACAACCCUAACUCGAAAAAUUUCAUAUUACACUCUUAAUUUAACACUUCUGAACAUCCCAUAAUAUACAAAAUUCUAAAGUAUUCAGAGCUACUAAACACAANCGGAAGCAAGAAAACACGAAGUAGGUUGUAACAGGUAACCUNNNNNNNNNNNNNNNNNNNNUACCGGCGGCGGCGCCGCCGGCGGCUCCGCCGGCAGCGGCGGCCGGAGGUCAAUUCCGGCGACCUCCAAAACCUAUGAAAUUUUAACAGCAUAUUCCUCUCAUCAAGCUCUACAACUUUCAUAACUAGCACAAACACCAAUUCCAAGCCUAACUAGGGCAAUCGACUAAAAACAUUAAAAACACCAUAAAACUUCCACCUCAAAUUUCUCCUUACCUAGCUCAAGAGGGAGUGAGUCCUUUUAGGGCAAGGUUGCUGGGUUGGAGGGCUACAAAACCAUACCAAGCUUGCCCGGAUUGGUCGCCGGAGGAGGAAGUUCCGGCGAAAAAACCGAUUCGGCAGUCGAAGCUUUCGGGCGGCACCGCUCACUCACGGCGGCGCUAGGGAGGCUGUCACCGGUCUAGAAAUGUUGCUGGGAGGGAGACCGACCGAACGGAACUGGUCCGGCGGCGAACGGAGGCCGGACGGCGGCGGGAGGGCGGCCGGAAAACCGGGCAGCGGGAAGAGAGAGCUCGGGGAGAGGAAGAGAAAAGAGGGAAGAAGAGAAAGGAAGGAAAAAGAAAUGGGUUGGGCCUCCACCGGUCCAACCUAUAUCAACCCAAAUUCCAAAAAUAAAAACACCCCGAAAAAUAAUACCCGAAUAAAAAUUACCUUUUACUAGCUAAAACUUACCAUUUUUACCGUCGUCGUAUUUUCCUCAUACGAAUUAUCCUCCGCACAUAAUCGUCCCCGAAACCCCUCUAGGGACCAAUUAAACUAUUUACUCAAUGAUCGGGACGGUAAAAUUCUUAUUAUAAUUACGCUAGUAAAUGAGGUAAAAAUAUAAGGGUCGGGAUGUGACAGGUUUGAAGGUUGUUGAAUGGUGGAAGCAUUGAUCGUUUUGCUAAAAAGGCUUGUCGGGGAGGAGCAGUGGCCAGUUGGAAGAAGGGUAGCGCAUGGAAGAACUAAAUUUGAUACUUAAUAAAAUCUAUCUCAUAAUGUAUACAUGAACUUGAAAUUUCUGUGUUUUCGGGAUAAUAACAUCUAUAUCUAUCGAUCCUUAUCAAAUUCAAGUAUUAAGUAUCAAAUUCAUGUAUGUUUACUUUUUAUUAAGUAUCAUAUUUAGUUCUUACAGUGCAAGAGUCGCUCUGGCGUGAUGUGUGUUCGUCUGUCGAUGGUGAGUGGGUGGCGGCGUCAAUUCUACUCAGAUCGGAUCGAGUCUACUCAAUCUAGUUUAGGCUCUUUGAAGCUGCUUCAAGGCGGGGCUCUUUGUUGGCAUGAUAGGGAGGGUGAGUGGCUGGAGGGUCGAACGGGUGGCCUAGAAGACAAUGGAGAUGGUGGUACUGGCAGGAUGACAAGGUUCCGGUUGGCAAGAUAGCGGUGUUGUCUACAUUUGCAGCUUUCAAGAUUGGAUUAGACCUGGUGCUUAUUGGGCCAGGGCCGGUCCUGAAGAAUUGAAGGCCCGGUGCGGAAAAAAAAAUUUUGUGCCCCUUAUGCUAAAACUUUUAUCAUAAAAAUACCUUUUUUGUUGGUUUUAAACCUAUUAAUAUACUCUUAAUCUUAAUAUUGUAAUAAGAAAACACUUUUUUUUAUCACGUAUUACAACUUCAUGAAUUGAACUCACAACCUCCUUUCUAUUAAGAGGAGACUAUGCCGCUAGACUAAAUGAGACUGGGCAUAAGAACUACAUCUUAUAUAAUUUUUUUGCCCCUUAUUAAUAAUGUUUUCUCUUGAUUAUGUAAAUAUAUAUAUAUGUAAAAUUUAUUGUUUCUCAUUUGAUAAGGAAUAAAAAGAUUUUUCUUUUUUUAAGAGUGAAUGACAUAGUUGUUCUAAAUUUCUAAUCUAUGCAAAAAAGUUAUUCUAAUAGAAAGAAAUAGUGAGAAGCUACAAAUAGCAAACAUGUCGGCCACUAAUUUUUUUAAUAAAAACGUUAGCCUCCUGCUGUACAAACUUAAUUAUACAUACAUAGAGAACUAAAGCAUAAUUUGGCAAAGAUUAGGAGAAUUGAGACGUAAUUAAGGCCUGGUUUGUUCCCUUUUUAUCUAAGGCCUAGUGCUAUCGCACUGGGUGCAUUGGGGCAGGACUUGCCUUGAUUGGGCCUGCACUUUGGUUCUGGGCACAUGCUAUCUUAUUUUUCUUCAGUUUUAUUUUCCUCUAUUUAUAUAUUAUUUCUUUUCCAUUUUAGUUCUAUGUGAAGCGCUUUGUGCCGGUCUAUACAUUUUGUGUGUCUUAUCUGCUUUAGGUAGGCGGCGUGUGUUUUGCUUGGUCAAAUGGUCGCAAUCUCCUAGUGGCAGGAUGAAACUAAGUGUCGUCAGGUUUAUUCUUAUGCGGAAACAUUGUAGGAAAGUUGUUUUAUUGGAUAUUAGGAUAUGUGCUCGUGUUACAUAUCAAAUGAUCUUUCUAUUAUAUCUUCGUUAUGAUAAAGCAAAUUAAUAGAGCUGUCAUUAGAGUAGUAUUAUUUGCUAGUUGGUGCUUGUUAUAAUAUAUGUACUUUGUAGAGAUUCUCUAUAAUAUAUCGGGACUUCAUUGUAAUCAAGAAUUCCAGUUUUAUGUCCCUCUUUGUAUUCGACAAUUUCAUUAAUAAAUGAUUGACCAAUUUCAUUAAGAAUUCAAGUUUUAUGUCCCUCUUUGUAUUUGCAAGUUUUAUGUCCCUCUUUGUAGAGAUUCUCUAUAAUAUAUCGUGACUUCAUUGUAAUCAAGAAUUCAAGUUUUAUGUCCCUCUUUGUAUUCGACAAUCUCAUUAAUAAAUGAUUGACCGAUUGAGGCAGCCGAACCAGCCCUUUAUUAAAAAUAAAUAAAUAAAUAUCAGGUCCGGACUGGGAUAGAAGUCAGACCAUAUCUGACUGGUUGAAAACAUGUGAGUUGAGAAUCAUUACAUGUUUAAAGCCAUGGACAACCUACUCAAUUGUAACCUAAGAUAAAAAAGUAAAACCCAUAGAUGACCCGGUACUUGGGCACCACCACCGUCGCCUGACAUUUUUAAGGAGCGGAUGCUAGCUACGGUUCUAUUACAAUAACUUCAAUUUCCAUUCCAAACAUACAUGAACACAAAAUACAAUAAAAAUGUGAGAUAACAGUAAUUGUAUGAGAGUAUAUAACAUGAUCACUACCCUCUUGUAUUUCGCAUAUGAAGUGAACCACAUUUUAGUAAUGUAUAUGAAGAAAUCCAUAUGCAUUUCCAUUGUUAUAUUUUUUGAUAAAAGUGUGAUCAAAACGAAGAAAACAAGAAAUCAAUUGGAUAUUUUGGUUAGAUUGCAAAUUUAAUGGAAAUGCAUUCUACUUGUGUAUUGUAGACUUCUUUUCCAAGUGUUAAUUACUGAAACCAACGAAACAAAAAAUCAAUCCGAUAUUUUAAGUAGAUUAUAUAUGUAAAAAUUUGUUCGAGAUGCCUUUACGCUCUAAGAUUGUCUAACUUGUCUUCAAAACAAAAAUUAUCCGAAGUGAUGAAAAGCUAAAAUCGAUCCAUUAUUUUAGUGAAAGUUCUUAUAUCUAAAAGAAGCCACCGGAGAUGCAUUUCUACUUUAAGAUUGAUUGCCUCUCCAAACCAUAAUUUAUCAAAAGUGACCGAAACAAGAAAUCAAUCCGUUACUUUGGUUAAAUUGUAUCUAAAAGAAUAUCUUACUAAAUGAUUGCACGAAAAAUUCAAUUUUUGUUCAAAACGUCCUUUAUUGGUAAAGACGCAAACAAGAAAUCAAUUUAUUAUUUAGUCAAAUAAUAUAUGAAAUUUUUACUUCAGUCAUGUCCGGAAUCCAUGAACCAAAUCCAAAUUCCUAAAAUUCAAAACCAACAUUUAUGAAGAUUUACUUCCCCAAUAUGGGGCGAAUUAACUUUUUGUUUCCUAUUACUUCCAUAAAUUUACCCCAAAAGAAAAAAAAAAGAAAAAGAAAGCGAAUGACACAAUCGACGUCAAGUAACAUCACAUUUCUGGCACAGCAGAUCCAACUAGAGAGAUGCGACACGUAGGCCUCAGACAAGGAAACACGAGGAUGGGGUGGACGUUACCCCCAUUAUUCAAUCCAUUUCAUUUUCGCCCUCGAUUCCGCAAACCCACACCACCAACUCCAAUCCCCUGCUCCCACCUCCUUCCUCCCACCUCACUCCACGCACUCCUUCCCCUCCACGUGUCCCAAAGCUCUUCCGCACCCCACCGCGUCCGCACCCUAUAAAAACCCCCAACUAACUCAAUCUCUGAAUCUCGUCCCCUCUACGGAAUGAUGCGCCACUGAGCCUCUCAGUCGCUCCGGUGAUAACCAAGUCCACUUAUCAGCCAUAACCUAUUACUCCACUUUUGUCAGUGAUAGCUUAUCAGUGAUAGGUGGGUGUGAAACAAAGACCCAGGAAAACGCAUCGAAGAAAGUGCGAACAACUACUCACUCUCUCUCUCUCUCUCUCUCUCUCUCCUUUAUCUUUUUCAUUUCUCUCGUGUAGUGCUUCUGCACUGUUCUCGUUGAAUCCAUGGAAGCAAAACCCUAGAGCCUCCGCCACCCUCCGAUUUCUACAAACCUCGCCGCCUGCCUCAAACGCCGUCGUUUCGGCCUCGAAUCGCGACUCAAACAACCCCGCCGCGCGUGAGCGAGCUUCGGAUUCUCUCGCGUCGCCUCUCCCCCGGGGGCAAAAAUGUCAUCUCUGAGCAGAGAGCUCGUUUUCCUCAUCCUCCAGUUCCUCGAGGAGGAGAAAUUCAAGGAGGCCGUGCACAGGUCAGUCUCGCCCCAUUUGUUUGUGUUUUAAUUUGUAAUUUUUUUUUCUAGAAUUAAUUUUUGAAUUUUUUUGUUUUGAAUUUUUUGAAUUUGGUUACAGGCUAGAGCAAGAGUCUGGAUUCUUCUUCAACAUGAAGUACUUCGAGGAGAAGGCUCUGCUGGGAGAGUGGGAUGAGGUGGAGAAGUACCUGUCCGGGUUCACCAAGGUGGACGAGAAUCGCUACUCCAUGAAGAUCUUCUUCGAGGUCAGAAAGCAGAAGUAUCUCGAAGCGCUCGACAGGUAGUGAUUCUAGCUCUCUUUGAUUUUGUUUUGUUUUCGGAAAUUCGUAAUUGAAAUUAGGAGUGUUUGUUUUAGGGAGAAUUAAUGAGGAAAAAAAAUUGGAGUGAUUUAUGGAUUGAUUGAUUGACUUUUGGUGAUUGGGGGUUUUGUGAUUUUGGAAAUGAGCUCAGGCAGGACAGGGCGAAGGCCGUGGAGAUACUGGUGAAGGAUUUGAAGGUGUUUUCGACGUUUAAUGAGGAGUUGUACAAGGAAAUCACGCAUCUGUUGACUCUUGACAACUUCAGGUAGUGUAUUGAAUAUUGGAAUUGGAAAUUUGGUUGGUCAGAGUGUUGGAUGCGUUUGAGGUUUUGAUUUCAGGGUUUAAUUGUGUGCGAUUUGGGGGGUUUUGAUAUGAUGCAGGGAAAAUGAGCAGUUGUCGAAGUAUGGUGAUACUAAAUCUGCGAGAAGCAUAAUGCUAGUAGAGCUGAAGAAAUUGAUAGAAGCGAAUCCUCUGUUCCGAGAGAAGCUAGUUUUCCCCACUUUGAAGGCGUCACGCUUGCGAACUUUGAUCAAUCAAAGGUAUGGUUUGUGUUUUGGGAAUGCCUUUUUUUCUAGUUUGUUUAUUUCGGAUUUGAUACCUUCGGUGUUUGUGAAGAUUGGUAAAUGUUGUUUUUCCCUUAUAUUGAUUAUCAUGUGUAAAAUUCCUGAAGCAGCACUUUUUGUUAUAUGCAGUUUAAAUUGGCAGCACCAGCUAUGUAAGAACCCAAGGCCAAAUCCUGACAUUAAGACCUUAUUCAUGGACCACUCGUGUUCUCCUCCAAAUGGAGCUCGUGCAUCAACCCCAGUUACUCUUCCAGUUGCAGCUCUUACAAAGCCUUUAACUUAUGCUCCUCUUGGAGUACAUGGUGGAGUAUGUUAAUAUCAUGCUUUGUACUUUUUAAGAAUUUAUCAAUGUUGAAAUUAUUUUCAGUUAAUGUGGACCUUUUGAUAUUAACAUAAUGUAUUGUCUCAUUAUGUACAGCCAUUCCCUCCGGCUGCGGCUGCAGCAGCUGCCAAUGCGAAUGCUUUAGCAGGAUGGAUGUCCAAUGCUAAUCCUUCCUUGUCUAUGCAAUCAGCUCCAGUCGCUGCCUCACCCAUGCCUGUUCAACUUGGUCAAGGUUAGGUCUUCAUGUAUUUAGAGCUAGUCUGCAGUUUAGAUCAUACUCCUGUUUCUUGUACAAUGGAUGCUGAGCACCCAAAAAGAAACCAAAACAUCAUAGCAGAAUUGUAAAAUAUAUAUCUAUAUAUAAUAUCUUUAUAUUUGUCAUGUGUACACUUGCAUUUCCUUUCCUCUUUCUCUUUGAAACAGUGUUAUUCAAUAAUGUAACUUUAGUCAAGAAGAGAAAGUAAAUGUUUUGAAGAAACUGAAGCAAAAUUCAUGUUACUCCCAAGGAAAAAAAAAUUGUUCAGGGGAUUACUCCCUGUUUGAAGAGAUUCAAGAAACUCUUCUUUGCUAAUCCAUUCGACCUGGUCAUUGAAUAUUAUCGUACUUUUUAUUUGCUUCUUUGUUAAGAAGGAUAUUUCAUUUGUACUAUGUCUAACAAGAAGUAUUUAGUGCGCUGCACUGACUGGUCAUUGGUUUACUUGCUUGAUUAAUUAUUAGGUUUGAGCAUGUUGUACUUGUUGUUUGAGCUAUUUUGGUAACUUGGACUACUUUUGCUUCUUAAUAGUUUCUUCAUUAAAGCAUCCAAGAACACCAUCAACUGGUCUUGGAAUGAUUGAUUAUCAAAGCUCUGAUCAUGAGCAAUUAAUGAAACGCCUGCGGACUGCACAAUCUGUUGACGAGGUAUUGUUAGCUCAUUUCUGGAUACUCAUUUCUGCAUUUGUCUACUGUAUCUAGAUAGUUGCUUCUAAUAACGGAAGUUUUACUUUCACAUUUUCAGGUUAGCUAUCCUCCCCAACAUGCUUCGUGGUCACUAGAUGACCUACCGAGAAGUGUAGCUUGUUCACUUCGUCAGGGAUCCACUGUUAUGAGCAUGGAUUUCCACCCUUCACAUCACACAUUACUUGCAGGUAGGUUGUGUGCAACACACCAGAUUGUGCCUGGAAUGGAUAUGGAUUGAUACUGAUACCUUGAACAUUUAGUUUUGCUUCAAUCUCUUAUCUGACUUGAGUAACAUGUUUAUUGUUUUGAGCAGUUGGCUGUAAUAAUGGAGAAGUUACUCUGUGGGAAGUUGGGUUGCGAGAGAGGCUGGUAUCCAAGCCAUUCAAAGUAUGGGAUAUGGCUGCUUGUUCUGUGCCAUUUCAGGUGAAAAUCCCAGACCUUACUCAAUAAGAAAUUAAGAAUUAUCAGUCUACUACUAUUCGUUAUCUGAGUAUCAAAAGCAUCAAAUUUAUGUCUCAAAAUCCUGUUCUUCAUGACCAGUAUAUAAUAAAAGGUUUGCACUCAUUAUCUUUGUCACGGCUGUAUCUUAACUUUAAGACUCUUAUAGGGGGCUAUUGCUAAGGAUCCAUCAAUGUCUAUUACCCGUGUAUCAUGGAGUCCAGAUGGAAACUUAAUUGGUAUGUGCAGCAACACAGCUCUAGCAUUAUUUGAAUGCAUGUUGGAACAUAAUUUCUUUGUAUUUUUGUUCUUGCAGGUGUUGCAUUUAAGAAACAUUUGGUUCAUCUGUAUGCUUAUCAUGGGUCUAAUGAUCUACGCCAACAUUUGGAGGCAUGUUUUGAUUCACUUACUGCUACCUCAAGAUGAAAUUUUUUCCACUUUAGACUGAUGUUUGGAUUUGAUUUUCUCACAGAUUGAUGCCCACAGUGGUGGUGUGAAUGACUUGGCAUUCUCUCAUCCAAACAAGCAAUUAUGUGUUGUAACAUGUGGAGAUGAUAAGCUGAUAAAGGUGGGUACCAAAAGUGUGAAGUUUUUUUUUUCCCCCCAAGUUAAAACAUAUAAUGGAUUAUUUUAAUGUUUUUGUUUUGUUAUGAAAAAAGGUUUGGGAUCUGAAUGGAAGAAAGCUUUUCCACUUUGAAGGUCAUGAAGCGCCUGUUUACUCGGUUUGCCCCCACCAGAAGGAGAAUAUUCAGGUGAGAUGUUUAUUUCCUGAAAUCUGGAUGUAUAUAUAGCAUGUACGUAAAUGCAAGAUCUUUUAUGGAGAGAACUUUUCUCUUGAUCUUGGUUAUACUGGUAAUUUUGGUGAGAAACUAGAGUGUCAGAAAAAAUGAAUCCGAAACUAGCUAAAAGAAUUAAAAGAAAACAGCAACAGAAAUCAAGUUUUAUAAGUUUCAGCCACUCGUUGAUAAUCUCAGAUGAAUAUGGUGAAAUGUGGGUACCAUUCUGUUAUUAUUUUUAAGGUGGCAUGUGAUUAUUCAAACUUCGAAAACUAUGAUAGCUCCAACUCAGAGACUUUAGCUCUUUUUAUUUUUCGUGUUGGUUUACCUUGAGUUCUGUGCUCCACAAUCUGACCAGUUCUUUGAUUAGUUGCUCUUGUUAUGUGCAUUUCAUUUAUAUCAGAUCUUGUUAUGCAGGUAGAGAAUUUCACAAGAGUUAUGAUGAUAGGAUAACUAGUUAUGAUAACUACUAACAUUGAAAGUGACCGAGGCAAGCUUUUCUGGUGAAUAUGCAUUUCUGGUUUCUUAACCGCUUUUUUUUAUUUGCAGUUUAUAUUUUCAACGGCUGUUGAUGGGAAAAUAAAAGCUUGGCUGUAUGAUAAUGUGGGCUCCAGGGUUGACUAUGACGCUCCUGGGCAGUAUUGCACCACAAUGCUGUACAGUGAUGAUGGAAAUAGGUAAAAGGAAAGAUCCACAUGGUUUAAAUGUUCUCUUAAUCACAUUUCUCUGUUCAUGUGACGGUGUACAAAUUACAACUGAUCCUUUUAAAUCUCAGAUUGUUCUCUUGUGGGACUAGUAAAGAUGGUGACUCCUUCCUGGUUGAAUGGAAUGAAAGUGAAGGGGCAAUAAAGAGGACGUAUAGUGGGUUCAGAAAGAAAUCUACUGGCAUUGCUCAAUUUGAUACUACAAGAAAUCACUUUUUGGCUGUUGGUGAAGAUAGCCAAAUAAAAUUUUGGGAUAUGGAUAACACAAAUGUUCUUACAAUUACAGAUGCUGAUGGUGGACUUCCAGUAAGAAACCUCAUUGUCAUUACUUUCAUUUCUAAAUAGUAUAAGUGGCAUUCGCGGAUGCCCUUGUUUUGAGGUUAUUCACUAAUAUAAGCAUCGGGUUUAUUUCAGUCUAUUCCUCGCUUGAGAUUCAAUAAGGAAGGAAAUCUGCUUGUUGUUACCACGGCUGACAAUGGAUUUAAGGUUCUUGCAAAUGCUGAUGGUCUGAGAUCCUUAAGAGCGAUUGAAAGUCGAUCUUAUGAAGCAUCAAGAACACCUAUUGAGAUGAAGGUUGUUAUUUCUAUCUGCACUGGACUAGACCUUCCAUUGAACUUGCAUAUGUGUUUUUGAAAAAUUGAUAUGCUCUUUCUGGAGAACUUGAUUUAAUAUAUUUUCCUGGAUCAGGUAUCUACAUCGGCCAUGGUUCCAAAUAUCAAUCCCGCCAUUAAUAAAGUAGACCGUAUGGAUGCAAGCUCUCCUGCCAGGCCUACUCAGAUUCUUGUAUGUAAUUUAAAUGAUAAAGUUCAAAUAUUACUUUACUAAUAGUAGUAACUUAUCACAAUGACACAACUGAUUGGUUGUUCAUGGACUUGAUUUCUCCAAGAACAAGCAUAGCUUUGUAAUCAUACAGUUUGACUAGCCAUCCUCACCAGACUAAGUAUAUUAAGAUUUAUAAUUGUAUUGUAAAUCCUCCCACUCUGUAGGUCUAAUUUUUCUUACAUUUGAUGUAGAAUGGAGUUGAUCCUUUGGCUAGGAGUGUAGAAAAGCGAAGACUAUUAGAUGAUGCAUCUGAUAAAAGUAAACGUUGGGAACUGGCAGAGAUUGUUGAUCCUGUUCACUGUCGAGUGGCUACGAUGCCAGAUAGUAAAGAUCCUGCUAACAAGGUGAUUUUUUUUUUUUCAUUUCAUGGAUUUUGAUGUCAUAGACUCAGAGGUAAUAGUUGCAAGUGUGGUCUCAUGUGAGUUCAGGUUGCUCGACUUCUUUACACAAAUUCGGGCGCCGGCAUUCUGGCUCUUGGUUCAAAUGGUGUCCAGAAGCUAUGGAAAUGGAGAAGUAAUGAUGAAAAUCCAAGUGGAAAGGUGAUGUUAACACUAGCACUGACGAUAUCUUUCUUUUUCUAGGCUGCAUGCGUUAGUGCAGAACAUAUACUGCAUGCUUUCAUGAAAAGAUUUCUGACUUUUUUUUAUGGUUCAAAAGGCCACCGCUAGUGUCAUUCCGCAACAUUGGCAACCCAACAGUGGUCUUUUGAUGACUAAUGAUGUCCCUGAAAACUGUGAGGAAGCAGUUCCAUGUAUUGCUCUCUCAAAGAAUGAUUCCUAUGUGAUGUCUGCAUGCGGCGGAAAAGUAUCUCUGUUUAAUAUGAUGACAUUCAAGGUAAUUUAGUACUGAUUUAAUGGGGAGAUUUUUUUCAGUCUGCACAGUUUGGAUACUGCUGCUUGUUUUGGACUGUAAUCAUGUUUGAGAUGAAAAUUUGUGGGUUUGCAGGUAAUGACAACUUUCAUGUCACCUCCACCAGCCUCAACCUUCCUGGCAUUUCAUCCUCGGGAUAAUAACAUCAUAGCAAUUGGAACACAAGAUUCAAGUAUCCACAUUUACAAUGUUAGAGUUGAUGAGGUGAUUGAUUUAAGCAUCAUUUUGUAUAUUUUUAUGUGAUUAAAGUGUUCUGUGAUUGUCAAUGUCAAUUGGGUUGCUCUGUUGUUAGGUCAAAUCAAAACUGAAAGGCCACCAGAAGCACAUUACCGGAUUAGCCUUUUCUGUUGACCUAAAGAUCAUGGUUUCAUCAGGUGCUGAUGCUCAAGUACGUGACUUCAUUCUUUCUAAUGUCAUUGUUUCCUGUUAUUGUGUAAUUCAGACUUUUAGUCUCUGUGUUAUUCUAAUUUUUUAGUUUGCUUGAAGCUGAAUAUAAGUUGAUAUGUAGGUCUUAGAUCUUGCCGCAAGUAAUGUAUAUGCUCAGUGAGCUUAUCUAGGUGUCUAUAGAUGCUUUGACAUACUUUUAUGUCUGUAAAAAGACUAAAGUUUAUUAUGUUGGCAUUCUUUUUCGUUUUUGGGGAAAAGUUCAUGAUUUGCGUAUUUCUUUGUGCCAUCAAGUACUUAUUUGAGUCUUUGAGUAAUGUUAAUUCCCUUGUAUCUUUUUUUUUUUUUGAUACCAUGCCUCCUGAUUUCGUUUCAUGAAAUUGUUCUUACAAAAAAGAUUGUGCUUGCAGCUAUGCUUUUGGAACAUGGAUACAUGGGAUAAGAGGAAAUCAUUGACAAUUCAACUGCCAGCCGGAAAGGCGCCUAUUGGUGACACGCAAGUGCAAUUCUAUUCUGAUCAAACACGAUUGUUGGUAUGCCAUGAAAGUCAACUAGCGCUAUAUGAUGCUGCCAAAGCAGAAUGCAUUCGACAGGUAUAGAAUGUCUUGGCAUGAGUUGCUCUUGUUUGUAUUCAACAAAUCCCUGAUUUAAUAUAUCUCGCAGUGGAUGCCACAAGAUGUACUGCCGGCGCCGAUAACAUGUGCAGCAUAUUCCCCCAAUAGUCAACUAGUUUACGCAGGUUUUACUGAUGGCAAUAUUGGAGUAUUUGAUGCUGAUAGUCUGAAACUAAGAUGUCGUAUUGCCAUGUCAGUGUACUUGGCACAAGCAUCCCCAAGCAGGUAUUUCGAGCAUUCAGUUAUUCGUGGUAUAUGAAUUAUGAGGUGGCUUUCCCACUAAAUCUUAUUGUCGUUAUAACUAGCUUUGUCCUACUCUGUGACAGCCAUACUGUGUACCCGCUAGCUCUUACAGCACAUCUGCAGGAGCCCUAUCAAUUUGCCGUUGGACUGAGCGACGGAUCUGUUAAAGUUAUAGAGCCCUCAGACGCCGAGGGGAAGUGGGGAGUUACAGUGCCUGUCGAUAACGGAGCACAGAAUGGCUGGACAGCAACAUCUUCAUCUAACAAUCCUGCUUCCUAAUUAGCAGCUCCAGCAACCAAUUCUAUGUCUAUUUCCUUGUAUUGAUUUGUAUUCUAUUCGUGCAGUAUAUUAGACUUGUAGGUUGGUGAUCCACACAUAUGUGCCUCACCAAAUGUGUGAUCAAAUAGAAAUCUAAUGGUAGGGCAAAAAUUUAUGUAUAUACAUGUGUUUUCCGUUAUACAUGUGUUAAUUGUUCAUUCAAAUAUAUGGUUCCUUUCUCCCUUUUGUUCCAAUUCUGCAGUUUGGAAUGUUUACCGGGACUAGUAAGCUCCAAAUAGAAGAUGUCGAAUCAGACACUUCUAGUGUCAAAAGAUGUCAUUUUCAGGUAAACAAAAGAAAAGGCAGAAAUUGAAUGUGAGGUUCAGCAAUAAGAGACUUGUUCAUAUGAUGUUCAGAUAUAGAGUAACGCCUAUAUAGUAGUUAUCAUGCGAAACAGGUAAUGCGAGGCAUCUAGUGAAAGUUACUUGGUGCUUGGAGUCUUUGAAAAUUGAAUGGUUUUCUAUAUGAUUAAACCGGUAUGGUCGAUGCAGAUGUUUUUGGAGUAGUAUGAGAAGUUAUGCAUGCCGGUCUUGUACAUGCUUCUGCUUAAUAUUUGGAAAUGCUUCUAUAACCCAUAAAAAACUUUUAUGGCAGUGUUAUGAAACAAGGCCGUUCAGCCCCUUAGGCAGCGCCUAGAUGUUCGAGCGCCUAGUGAAUUUCUGAACCUUGGCUAUAUGCAGUGUUCUAAAACAAGGUUGUCCAGCCCGUCUAGGCUGCCUUACGUUCUAGCAGCGCCUAGCGAGUUUUCAACAUUGCUUCUACCUAUAUGAAAAGUGCUUUCGAUUCCGGAAGCGCUUUUAACUCUUCCAAACAAGCUCUGACCAAGGUGGUGGUUGGAAGUUGGAACUUGAACAUGUUACUGACUUACUGUCAUGAAGUUAUGACGCCUCUUCAUGAUUAGGUCCCCAUGAUCUAGCCUUGAAUACCUUUCUUGAAAUGGCAUAAUGAACUGAGCUUAUUGUUGAAUCUGUUGGAGGCCAAAUUCAAUCAAAUAUUUCCAGAUUAGAACAUGCUCUCCUCAUCUCCUUUCCUGUCCAUUUCAUCUGAACAAUCAUCUUCCGGUCUCCGUUAGGCAUUAGCAUUAUUGUAGCUGAGGAAAAAACAAAAGGACAGCCCAUCAUAUAAUACCAAGCUGAAGGGUUAGCUCGUCCACUUCCCCCAAAUGGCACCCCUCUUGGAGGGUCCUGACUUCUAAUAUUGGGUCGAGGCCAACGAUCAGUUCCAAUCAUGCCAUGUGGUCUUGAGUCUUCUUGACCAUGAAAACCUAAUAUUAUACAAUGACACAGACAAAAUAUCUGAAUCUCAGGCUUCUGGUUUGCAUAUAAAUUCUGGGGAUACUGUUCUUCAUUUGGCUCUGCAUGUGUUAUUAUUGUGCUCACUGGUAGAUGUCACUGUAGAAAGAAGUGAUCUCUCAGAUGGGAUGUUUGUCUCUGUGAGAAAUAUCCAUUUUGACUGUGUAUUCCUUGGUCUUUCCAACACGCAAAUGUAGUGUAAUAGGUGGAUAUAUGACAAAACCCUAUCUUAAACCCUAAGGAAAGAUGAAUGUUCAUUGUUCUGAGAAUCUGAGAUGUCUCAACUUGAUCGAUACAAUUGGAGGGUUUGUAUUUUAGUUGCUAGUACAAUGAUUCUAUGAAUGAGUUCUGAAGAACCCUACAUAUAUGUAUCUGUAGGUAUAAGGUUUUUCAUGUUAUGUAAGAUUGUAAUCAAAGAGCUAUAAAAUCUACUCACCCACCCACCCUAACCAGUGGCGGAUCCAGGAUUUAACACUAGGGUGGGCUUGAAUUUUUUUUUUUCUAGUUGAUUGAAACAAUAAGAAAAUUUAACGAUAGUCUAAAAUAUUUAACUAAAAUAUAAUAGAUAUAUAUACACUUGAUUUAUUGAGAUGCAAUAAGAAAAUAAGAACCCAGCCAAAAUGUACUACCACUUAACCAAUUAUUAGAAAAUAAGAAUUUUUUUUAGAACUAUGUAUAUUAAAUAAAAUAAAAGGAGGUUAUGAAAGAAUUAAAUCAAAACUAAUACUAAAAUACCAAAUAAUGCUAUGACUCAUAGGCUAUAAGGCCAUUGUGUAGGAGUAAGAAGUAAGGAAAAAGGGCAAAAAAAAAAAACCUAUAAGGCCCAUUGUGUAGGAAUAAGAAGUAAGAAAAAGGAAAAAAAAAAGAAUGCUGAGCCUGGGAGUCGGACUCAGGUGACUGAGUUUGUUGUAAUUGUGCUAAACCAAACCUGCAAAUGUUUCUGUGAUGCUUAAUCUGCAUACGUUAAAAACCUUAUUCACACAAUCUUGGUUGGGCUUGAGCCCUACCAAGCUCUUACCUGGCUCCGCCCCUGACCCAAACAAGAAAUGAACGAGAAAAAGAAGUAAAAUGAAGUUUAUAGUCUUCUCCUCGAAAGCAAUCAUUGAUAGAUCAGAACUCUAGGAAAAGAUAUUAGUAGCAUUUACUUCCUCACAACUAGCAUGCUUUGGCAUCUACAAUCAUGAGAAGCAAACAAAAGUUGCCCUAAUUUAUUGUUACCAACUACCUGACGUUUCAAACAUGGAAUUAGUGUCGGAUGAGUCACUUCAAAUUUGAUUAAAUAGAAGAUUGAUUGGAGAUGCUCAAUGAUCUGUUUAGUUUGAUCAGAUUUUGGAUCGAUGUUUAAUUUGUGUGUUAGUGUAUGGGUAUGGUGGCUGUGCGGAUGUUGGUGGCUGGAGUUGGAUUCGAUCAAUUCAGCACUGGUGGUGGUGGAGGAUUCGAGCUUGACUAGCUAAGUAGAAAUUGGGGAUCGGAUCCAUUUAAGAAUUCAGUCGUCGCCAAAUUUAGUCACAUUCUAUUAUGACUCGUUAGGUAAACAUUGUAAGCUACUUAUAAUAAUUUGUCUAUAAUUUAAUUAUAUAUAUACAUAUGACAUGCAUUUGCAAAUCAGAAACUUUCAUCAAAUGGACUUUAAGGUCCAGACCAUUUUGAAAAUAAAAACAUUAGGCGUUAGUAGAUCUACUCUAUUAAUGUCUAAACUUACUUCCAAACUAAUAAUCAAUGUAUGUUUCAUUAAAAUUAUUGUUUAAUUAGUUACUAUAACCAUGCGUUUUUACAUUGUUGGUUUGUCCUCCACUCCAAUACUGUUCAACAUAGUCAUGCCAUCUUUGCUAUUUAGAAAUGAAAACAUUACCUAAAAUUAAUACCUUUGACAGUUUGAUAGAAAAUGAUCAAGAACCUUUUGUUUGCCAACUGUUAUGUCCCAAAUAUUCUCUUAAUCGAAUUAAGAAACAUGCGGCUAAGUUACAUAUGUCUGGAUAUUCACACUGCCCCCACUUCCAAAUUUCCUAUUUAGCUCGAUCGAUCAACUUUACGGCCAUGAACAAGAACUUGUGCCUUUUUGGUGUCUAGUGUUAUACUAUAAAACUCAUACCUUAAUGUGAAAGUUGGAAAUCUUUGGUGGUUUUCAGAUUUUUCUUUUAUCAGUUUGAGAUGAAAACGCUGGCAAUACUUCCACAUCGAAAAGUUGGAUCAUGAAAAGCUAACAUUCAAAAGAAAUUUGAAUGAGCUUGGAGACAGCUAAAGGAGGAAAUACUAGGAUAUAAUUAAGCUAAUCUCAUAGCUAAUAUUGGUUUGCAAAAGGGAGAGCAUCUCGAUGAACAUAAGAGGUAAAGCUAGAUUACCCAUAUAUGGAACUGUGGUAACUUUAAAUCUUGGAUAGGUGAUUGGAAUUUUAGCUGCAUUGUUUACGUGACUUUCAUUUUUCUUCUUCUUCAUAGUCACUUGGAAGAACUAUAGGUCAAGAUCGAGAAAGGAAAUUUGAUGACAAUUGUGGGUUGCUAAAAUUGUGAGUCUUGGUUGUGUUCGUAUUGGUGUUACAUCUAUUAUAAUUUAUUUUUAUUUACAAACUACCUCAUUCAAUUUGCUUCAUGAUAUCUCUCAUCAUAGAAAUGAUGUGUGAAUAGAAAAAAAAAUGAAGGAUAUGUGAAUAACACAACACAUAAUUUUUUUGUUAUGAAACUAAAUUACGUUUAUCUCUUUUAUCACGCUUCUAAUUCAAUCCAUCAUGUAUUGCGGUAGGUGUGACAUGACAUGCCUAAGUAUUAGUUGAUCCAAAUACCAAAUUUGAAGUGGUAGACAACGUGACAUUUAAUCAAGCUAAAGUUUUAAACCAAGUCUCUAUGAUUACAAAGAACGUUUAGAAGGAAAAAUUAAAAGCAGGCAUGAUUAAAAUGGCACAACAUAGUAUAACAUACACAAAAUUAAGGUAUGGCCUAUUAUUACUCCCGUGGGCUAUAAGUGAGUGACAACGAAACCAGACCAAGUUAGAUCCUAAACAUAUCAUGCUUGUAGUGGAAAAGAGCCACAGAAUUAUGCAAAUAACCAAGCAACUUUAGUGUUUAAGAAAACACGAAAAGACAAAGAUUGAAGUGCAUGGUUUGAAACUCUUCCAAUGUCUAUGUCCAUCAACCCACAAAUUAGACCACCAAGGCAAUUCACUUGUUUUUGAUCUAUACUUGGUCAUGGCAAAACACAAAUCCAAUCGAGUGUUUGAGGAAUACGAAAUUUUCCUAUCAAUUUUAAUCCCGUACGGGGAUACCAAUCAUAAUCCAUGGACAUAAUCAAAAUCUUCUUUGCCAUUCUAUAAAAACAAGAAAGCUGAUGAGAUCAAGUUUUCUUAUGAAGUAAAACUUUCUUAAAGAAGAACAUCAUAAUGCUGUCAUCCCAAACUCUCAGUUUACAAAACCUCAAUCUGAUCUCAACUUUCUUCAACUACAAUAAACACCCAUAAGCCGUGCUUACUUUGUAUCCAUUUUUAUUUUUAUUUUGUCAAAUCUAAAAAAAUUAGGUUAAUCAGUCACGACACAGAAUAUCGCAAGAUAUAUAACAUAAUAUAGUUCUCGAUUCAACUCUUCUUGAUUUUUUUAUUAAUGCAAAAAAUGGUUUAAGGAACAAUAAAUUGAAAAGAGAAAAAGAAAAAAAAGAAGAAGAAUCUUCCAGCAUCAAAUUCUGGGAAGUGAUAGUUAACAGGCAGUGUCAUUAAUCACUCAACCACUACUAAAUCUUACAUUUAUUUCAUAAAAGCGGCAAAAGCUGCAAUACGCCUUUGUAUGUAAACGCCGAAACGCCGUUUAAACGGGAGGGUAUCAUCGUAAUUUUCAAUAAGCUGUUAAAAUUUGUUUUAACUGAGAUAAAAUGAAAGGGAAUAAUAUUACUUUAUGCAUUUAUAGUCUGAUCAAGUGGGAGACCUCCCUACCUCUAAAAAUAAACCAUUAUACGUGUUGAUUUUCCCUACCCACUUGUUCAAAGGAACUACAUAUGAAACUAUUGAGUAUCACCAUGUGGAGAAGCACAUGCUUUUCAUCAGAAGUCCAGAACCCAUUCUCAUAUUCCCUUCCUUCUAUAUUGCUCUGAUCGGAGCCGUAUAGUGAUCAGCUUAGACUUCACUGUUCCUCUUGGUAUGCCCCCUUCAAAGUAGUACCCGCCAGCCGCCGCCUAUGUCGCCGCACCUUAACAAAAGUUGNNNNNNNNNNNNNNNNNNNNUAGUUGGCUGGGGAUAGGGGGGGUUUGAUUUUUGUGAUAGGUUUAUUGAUGUAACGGCAGUUAGUUGAUAAUUUUACUUAUAUACCCUUAAGAUUCAAAUUUGUGGCUGAUAUUUUGCCACGUGGCGAGAACCCCAUAUUGGCGUACACUACUCUGACGUAGUCCAACGCUUUCCCAUAAAAGCCCCCAAAAGAAAAAAAAACCAAACUAAACAAAAAAAAGAAUUCAGCAGAAUAAUUUUUAGAAAACGCCACGUGUCAUGUGGUAUGGUUGUUGUGUUCUGGCCAGUGAUUGACGCCCAGGCCAGGCUAGCAUCUUCGGCCAUGAUUGACUGUGGGCCCCGCUCUCGCCCCCUUCCUCUCUGUCAACCCACAUGCGGUCUCUAUGCCCCAUGCACUCCUUUCACUUAUUUUAUUCCUCUCCCUCACCCGCGGGUGCACGCCCCUUCCCGUACAACCUAUCCCGAUCAUAACUUCCGAUGAUCAACGUAACGAGUUCGAACACGUUUUGUUCGUAAUCGAUGAUCGGAAUCAUUAUUCAUCGUACAAGGACUGUUAUAUUAAAGAAAACUCAUCAAUUCAAUUGCGAAAGCGUGACAUCACGUGAAUCAAGUAAAAUAACGGUUCAUUACGAAAGCGUUAGAUAUAAUUAGAUUACUAAUAUCUGAUUUGAUCAAUGUGUCGACAUAGAAAGUCCAUCUAUGAAAAAGCUUUAAGUUAAACAUGAUAUAUUGACCGUACCGUUCCGAUUAAGAGAAUAUACAAAUAAGAGAAAGUUUGGAUCAUCGUCUCUAAACGCAGAGGCUCUCAUUUUCGGAACAAAACUAGUCCAACCUCACCAAGUGGCACCUCUACUACACAAGUCACCAUGAACACCUCGUGACAUUAUCACCGCUCUCCUUAUUUUGUUAUUGUAGCGAAUAGCUUUUCAACAACUGUAAGCAAACAAGGACGCUAUUACACCACCACUGCUUAUCAAAAAAUUUCCCCUAAUUUCUUUUUUGUUUUUCAAAACUAUCUCUCUUAAAUAUUACAACAACAAGGUUGUCUUCUUCUUCUUCUUCUCCUCUCUCUCAUGGUGAGGGCCGUUUCAAACUAAAAUUUGUCGGCGAGAGACGUUAUUAAUCAUAAUUUAUUAAGGGGGUAAUUGCAAUUUAGUGGGCAAUUAAAUUAAAUUAAAUUUGCUUACCCUUUUAUUCUCUCUGCUUCACCUCCUCUGUUUUCGAUUUUGAUUUUGCAUGCAAGUGAGAAUUGGGAGAGAUAGCUGGCAUUUCUAUAGUGGCACAUUUCUUUCCCCCUUGUGCCAUUCAAUUAUUUCUCUCUUCUUCCUCUCUUGAUAUAUAAUCAUUUAUGCUUUGUGGCAUUUACACAAUUAAUGCCAAUAACCCACAUACUUACAAUUCCCAUAACCUCUUCUUUUUCUGUGUGCUUCUUCUUCUUCUUCUUCUCUUUUUCUCUGCUGUCUUUUUGGUCAGUGGUGCUUCUGCUGCUCAGAGCUGUGUUUGACUCAUGAAGAUGCUAGUAAGUACGUUUCUUUUUUCUGGGUUUCAAGUGUUUUUUGCUUUGUCCCCUUUUAUGCCAAUUUGGUAUCCAAAGACUUGAUCUUUUGUGUUCAGUUCUAGAUUCAGGAUUUGUGUUUCUUGUUUCUGCUUUGUGGGUGUUGUGAAUUGGGAUACCCUUUUGGAUUUUACUGGAUUUUGGUGGUUCUUUAAUCUCACUCUGUAUCUUUUUCAGUUUAGUUUUAGUUCACUUCUGUAUUAUAUGCAUUGAUCAUUUAACAAUCUAUCGAAUUUGUUGAAAUCUGAUGCUGUGUGGUUGACUUGGUUGGUGUCAGUGUGUUCAAGUAUUGCAACUUUGCAACUUUGAUCCUGUUAUGUACUUUGUUCUGUUUUUUAAUUUGUACAUUAGUGGUCGUGUGAAUUUGUGUUUGAUGAAAUUCAUCUGAGAACUAGUGGCUGUCUUGCUGUUGCAUUUUCAGGUGGUAUUGCUCUUGUUGUUGAGUUUGGGCAAUGCAAUCAAACUCGGUGGAGAAGACGAAGAUUGGCCUUGUGAUUCUAAACUGCAAUUAAAACCAAGGCCGCAUAGUGUUUCCAUUUUGGAGUUUGGUGCUGUUGGGGAUGGCAAAACAUUGAACACUCUUGCUUUCCAGAAUGCCAUUUUCUAUCUCAAGUCUUUUGCUGACAAGGGCGGUGCACAGCUUUAUGUGCCGCCUGGAAGAUGGCUUACCGGAAGUUUCAACCUUACAAGCAAUCUCACGCUAUUUUUGGAGAAGGGUGCUGUCAUUCUUGGAUCUCAGGUACUAUUUUACUCCUCCAUGAGACAGUUAGUACCGCUAAUAAUGUGAUAUUUGCAUUGUUUUAUUGUUGUUUUUGUAAAUGUUACCAUGUUUUCUUGCUUAGGAUCCAUCUCAUUGGGAUAUUCUUGAGCCCUUGCCCUCGUACGGUCGAGGGAUUGAACUCCCAGGAGGGAGAUAUCGUAGCUUGAUAAAUGGAUAUAUGUUACAGGAUGUGGUCAUAACCGGUAUGCAGAAUGUUAGAAUUUUCCUUGCUGUUCUGACAUGAUCUCUUAUAGGUAUCUAAAUUUUUUGUUUCUCUAUUUAUUGCACUAGGUGAUAAUGGAACCAUCAACGGUCAAGGAUCAGUGUGGUGGGAUUGGUUUAGCUCUCAUACUUUAAACCAUAGCCGUCCUCAUCUUGUAGAGAUAGUUUCUUCUAAAGAUGUUGUUGUUUCAAACCUCACGUUUGUCAAUUCUCCUGCAUACAACAUUCAUCCAGUCUACUGCAGGUUUGUUAGCUUAUGCAUUAUAGUUGUAUUAUAUUUAUUGGUUCAAAGGAGAUAUUUAUGUUUUAUAAAUGAAUUCUAUGCAGUAAUGUACAUAUUCACAACAUCUCUGUCUCUGCUCCCCCGGAGUCCCCUUAUACAGUUGGUAUAGUCCCAGGUAUGACAUCUCUUGACUACUUGUUUUAGAAUUCUUGUCAAACACUAUUGUUCAUGGGUUUUGAGACACCAAAAAUUUGCUUGAAAGCAUAGCCAGGUUUCAAGAUGUGUACAUGUUUUUGCUUGUUAUGGUGACACCUACAAAAUCAAGUAGAUGUGUUGGCUAGAUUUUGAGCCUUCUUCCCCAAGUUUCCUCUUUAGUCUCCUGAGUGAAAGAGCACCUGAAUCAUUUCUGUUUUUAGUACAAACUCUUGUUAUGCGCAUAAUGUUUUACCAUUCGUGUCUAAAAAUGAAAUGAGAACUCAUAUUUACACCUCUUUCUUUGUAAUUUUCAGAUUCUUCUAAUAAUGUGUGCAUACAAGAUUGCAGCAUUGGCAUGGGGUAUGAUGCCAUUGUCCUCAAGAGUGGCUGGGAUGAAUACGGCAUUGCCUAUGGAAGACCAACCACAAAUGUGCACAUCAGACGGGUCCAGCUACAAUCAUCUUCUGGUUCUUCUCUUGCCUUUGGUAGUGAGAUGUCCGGUGGCAUUUCUAAUGUGCUUGUGGAGCAGGUCCACCUAUACAACUCACUUAGUGGCAUUCAGUUUAGAACAACAAAGGGUAGAGGUGGUUAUAUCAGAAAUAUAAUCAUUUCAGAUGUCAAAAUGGAAAACAUCGGCGUGGCAUUUGGUGCGUCUGGUCAGUUUGGUUCCCAUCCGGAUGACAACUUUGAUCCUAAUGCCCUUCCAGUAUUGGAUCACAUCAGCUUACAGGAUGUGAUCGGUACCAACAUCUCUAUUGCUGGAAAAUUCACUGGGAUCAAGGAAUCCCCCUUCACUUCCUUUUGUUUGUCCAACAUCUCCUUGUCAAUCAGUUCAGGUUCUUCUACAAAUUCUUGGGUAUGUUCAAAUGUUUCUGGCUUUUCUGAUUCUGUCUUUCCUGAACCAUGUUCUGCCCUUAAGUCCUCACAUUCAAAUUCUUCCUCAGACUGCUUUUCGAUACAGACCUUGAAUGGAAAAGCCGUAGCAUUAUGAUAACAUUCAUCCAUACCCAGAUUUUUUCAGUCACAAUCCAUAAUGAGGGAAAAGAACCAAAAAUUUCUACCGCCAAUUACAGUAAUUUAGAUCACAAUUCUUUCCAAUAAGACAGUACAUGUUCAGAUUAUUCGUUUCUUCAUCGACCUGUGUAGAUUUGCACUCUUGCAUGUUCCAUUCUGCAAAUUAUUUGUACAGCUUCUUCAUUUCUUCAUUCAUGUGUAAGCAAAUUUUGGUAGUGAUGGUGUAAGAGAACUUGGGAUAUAUUGUGAGUACUGGUGCUUAAAUUUAAUUACUCUUUUUCCUUCCAAGUCUGGUGCGGUGUACCAUCUUUUAUUUGAUGUUGAAUUGCAUGGUAAUUAGUAAAGGUGAGAAAAAGUGACAUGUCUGGUCACUCUGAUGUUACUCUAGCUUUGUGCGAGUUAGAUCAUUGUUUGUUGCUGUUGGGAUACCAAUACAAUUGAAACUGGGACCAAAUCCAGAAUGGACCAGCUUGUUAUAUCAUUGAUCUUGAGUUUGACUUCAAACUCAAGCCAUCUGAAAGUUGAACCGGAGGUACCUAGUUUACGGUGUUGAUCAAAGACUUUCAAUAUUGCCGGGCAUUGGAUCAUGAUGCAACUAUUUAGAGAACAAUGUUUAAGCCUUUAAGGAGACACCAAAAACACAGAAAGGGGAAAAAGUUUACAAGGCAAGAAAAUAUGUUGGUUUCAACUUCUGCAACAAGAAAAAUACACUAAAAUGAGGUAAGUCAGAUUAACUGCGCAGCUCAUUAACAUCAAAAUCCUUGCAAUAUGCAUCACAACUCUCAGUUUUUGAUAAGUUUCUACUAUGGAUUUUUUGCACCUUAGGAGUGAAAGUUAUUAUUACCCCUGCUUGCAGUCUUAUUUACGAAAAGCGUAUCCGACCAUUUUCCGGCCGUAUACGGGUGUUUCCAGCCGAUUUCGGCCAUACAAGCGUGUACACAGUGGCUUGCAGGUCAGGAAUUUGGUCUCGGAAACGCUGGAAACGGAUCGAAAACAUCUGUAAACCCCCCGGAAACGUAUUAAAAAAUAAGUAAGAUCGAGGGGGCAAUAGUGACUUUUCAGUAACUUCCCACUGAUUUUUUGCACCUUCGGGAUGAAAAAACAUUAUUAUUCUCGCUUAUCCAACUUAUUUACAAAUAUGUAUCUGACGCUUUUCCGGCAAUAUCCGGGUAUUUUUCGCCUUUUUAGGCCAUACCAACGCGUACCCGGUGGCUUUUCUGUUCAGAAUAUGUUCUUUCAAAUGCCUGAAAAGCGUCGGAAACUCGCCGGAAACAUAUCUGUAAAUAAAUAUAGGAUUGUGGGGGCAAUAAUGACUUUGCAUCCCUAAUGUUUAGCACUUGAAUGAAUUAAGAAAGGCGCGCAACGGACGUGAGCUCUCUCACUCACUGCUUUGGGAAGCCGCAAGCCCGCAAUGACUGAAGACAAAGCUGAAGACGUGGCGAUUACGGCGACAUCUUUAGGUUUUGGUUUGUGAAGCGAAUUUGAGGAAGAAGGGAAGAAAGGUGACAUUUUUAUUUCGUUUUUAGUAUUUGAAUUUCAUGUGUCGGGGUUUUGUUAUUGAUUGUGUUGUUGAAAUGAUUGGUGCUUUUUGAUCAACUUUGUUGACUAGUAGUGUUGAUUGUUAAUAACAAAAGCGAUUAGCUAGAAUGUGAAAUUAAUUUGCUUUUCCAGAUGUUGUGUGUCAGUUAGUGUUAGAGUGAACAAGUUUGAACUUUUGGCAUUAGGGACUUCAUACGAGCCAUUUUGUGUUAGGGAUCAUUGUCGUAUGCCCAACACUUCGAUAAUCAAUCUGCAUCAGCCAACGUUUAUUUGUUUGAAAUUUUUAACCUAUAACAAUCAUACUAUUUCAUCAUUCAUGUUUGUUACAUUGUCUGUUAGGGAUGAAAUGCGGAAGCUGUUGCUUGUCGGUUUGACUUGUGCUACCCCGGAUAGCUCCAAGAGGCCUACAAUGAGGAGAGUUCUACAAAUCUUGAGUAGUGAGGCUGUGCCGGUGGUUAAGCCGAGUCUCAGUUUCUCCUGUGGUAUGUCUCUGUCUCUUGAUGACAUCGUUUCGGACUGUGAUGAAGGCUCAAUAUGUGAGAUUGUUGUCAACUGAAGCAAGAAACAUGUUUUCAUAGUUGCAAUGAAGGUCCUUGAUUGAUUUCUACACUAUUUUGAGCUUGUUCUGUUUAGUACCUUUCUGCUUAUACUUACUUAUGAGUAAGGUUAUGUCGGUUGACAUCUACAUGGACUAUACAAAAGAGUAGCUGCGCUGACAAUAGUAGUAUUAAGGUUUUGUUGGUUGAUAAUUUCUCUAUUGAAGGUUAUACUUCAUCAUAUAGGGUAAAUGGUAUUGACUCUUGAGUCACUCUAUUUCUAGAAAAGUAGACGUGCUGCUCUGAGAAUGCAGUCUGUCACCCUCAUAUGCAGAUAACUACCAAGGAAACCAUGUACAAAUGCUUCUUAUAAAAACAGGAACCAAUUUCCAGACUUCUUACAUCCGAUUACUAGAUCUCCAUCGUAUAUAACCAUCCAUAGAUCAGUCAUAUAUCCAUAGUCCUCCCUGCUGCACUGGAAAAUGAAUCCUAGACAAAAAUACAAAAGCUCGUAGAUUAUAUAGAUCACAUACAGGUGAACUAACAUAUUUGUCUGUUGCACAUAAAACAUGUCUAUCGAUCACUUGUAUAAAUAUCCACAUAGUACCCAACGCAUUCGAAACUCCAUCCUUCCAUUAAUACAAUCUAUCUAAUUUGUUGAAAUGUGAUGCUGUAUGGUUGACUUGGUUGGUGUCCGUGUGUUCAUGUAUUGCAACUUUGCAACUUUGAUCCUGUUCUGUACCUUGUUCUGCUUUUAAUUUCUGGAUUAGUGGUCGAGUGAAUUUGUGUUUGAUGAAAUUCAUCUGAGAACUAGUGGCUGUCUUGCUGUUGCUUUUUCAGGUGGUAUUGCUGUUGUUGCUAAGUUUGGGAAAUGCUAUCAAACUCGGUGCAAUUAAAACCAAGACCGCAUAGUGUUUCCAUUUUGGAGUUUGGCGCUGUUGGAGAUGGCAAAACAUUGAACACUCUUGCUUUCCAGAAUGCCAUUUUCUAUCUCAAGUCUUUUGCUGACAAGGGGGUGCACAGCUUUAUGUGCUGCCUCGAAGACGGCUUACCGGAAGUUUCAACCUUACAAGCCAUCUCACGCUGUUUUUGGAGAAGGGUGCUGUCAUUCUUGGAUCUCAGGUACUGUUUUACUCCUCAAUGAGACAGUAAAGUACUUCUGAUAAUGUGAUAUUUGCUUUGCUUUCUUGUUCUUUUUGUAGAUGUUACCAUGUUUUAGGAUCCAUCUCAUUGGGAUAUUCUUGAACCCUUGCCCUUGUAAAUAGAGUCAUAAGUCAUAACUAUUUGUUAAAUAUUUUCAUUCUUCCUAAUGACACUGCUACAUCUUGAAGCACAAACACCUUUAUACAUGGUAUCAGAAUUCGCUAUAUCAUUGAACGUAUCCAUCUUCAAUUAACAUAUGGGAUCUUUGUCAUUCUUUCUCUGGACUUGAAUAUCUAGUGAUGACAGUUUGCCGUGUCUUUUUCAGUGUCUUUGAGAAUCUCAAAUGUGGUCAACUCUCCUACAAGGGUUUGGGGAUGAAUCAGGGAAUUAGAUUGGGUGGCUGUAAAAUCCUCUUAGUGUUCAUUUGAUGCAACUAGGAGCUGGAUAAUGUGGUGCAUAAUUUUUUUUUCUUGAUUCUAAAUUUCUGCUUUGUGCAAAGUAGAGGAAGAUUGUAGGUGUUGUCUGAAAAUGCUGUCGGUUUAGUUCUGUGUUGGAGAGAACCUACUAAAAUGGUCAUUUGUAUGGCUUCUGAUUAACAGUGGGUUGUAUUUGGGCACCAGUUAAAACAGUGAGUCAUCAUUUGAAUCUUUUUCUUUCUUGAUUCAGUAGCAACAUUUAGGGAUGGAGUAUUUCGGGUUAGGACUCUAGUGGGGAGAAGAAUGAUUUACGUAACAUGAUUUUGGAAAAUGUUAUUGUCACAGAUUGCUUCUUCAGAAACAAAACUUGGUUUGGGAAGGACUUGCUACUUAUCAAGUGCAGAAGAUAAGACAGUCGAGCCUCAUGAGUAGCGAAUAAUGAAGACAAGUAUUUGAAAAAUGAAUAGGGUAGUAAUGGUUCAAAAUAUAGAAGCUUUUAUAGAAUUCUAUUACAUAAAACUGAAUUCCAGGUAGUACUAUGUAUCAAGUUCCCCUAGUGGGAUUUAGGAUCAGUUCACUCUUCUCUUACAAGAUUGGAAUCUGAUUCCUCCCCUAACAGGCUAACAUCAUCACAUGUUUAUUGGAAAAUAUAUCUUGCCACCAAAUGAUACAUCUUUAUAGGCCAAUAUAUUCUCCAUUAACUUUCCCGCCUGAGAUUCUUUAGCGCCCGCCUUCAUCACCAAUCUCUGUCUACAUUACAGCACACGCGUUCGGAUUUUCAUCGCUAAAAAUAGAUGUGAUAUUGCCAUUUCCAUUUCCAUUGCUGCUGACAUUGUGAUAUGGUUGAUCCUCAUUGUAGUGGUGGUAUUGGCUGAUCCUACUGUAAUGCGUCUGUUGUGGUGGGGGUGGUUGAACAUACUCGUAUUCAGUGACAUAAGGUGAUGGCCUGUAUGUGUUAUAGCUAUGUGUCACAUAGACAGGCGGUGGUGCAUGGACCUGAACCGGAGGAGAAGGAGAAGGAGCCUGGGCAGGGGGAGGAGUUGGUUCCGGUGGAGGUCCUUGAUUAUUAUGGUAUCUGUUAUAGUACCCGGGGUAGCCAUUAGGGUAGCCGUAUCUGUAGCCAUAAUCAGGAGGGUAGUGGUGUAUGGUACGAACUUCCCCAACUUCUCUUGGUCUGUGGUGGUACACCGGAUGUUGUUGGCCUAGAUUGGUCUCAGCAGCCACAGGUGUUGGUAGUGCCUCGGGUGGACGGGGUGGUGGUGCAUGUUCCGGUGGUGGCGGGUCCUUUGGUGGCUCGGCUGGUGGAACAGCUUCAGGAGGUGGAGUUGGUUCGGCUGGUGGAGGUGAUUCUGUUGGAGGGUUUGCUGCAUCGGGAGGUGGUGCUGCGCCCCCUUCAGGGGGUUGUUCUGCUGGAGGAGGAGCAGGCUCUGUUGGUUGCUCUAUAUGGGAACAUAUGGUGGCAAUCUUCCUUGUUUUCUUUAUGGCUUUUACUAUCUUCUCUGGAUCCGCCCACCCUAUUAUUGUCAACUUCUGCUGAGGGAAGUCAAUGUAGAGAUCAUAUAUACCUGUUCAAAGAUAAAAAAACAGUCUUAGUUCAUCAGAAUUAGAUAGCAGCAAAGAGUGAAGGCCUGGAUUUUAGAGUUAAGAUCAUGAAUGCUUACCACUGAUGCCAUGUAGUGCUUUCUUAAUCUUCUGUACACAUCCAUUGCAGUCCAUCCGGACAUGUAUCUCGGUAAUCCGAGGUUUCUGCAUUCGACAAAGGAACUACGUGGUUAGAGAUUAACGUUGAUGCAUAAUUGCAUAUAUUAUUUGUUACGUAUUUGGAGCCAUGCAUGCAUACCUCUAAUUCUGGAACCAUGGCUGGAGAAGAGAAGAGAAGCCAGGAAAUGUGAUGAGGAGGGUGGAGAGCAUAAAUGAAGAAUCAAUAGGUGGCAUUUUAUUUGCAUGCACAGGUAAGAAGGAAUAAUUGGAAGGCAAAAGAUGUGGGACAUGAAUGGAAUCAUUCAACUUUUUCUCACACAAAGAUAGUAAUGUUGCAGCUUGAUUAGCCUCUUCACAAGUCAUUGUCAAAUCCUGAAAGGAAAGAGGGAGGGUCGGUUUUGUAUGGAAUGUUGAUGAGGCCAAAGAGAAUUUGCUUUACUAUGGAUGAACGUCUAUAAUUGAAAGGAUGUCUUUGAGCUCAUUAGGAUAUCCAAAACCGACCCUUUAAAAGAAUUAAAGUGAGAUCAAGUUUGUUUAUUUCAAUCAGUGGUUGUGGGUGGCUUUUGAGGUUGAAGGAGAUCCACUAUUGUGGAAUCCUUUUGUCACAAGAAAGAUCAAUAUACACGUAUGAAAAUUGUGUUGAGAAACUAGGGCUGGAAGGCAUAUAAAUUCUGCUUUCAUUUUAGUCAUAAAGGGUGAUACAGAUUGGAAUUCAGAUUCUUUCAGACAAUGUGUACACAAAAGCUUUUCAUGAGUAAGACCAACAAUUUAUGCCAAUAAUAAUAAUCAGUGGUGCUUUAGCAUUGUGUCACGCUGGCAACAAAUUGGUUGAAUGUUUUCGCUUGAUAUACAUUGUCGACUGAUUUUCUAAUGAGGUGACACCAACAGUUAAGUGGUGCUUACUUUAGCAUUGCAUCGCGAUGUUUUGGCUUGAUAUACAUUGUCGACCUUAUUUCUAACAGUUUGAGGUUUUAGGAUUCAUAGCUAUAUGAACGGUACACAAUCCCUAGAUUACAGAAGGUUUGAGAUUUGCAAGUUCGCCUUUUACUUGUCUUCACUAAUAGGAAAUCAGAGAAUUCACCAUGUUAACUUGCAGGAUAGGGCUGCGCCUAAACUACGUUUGUUGAUCUGUCUCUUCGCGUGAAGGAGGAGAGAACUUAGUUAGGCACAUUUAACAAUUCAUGAAGAAGUAUUUGAUUGAUUUUAGAGGACAUCUUGUACUUGGUGAUUCCUUUUACUGAAUAAAUUGCCUGAUGCUUUUGAAUUUCAAUUUCAGCCAUUCUUUAUAGUCUAAAAACAAAAGCUAUACUACAAUGUAUUGGGGCAGGGCCAGACUAGCCCCAGCUCAAACCAUCCAGCACCUUCCAAAUAUUAUCAAGUGCAAUUCAUAUAACUAAUCAUGUAUUAAUUUCUUAUUAAGUAUCUGCAUUUUGACCAGAAAAGCAGGUUCUUGGCUAAUUGAAUCUGUUUAAUUUGUCAUGGUAAAGAGGUUCAGAAGUAGAGCUUUGAGUCUUCACUUGUAAAGUUGAUUACUGUUUGUUUUUGGCCAAGGUUGGGAAGAUUUAGACCUCACAGGCUCAAAUCUGCAAAAGAUCUGCUUGUUUUAAGUGUAUCUUGCUGGUCCUGCUUAGAUUAUAUAAUUUAUAUUUCAUGCAGAUAUUUUGGUUCUGGUAUUUUUCUAUUUGAGGCUUCAAUUUCUAAAAUGAAGGACUACCAAGCAGGCGAGCAACUUGAGCAUGCAAACAAAAAAAAACUUGACCAAAAUCUAAAAGCUCAAGGUGUUGUGUACAUUCUUUCUUUUUGAAUAUAAAGAUUGAAGCAGGAAAGUUUUUCAGGACCUUAAAGAAUAUACAGACUGGUUGGCUAUAGAUUGGAGAAAAAAUUGACUAGUUUUCCUUUGACUGAUUGAUGAUCGAGUUUGCUUUCAAGUUGAAAACAAGGUCCAUUUCCUCAAUGAAAGAAUAAAACUGACUAGUGUUUCAUGCUUUGUUAUGUAAGAACAAGUAAUCUUAUAUCGCAUUUGGGUAUUUUCUUGGAAUUGAUCUCUUAGACGUGCUUGACUUUUAAUCCUAGUCGUGUAUUAUGAAUUUAAGAGAAGAAAACGAUGAAUACGUAAUUUUUUGACUGUUUGUGAAGUUAAUAUCAAGAGUUUAUAAUCUUAAAAUUAUUUUACAUGGGUAAGAUUGAUCCAAACACAUUCAACAAAAGAAAUCAAGGAGUUAAAUUCAUAUGACAAUGAAAGAUGGCACCUUUCCCAUUAUUGAUUAGUGUUCUCAGUUUGCAAUAGAAGUCUCACUAUAUUCUUGACUUAUGAACUUUUAUUAUAUAUGAUGUGUUAACCCUUGUUGAGGGUUUAGAAGAUCGAAUCCUAAGCAAUACAGUUGCUCUGAAUCUGUGACAUAUGCAUGUAUAUGUGUAUUUGUAACUAUAAAAAAACUGGAGGGUCAAUCAAAUGAUCCAAUUCAAGAAUAAACAUUUGGGUUCUCUACGAGGAAGGUUUCAACUACUUCGUAAAUCCCCAUAGCACUAUUCUUUCCUGCUAUAAUCUCCUCUUCCUUGACCUCAGCUUCUCCAAUGGGGUUGUAAUUACUUGUCAUCUUGCAGAUAGAGCUCCCAUCACUAGCUGCCUCAAACUUGACCUCAUAGCCAAUAGACUCAAGCUUGUCACCUAAUGCAUCUCCCUCAAUCAUAGUGUACUUGCACACAAAAUUGUCCUGGUCGAGUUCAUCGAUUCUGUGCUUGACGUAUUUGAAAUGGCUACCUACAAUAUUGUAAUACCAAACAGAGCUUUCAUCAAUAGAAGAAAUCAAUAUAGGAGAAACUGCAGAAGUAGUGAGUAGUAGCUAAUAGCUAGAGCCUAGAAGGCUAGAAGUAAUGUAUGUUUCUAACCUUCUGUGAAGUUGACUUGUUCAAUGCUUCCUGCUCCGCCAUCUCCUUGAGUUACCUCAACGCUUGCUAUGAAUUGGGGCAACAGCUUUGGGAUCAAGUUCUUAGAGUCUAUGAUCAAAGCCUUGAACAUGCGCGAUGGGGCAAUCGGGCACAAGAACUCCUGUGAAAUGCUUGUCACACCCAUGAUGAUAUGUAGACUGAUUGUAAAAGGAUGAUCUAGAUAAUCAAAACCUGAUUAUAUAUAGGAACUGGUUGGAAACUAAGCAGUGGUAGUACAUAUAUAUACAGAUGGAAAUCUAUUUUAGAAAGAUUUUCAAAGCUUUGAUCAUAGACUUGGAGCUGUAGUCAUAAUAGUUUCAAAGUUGCUUGGCCGCUUAGUUGGAACUUGGACUUAUGAGUUCAAACUUCAAAAAUUCUCUAAAGAAAAUACAUGAUUUGGUGUUUAUAAACACAUGGGCGGCGCUUACAAGAAACAGUAGCAUAUCCUGGGUACGAGGACGAAGUUUUGUAGCUCAUCUUUUAUUCGACUCUGUGAGCAAAAUUUUAGGCUGUGAACAUUCAUAUCCCACAUCGAAGAUGAGGACUAUUCUUCUUGUCUUAUAAACCUGGGUAGCUGAAUAACGCGUAACACCACUGGACAAAGCGAUUGGGCUAUGAUUCUUGAUCAGGCCCAGGAAAGUCCCCGGGCCACUAUCUGCAGAGAUGCAGGCCUGGAAACAGGUAAGCUCUGUUGAGUUGGAGUCCUAUCGCUUAAUGUGAUGAGGCUGAGACACGUGUGGAGCCUUAAUAGGCUUCAACCCAGAGUAUCUUGGCCGAGUGUACAGUUAUUCGCUUGGUCCUUUGGGCUAACUGAACGGGGCUUAUGAUUCAGUGGUGGUAAAUUUUUUAGUAGGGGAGAUCAGGUGGUAAUUUUUUUGAGGGGAGAGAUCAGACGGAUCCGGUCAUUCUCACUCCGGAAUUACAGAAUGAAGUAGUUACGUCGAGAGUGAGGGCAUGGUGACAGCUGGAUUGCACUCACCUGGGGCCGUAUCUAUGUGUCCACGUGUACAGUUAAGGGGUGCUUGACGUCGCUGAGAGCUGUGGAACACUCACACAACGCUUAACUGAAGCGUUUGACAUAGGUUCCACCAACAUUUUCCCCAACUUCCCAAAGUAAGGGGAAUGUCUUGGUUGAAGAGUUUCAUGCAAAAUACAAGUAGAAACGCUUGUUUGUUAAGCGUUGGUGUGUGCGUGUUCGUGUUCAUGUUCGGAAACACUUGCUUCGUUCUUGCUACAAAAUAUAGUUAUUCGCUUAGUCCUUUGGGCCUUUGGGCUAAAUGCACAGGGCUUAUGAUUCAAUGGUGGUAAUUUUUUUGAGUAAGCCCAAAGCGUUAUGCAACUAAAGUGAAUAGGAGGUUGGAAGAAAUAAGACUAUUCAUUAGUGAAUUAACAAAUACAGUAGGCUAAUUUGAAGUCAAUAGUUCAUGGUGUACUAGAUCUUUAUACAUCACUAUACAAGAUAGGAGGUUUGAGAGUUAAAUCACUAAUGAUAUAUUUGGUUUUAAGCUUCAACUAGUUACAGAGAAUUAUAAUGAAUUGCAUAACCCAUCCUAGACAUAGGUGCAUCAAUUAGUUUGGAUUCCAAUAAAUCUAUCUUUUAUAUUGGCUUUGUCCAUGAAUUUGGAUGAACUACUUUUACAUUCCGAAAGAUAACACAGACCCAGAUUAGAUCAGAACCAGAAUCAUAUAUAAUCACAAUCUUGUAGAUCACAACAGGAAAAUACAGAAUAUAAAGUACAAGAACAAAAUUAAGUCUGGAAACAAAAACAUGAACAACAGUACAUGUUAGAUGUAUUGUUCACAGCAUCAUAAUUCCCACAAAUUAAUUUCUACAACUUCUUGAAAUGUUUUACUUUCAAGUGUAUGCACGAGGAUGAGCCAUUAGGUAGGCCUCUAGGACUUCAUACAUCCCAAUGGCUCUGUCUUUGCCAAGCUCAAUGUCCUCUUCUUUGAUCUGAAUACCAUCUUUGGCUUUGUAUUCACUUGUCAAAUGACAUAUACAUCCUCCCCUGCCAUACCCUUCAAACUUGACAUCAUAGGUAAUGUACUCAAGCUUGUCCAGCAAAUGUUCUGCUGCAUCACUUUCAAUGAAGGUGUACCUGCACAUCAGAUUCUCCUUGUCCAGAGCAUCAAUCCUGUGCUUUGCAUAUCUCAUAGGACUAGCUGCACAUCACAAACAACACCAAACAUUUAGUUACCUAUUAGACUAGUUCUAUGACCAAAGGAUGCAAAUAUUUCCAAUUUAGUUCAUUCCGGCAUGAAACUCUUAAGUUGGUAUCUGAAACUCGAUCAGUCGGAUCAUUAAAGGGUUUAAAUGCUUAUAUGAGUUGGAUCUGAAGCUAACCCUUUUGAGUAUAUAUGAAACAUAAAUGGAAAAGUGAAAGAGUUGACUUGCUGAUCAAUAAUACCUUCAGUGAAGUUGAUCUGUUUGAUGGUUCCAACUUCUCCUUCACCUUCCAGGAAUUCGAUACUUUUAAUCGAAGAGAACAUGAGCUUGGGACAGAGGUUGUGAGCAUCAAGGAUCAAGGCCUUGAACAUCCUUUCUGGAGUUACCUGAGUGAUAAACUUCUGACUGAUUUUGGUGAUCCCCAUCUUGGCUCAGCUAGCUUCUGAUCAAGACUCUGAUUAGAAAUACGGAUUUGAAGUGUAUGAAAGAUUGGAUGAUGAUGUUUCAGAAAUGAUAAUAUGAAGACUGAGACUCUAUGCCCUGGCGGCUUGGUAUGAUGGUAAAUUUGAUGUCUUUGAUAUUUUAGGAGGGGGAAUGCUUUAUAUGAGACGUAAAACAUGGACCAGAAUGUGUUCUAAAGUGGACUUUUCAACACGGCUAUGGAUGGUUCUAUCUUCUUUACAAAACCAGAUGGGAGGUGACAAAGCUCGUAUUUAAAAUUAAUUAAUAACAUAUAUUAUGACUUAAACUCUUAUAAAUUUAUAGAGAAUAUCUUAUAUUUUAUAUGUGGGAUUAAUAUCUCAAUAGAAGACAUGAAAUUUUCAUGUAAAAUCAGAUGGGAGGUGAUAAAAUAGUCUGGUUCAUAUUUAAAAUUAAUUGACAAUAUAUAAAGUGACACAAACUCUUAUAAACCUAUAAAAAAUGUCUCAUAUUUUAUACGUGAGAUUAACAGGAGGCAUGAAAUUUCCAUGCCCUGAAAAUACUCUUUGCCUUUUUUUAUAUUAACCAGGAAGACUAGCUGACAUGGUUUUAUGGGGUUUAAAAUGAGAAAUCAAACGUGAUGAUCAAGUUGUUUCAUGUUCCCACCAGUACCUAAAGAACAACUGGAUCAGCUGGAUAUCGUUCAUUUCGUUUUGCAAGCGAGAACCAUGAACCUUGUUGUCAAAUUAGUGGAUCCUUGAAUUGAUUAUAUUUCUAGAUGAGUUGGGUGGAAUAUUAUUUUCAACUUGUUGUCUUUUUGCUUCCCAAGGACUUCUACUUGAGAUUUUCUUUCCUUUUCUUUGCAGCAGAGAAAGAAGAACCAGAGUUGGUAUUGCCCAUCUAGUAGGAGCCUUAAGUUAAGGAAAAAUAUUUUUCAGCUUAUUUUAUUUUUUGAUUUUAUAUCUACAUCUUAAUGAGUAAAUUAUUUCUAUAAAUUUCAGCCAUAUUGAAAAUCGUUAAAGCAUUUAUAAGUGUGAUUUACCAAUUAUAAACUUGAACGGUUCAUGUUUGACAGAUUUGGUUCGUCCAUUAAUUUGAUCUAGUUUGUUACUUUAACAAUCACUAAUAUAGCUGAAAAUUUAUAGAAUUAAUCUACUCAUAUAGACCUAAAAACUGAACGGAUGAGAUGCCAAAAUGUGAUCGAAAAAUGGAUCUUUUAAACCAUAAACUGAAAAAUCUUUGACUAGUCCUCAACUUAAAGGUCCUCGUUAGAAGGGCUCCCUUGUUGACAUAGCCAGAAGUAUACAAAUUGGUUUUUGGGGGGUUUAGGCUUUGCGGGUGUAUCUGAGGCCAGGAGGGUAUUCAACUUUGGAGACAUCCAAGAGAUUUAUGAGAUGAUGUAUAGGUCCAGAAAAGCACUAGGAUUUUACUUGGGUGUGUCCAGAGCAUUUUGUUUAGCUGUUCCUUGUUCUCUUUUUUCUGCUGAACUCUUUGAUUGAAACCUUCUAAAUUCUAAUUCAUAAAGCGCUGAGGUAUGAGUCCAGAUGAUCAAAGUUCAGAUUUAUUAUAGUGAAAGUGUUUCAAUCACGCAUAACUGCAUUGCCAUUAUAUCAAGAGGCCGAUAAACCAAAGCCACACCUAUAAACAUGACAGACUCAUAGAAAUUUUCUUUGAACACCCCUCUCAAAUGAAUUGUUUUAUUUUUUAGGAGCAAUCUACAGAUGAAAUGUUUGAUAUCAAGUAUCAUUAUAGACAUCUGGGUUUUGGAGGAGGUAGGCUUCCACAACUUUGUACAUCCCCAAGGCCUUUUCUCUGCCAGAAAUCAUGUCUUCGUCAUUGAGCACAAUGUCACCUUUGGUGUGGUAUUUGCUCACCAUCCUGUUCUUACUGCCACCUUCUGGUGUGGCCUCAAACUUAACCUCAUAAGAAAUAAACUCAACUUUCUCCAUUACCGAAGCAUCUCCUUCAAUCAAGGUGUAAUUAUACACAUAGUUCUCAUCAUCCACCUCAUCAACCCUAUUUCGCACAGAAAUGAUCUGCCCACCUGCAUAAAAGAUAACAUGUUCAUGCUAAGAAACUCCACAAAUUUUGUGUAAAAUCAAAGUGUGGGGGUAAAUGUUCAUUUGUCAAACAGCUAACAUGUUAAUGUUGUUAGACUGUGAAUCUGGCACGACAUGUUCAACAACAGUUUACCGAACAAAAUGUGUCAUGCCGGACUGCCUGAGAAGUGAACAACUCAGGUAGUAGUUAAUUUAUCUAUUAGCAAGCUAGCUGUUUAUAACAUUAUAUGCAUGCCUUCGGCGAAAUUGAUCUGCUUGAUGCUUCCUGCUCUUCCGUCACCUUGGAUGGUGUCGAUGCUCUUAAGGGCAUCAGGCAUGAGCUUUGGGACAAGGAUGUCAGCAUCAAGGACUAAGGCCUUGAACAACCUGCAUGGAGGGAUUGGGGAAGUGUACUCAUCUGUAUAGGUGGUCACCCCCAUAGUGAGAAACCGCUUGUAUAGAAAUUAGAACAGCUUUGGUCAGUGAAGAUGGUGAUCAUGGGGUAGUAUAUGUAGGCUCAAGACUAGUAGGAGAGACAUUAAAAAAUUCUUGUUCCAGAAAUUUGUUUCGGUUAGUACAAGGCCUGACUUAUGUACAAUCUGUCUUGAUGUGAGUUGAAAGGGAGCCACUUCCAAGGUUCAGCAAAGAGAAAGAGACAUUUAUACAUGGAAUUGAAUUUGUUGCAAAAUUCUCUAUUCCUGUGUAGGGCUAGCUGCACUUCUUCACAGUUUGCAAAACUGCAAACUAACAAUAUAUUCAUUCAUAGACCCGGCCUCAGUCCUCGCAUAUAAUUAUAUUCUAUUUGAUUCCGAAUAUUCAUGGUCACCUGAAGACAAAUUGAAUGAAUAUGAAUAUUUGGAGUACAAAAGAAAAAUAAUUUUGUUGCACCUAUGAGUAGAUUAGUUGGUGGAUCAUCUUGAUCUAUGCAUGCUGGCCAGGGCCAUCCCUAUAUGAAACGAGGCCUGAUGCGAAUUUUGAGGUCUUUCAAACUUAAUCAGAAACUAUAAUUUGAGAGUAUGACGUAUAGAGAAAUCGGAUUAACAUUUUAAUUAGUUUUAGGCAAGGACUAAGAAAACAUAGAUGAAACAUUUGCAGCAUAGCUAGGUAAUUUGUAAAAGAAGUUUUGACAGUACCGGUACCUCAACUUCUGUGCGACGGUCAAAGUGGUACCUAGACUUUAAAAACUAUUAACGUGAUACCUAAACUUUGUUUUUGCUACCAAAGAAAGGCCUAAGGCAAAUUUUCGUUACGGUGCCGUCUGUUUGCUGACGUGACCAGCAUCGGGUCCACUAAAAAAAGGGCAAAAAAGACAUUUUACACAAACUACACCCUAAUCGAGUCAAAAACGACUUUUUCUCUCACAUCUUCUUCACCUUCCUUCUUCUUCCCUUUCUUCUUCUUCUUCGACAGAGAAAGAGACGAGACGGCGAGACCCAAGUCUGUGUGAGACUCCCAGAUUCCCUACAAAUGGGGAAAGGUGAGAAAAGCCUGCACCAGCAACACCUCCAGGAUCAGAGUCACCAAACCCUCGAUGCUUCUGGGUUCAUUUGUCCCGAAUGUUCCAAAUUCUUGAACAGAAUCGCCCAGGAGUUCAGCUUCCGAUGCGUCUUCGUUUAAUUCUCGGCUUCUCGGUUUUCCUCUCCGGGAUCUUGUGGAUCCUUCCUCGCCAUUCCGUCAAUUCUGGGUUCGAUGCCAAAGAAUCGAUUAAGCUCGGUGGUAGGUCCACUUAUUCCUUUUUCUUCUGUAUAAAUCGGUUCAAUUUUUCUUUUUUGAGGUAGUGAGUAUGUUAAUUUUCGUAUUUCUGGCAUGAUUUUAUGUAUUUUUGGGGAUAUUGGGGAUCUUCAUCGUGCUGGUGUGUCAAUAUUGGUUCAGUGGUGGUUAACCUAAUUAUUAGGGGUUUUUGAUGCUUUUAGAAUAAAAUGAAUUUGAUGAUUGUUUGGGUCUUGCAAUGUUCGACUCACCCGGCUAUAUAUAGGAUAUUGCCUUGUCACUUGUUUUUUUAAGCAUUGCUUGCGUUUCGAGGAUAUUGUUAUGCAGCUUUUUCAUUGUUUCACCUGCUUGUUAUGCAAAUUAGAACCUGAAAAAUUUGGGAUUUUACUUGGCUGUCAGAAUUUCAUGUACCUGUCAAGAAUUAGGUGUCACGUCCCCCAACCGCACUAGCCAUGAAUGUGGCAACUGGUGAGAACCAAUAGAUCUCGGCCUUAUGUGCAUAAUCCAACCCAUCGUAAUCUAUGUGUUAAUCACCUCAAAAUAUCAAAGCUAAGCAUUAUGAUCAUAGGAUAUGAUUAGUUUGACACAAGCUGUUAAAUUUGUCAACUUGUAAAUCUGUAAACUAAGAUGUCCUAGUACAAUGACCUGUGUUGUCUACAAAGGCACUGAAUUAUCCUGCCAAAAGUUCCUUCAAGCUUCUAAUCACACCUUCGUAUGGGAUUGGAUUCAUUUUACAUUGUUGGAUUAUCAUUAUUGUUCAUGUUGAGGACCCUAGAAUAGCUAAUAUGGCAAAUGACUAGACCAAUUUGUUAGCAUUGCUGCAGAACUAAUUCAGCUCCAUUUUAGUAACAAGUUUGCUCCUACCAUACUAUAACAACUCUGGAAAGAGAAGAAUACCAAAUUCAUAAAAGUUUUCUUUUUUUUUUUUUUUGCAUAAAAGCCCUUAUAUAAGAUUAAAAGAGUAAUUGGUGAUUGGCUUUCAAAAUAGUUAUUUUUGAUAUAUUUUUGUUGCUCAGAUGCAGGUGGCUAUUUUGUCAAUAGGUGGCUAUUUUGUCCAUGCACCAAAAUAGUGCAUCUAACUGGACUGAUGUGGUGUUUGGUGUCUUCUGAUCCGGUGAAUGUUCCGAUACUUCCAGUGUCCAUAAGUGUGCUGAGAUCAUCUUUGGUUGAGCUGUUCCUUAAGCAAUCAACGUUUGGACGACAUGAACGUUAGUUGUCGUUGUGGUAAUCUAAUUGAUCAUUGCUUUAGAAUGUCUUUCCGUUUUGUUUGAAUGCUUUAUUGCUUUAAGCCACUUCACAACACAAUGCAGUGUUUGCAUCUUUUUACUAUCCUUUCAUUGACAUUUCAGGAGUACUUUGGUUUUAGGAAUAUUGCUGAAAUGUUUUGUUAACUGUUGGAAAUAAUGUUGUUGUUGAAUUGUGUUGGAAAUGUCUUGUUUGUCUUUCACAGGUCCAAAGGGCACCAGCCCCACCCAAGGAAUCAAGACCUAUCAAGGACCAGGUCAUAAAGUCUAGAAAGGGAUGGAAGAAAAUGAAGUUGGCAAUGGAGGGUAGUUCUACUGGAAAUGGUAGUGCAUCAGCCGGCCUCAACACAGCCUCCUACUCAAAGCAGCCAAAAUCAUGGAGCAAGGGGUGCUCAAAAGUGAAUGUGCUGGCUUUAAAUUAGAGAAACAUAAUGUGUACUUCAUCAUGUUUUGGAAUUAAUUUUUUGCAAACAAUCUGGUUCCUUGAGUUUUUGGAAACCAAUUAAGCUUGAAUCUAAUGCAUAGUAUGUUUCUCAUGUUGAACUGAUGUUGGUUUUAAUGGUUUUAAUUCAGUGAUAUUGGCAGACCUUUUGGUUCUAUGUUUGAAUUUCUAUGUUACAUUUUCAGCUAUUGCAUUGCAUAGUAUUUAUUGUCAGCAGAUAAACACAACAGUAAUACCUAAACUUUACUAAACUGAUCAAUGUGAUACUUAAAUUUUACUGAACUAAUCAAUGUGAUACCCAAGAUGAAAACCAAAUAUUCAAUUUUAAAGAUUUUGGAGGGAAAACGGUUUUGGAGAAUUAGAAGGUUAUUUUUGUUAUUACACCUUUUUUUAGUGGACCUCAUACCAGCCACGUCAACAAACUAACGGCACAGUUACGGAAAUUGGCAUCAGGCCUUUCCUUCGUAGCGAAAUAGAAGUUUGGGUACCACAUUGAUAGUUUUUAAAGUAUGGGUACCACUUUGACCGUGCCACAAAAGUUGAGGUACCGGCGGUGCAUUUUUCUCUUUGUAAAACUUAGAAGACUAUUCAUAUUGCCAACUUCCUUUUCAUCCAGCUUUCUAUCUACCUUCUCUUUUGGGGUUUAACUAUAUGUUUAUAUGCUGAAUCAGAAUUAUAGGAGGCAUCUUGGAGCUUGAGGCCUAAGGCGACAGCCUUGGCCAAGUUGGCAACAGGUAAUAAGCUCCCCUUGUUGAAAACUUACAACGAUGGAGACAAAGGGCUCCUUUAGCUUCUGCAAGGCUUUUAUAACCAUUCGUGCAUGAGUGAAACUGUACGUGAGACUCUAAUACCUCUUACAAUCAAAGGAAUUCUACCUAAGAAGAACUUGAUUAGCUACAUAAGUCAUCUUAGAUAUUUCGAUCCAUUGGAAUCUUUUCAUUAAUUUUUUUUUUCCAUUAAAGGCCAUAUUUUUGGGAGCUUUUAGGAGAUGAAGAUAAAUACUAAUCUAACCAUGUUGGAGACAUGAAAUGUCUAGUAGAAAACCAAAUGGAAUUCAUUCAUAUCAUACAUUUUAAAACGAGACCAUAAUUAUUAAGUUGGUAAAGAAUAUGAAAAGACAAGCUUCUCUACAAUUGACGUAUCCAUCGACCUCCCUUCACAUUGCUAUAUUUGUGCUACUGUUCUCCAUCUAUCUAUCUGAUCUUUUUUUGUUUGUCAGAGUUUCUUUAUGUAGAAUAUUUGUAAAUAUUUACUUUCCUUGUAUGUGUAGGUUAAAUAUUUUUGUAUAGAUGUAGGAGAUAUAUUUUCUAUUAGCACUACAGUUGUAUCUCUAUAUAAACCUCUAAUAUGGAGAAGAAUAUACAUUGAAGCAUUCCAAAUCAUAUUGAAUCCUUAUUUUCUACUUGGCAUCAGAGCCAAUCAAACUUGUAUCUUCCGAAACCCGAAACCUGAAACCUGAAUUUCGAUUCAUAACACCAAAAACAAAAUCCGCUGCGUACAAACAAAAGCAAACCUUUUUUUAGUUUAAAUGGGAGAUCAAAUCACCGAACCUGAAAACCCCUUUGCACUCAUGCCUCCGGUUGUCAACCAUUAUCAUACCACCACUCAAGACAACUCGGCCUUUCCGACCAGUGUUGCCUUGAAUGAAACCAAUUAUUCAAUAUGGGCACCUCUUAUGAAGAUGAGGAUUGGAGCACGCGGUCAACGGAGCCAAAGUCACACCAGAUGAGAAUUCGCCUGAAUUUGAAACUUAGACCACAGAGAAUGAGAGAGUAAAAAUUUGGCUCAUUGAUUCCAUGGAGCAAGCACUCAUCAAUCGAUAUAUCCGACUACCAACAGCCAAAGAUGUUUGGGAAGCAGUUGAGAAGACCUUUUAUGAUGAUUCUGAUGAGACUCGAAUCUUUGAAUUGAAUAAGAAGCGCUUUGCAGUGAGACAGAAUGGUCGGCCUCUUCCUAUCUAUUAUAAUGAAUUGGUGGGAAUGUUCCAAGAGAUCGAUCAACGUAUUGCCUCUCAAAACAACACAGUAGCUGGAGUUAUUCAAGAAACGACCACUAUGGUGCGUAUGCGAGUUCACAUGUUCCUUAGUGGGCUCGAUUCAGAGUAUGAUCAAGUCUGUGGUGAGAUCCUUCGUAAAGACCCAAAAUUCACCUUGGAGCAAAGUUAUGCCUAUGUUCGAAAGGUGCAUUCUGAUUGGCAAGUUAUGGGACAUGCUGCUGAGUCUUCUGUUAUGGUUGUCCAACGCAAACAGGGUCGUCCUCCAGGCUUCUCAAAUGCUCCACCACGUAGCUCCCCAGCAAAACCGAAUCCUUAUGCAAACGUCAAGUGUCCGGUUUGUGGAGACUUGGGUCAUAGCAAGCGACGAUGCUAUGAAGUCAUCGGUUACCCAGAUUGGUGGGAUUUCACAAGAAGACCCCGAAAGAAUCAAGCAAAUGCUGCCUUAGCUACUACAGAAGAGGAGCAACCAUCCAAUGCAACCGCCAAUGUCGUAGAAACAGGUAUAAUCGGUAAGGUAUCUAGGAAUAGUUCUUGGAUUAUUGAUUCAGGGGCGUCUGACCAUAUGGUUAAUGAUCCUAGCCUCUUGGAAAAAUUUAAACCCUCCACCCAAAAUAUUGUUUCUACUGCUGAUGGUACUCCAACUUCGGUCACUGGAGAAGGCUCUAUUGUCCUCUCCAACACAUUAACCCUUGAUUCUGUUUUAGUUGUCCCAUCAUUAGCAUACAAUCUCCUCUCAGUUAGCCAAAUCAUUCAAGCAUUAUCAUGUAUUGUUACUUUUUAUCCCUCGUUUUGUGUGUUUCAGGACAUUCUAACUCGGCGGGUUCUAGGUUGUGGUACUAGAAAGGGAAAAUUUUACUACUUGGAUCUGACAGAGCAAGGAGAGCAACAGUUAUUGGGACAAGUGAAUCAGGUCAAUGGAGUAGAGAAUGCAAAGGCAGCGUUAUGGUUAUGGCAUAAGCGAUUGAGACAUCUAUCUUUUAGUUAUCUUAAAAAACUACAACCUCAUUUGUUUUCGGUUGUUAGUGAUUCAGAGUUUUGUUGUGAUGUAUGUGAAUUGGCUAAAAGCCAUCAGAUUUCAUAUUCCCCUAGUCUUAAUAAAGUCCCAUUCCAUUCAUGAAAAUUCAUUCUGAUGUUUGGGGACCUGCCAAGAUCUCUACUCAUUCUGGAGCUCGAUAUUAUGUGACUUUUAUUGAUGACUGUACUCGGAUGAUAUGGGUAUCUCUCAUGAAGAAUAAGAAUGAGGUUUGUUCCAUAUUCCAAGAAUUUCACAAGAUGGUGUCUACACAAUAUCAACAGGCUAUUCGAGUCUUCCAAUCUGACAAUGGCGGAGAAUAUAUUAAUGGUCCUAUGCAAAAAUUUAUGCAAACUCAUGGAAUUCGACAUCAGACUUCAAAUACAUACACUCCUCAACAGAAUAGAUUGGCAGAGCGAAAGAAUCGACAGUUGCUUGAAGUUGUCUGCGCAUCCUUAUUUGGCAUGAAUGUAUCUCUUGAAUAUUGAGGAGAAGCUUUGAAGUCUGUUGCCUAUAUCAUUAAUCGUAUUCCUUCUCGGGUGAUUGAAUUUCAAAGUCCUCUACAGCAACUUCAACAUCUUUUUAUAGUACCAUCAUUGCCAAACUUGGAGCCCCGUGUUUUCAGAUGCGUAGUAUAUGUUCAUAUUCCCAAGCAACAACGAAGCAAACUUGAUCCUCGUGCCAAAUGGUGUAUCUUUCUUGGGUAUGCCGAGUUUCAGAAAGGCUAUCGGUGUUAUGAUCCUCUCACCGACACAAUUUACAUGUCUCUUGAUGUUUCUUUUCGAGAAUCUGAACCUUAUUACUCAGGGGGAGCUUCGACGUCUUCUCUUUAGGAGGAGAGAGGUUAUGAAGGGAAUUCUAGACAUUUAUUUAAGUUUGAGGAAUUUGAAGAGUUGGAAGCUUUGGAGUCCAGAUUCAGAAUUGACAAAGCUACAAAAAAUAAUGGAAUUGAUGCACAUGACACAGAUGUCAGGGAGGCAGACAUGAGGACCCCACCGGCUGCACAUGACGCAGAUGUCAGGGAGGCAGACAGCGUGGACGUCUCUUCAGGCGUGGACCUCUCUGUUGAGCCGUGCAUCUCCCCUGAGCCGAGCUGACCAAGCCGAGCUGCGCCCUUACCCGAAGAAAGCAGGCCUGGUCGCAUCUGUACUGAGCCGAGCCGACCAAGCCGAGCUGCGCCCUCAACUGAAGACAUUAGGCUUGGUCCGGCUCCGACGCGUGUCAACAACGACACUGGUUAUGCAGAUGAAAAGGCAGCAGUCCUGAGUCCCACAGAUUUGACAAAAAAUUGUCCCGAAAAUGCUUCGUCAGAUGUUUUCCCUUUCUCAGCACCAUCGACUAAAGAAUCUGCCGCGAAUGUCCCUGCUCAGGUAUCUUUAAAUUUAAAUCAAUUAUCUGAGGUAGAUAAUAUUGUAUCUAGAAAGUCACAGAGGAUUACCAAAGGUGUUCCAAAGAAACAAUUAAUAUGAAUCUGACAUUAAACCCAAAACUAAGUAUCAUGUAGCCAAUUACAUGUCUAACCAUAGAUUGGCCGAGUCACACGCCCUUGUCAUUAAUCAAUUAUCUAGUGUUUCUAUUCCUAGUAAUGUACAAGAUGCAAUGGAAGAUCCCAAGUGGACUCAAGCAAUGAACAAAGAACUAGAGGCAUUACAGAAAAACUCAACUUGGGAUAUUGUGCCUAAACCAGUUGGGAAAAAGACCGUUGGAUGUCGUUGGGUAUUCACUGUAAAGUUGAAAGCAGAUGGGAUCAUUGACAGGUAUAAAGCACGGUUGGUUGCCAAGAGAUACACCCAGCGGUAUGGCAUUGAUUAUGAAGAAAUGUUUGCGCCUGUAGCAAAGAUCAGCACUGUACGAAUCUUGAUUUCACUUGCAGCAACUAAAGAUUGGCCUCUACGACAGUUUGAUGUGAAGAAUGCUUUCCUUAAUGGAAACUUGGAGGAAGAGGUGUAUAUGGACAUGCCACCAGGAAUCAAAAGUAGAUCGUGCGAUGCCGGCAAGGUUUGUAAGUUGAAGAAGUCCUUGUAUGGUUUGAAGCAAUCUCCUAGAGCUUGGUUUGGAAGAUUCUCCAAAUCAAUGAAGAUGUUUGGUUAUAGACAAAGCAACUCGGAUCACACUUUGUUUAUCAAACGUAGUCAGGGUAAGAUCACUGCUCUGAUUGUGUACGUUGAUGAUAUGAUUGUCACAGGGGAUGACCCAAAGGAGAUGGAGGCUCUACAAAAGUACCUUUCAAAGGAGUUUGAGAUGAAGGACCUUGGACAGUUGAAGUAUUUUCUUGGAAUUGAAGUUGCAAGGUCAAAGCAAGGGAUUUCUUUGUCCCAACGUAAGUAUGUACUUGAUUUGUUAGCUGAGACUGGAAUGCUUGACUGCAAACCAGUUGAGACACCAAUUGAGAUGAACCACAACCUCGCCAUCUAUCCAGAUCAAGUCCCGACUGAUAAAGGAAGGUAUCAAAGUCUAGUAGGGAGACUUAUUUAUCUUUCUCAUACCAGACCUGAUAUUGCUUAUGUUGUGAGUGUGGUUAGUCAAUUUAUGCAUUGUCCAAGUGAAGAUCAUAUGGAUGUAGUGUACCGUAUUCUGAAGUAUCUUAAGAUGACACCUGGCAAAGGCUUGUUGUUCGAAAAGAAGGGUGAAUUGGAAGUUGUAGGGUACACCGAUGUUGAUUGGGCUGGUGAUAAGACAGACAGACGAUCUACAUCUGGGUAUUUUACAUUUGUUGGAGGAAACCUUGUAACUUGGCGUAGUAAGUAGCAGAAGGUUGUUGCUAGGUCAAGUGCUGAAGCAGAAUUUCGAGGUAUGGCACAUGGAGUUUGUGAGAUGUUAUGGAUUCGUAAUGUGUUGAAAGAAUUAGGUUUUAAACUCAAACAACCUAUGGACUUGCAUUGUGAUAACACAUCUGCAAUUGAAAUUGCUCAUAAUCCUGUUCAACAUGACCAGACCAAGCAUGUGGAGGUAGAUCGGCAUUUUAUCAAGGAAAACUUGGACAGGAAAAUAAUGUGUUUUCUUUUUGUGUAUAUAGAAGACCAAUUGGCAGAUUUCUUACGAAAGGAGUAUCAAGGAAAGUGUUUGAUGACUCAGUUGUCAAGUUGGGCAUGAUUGAUAUCUAUGCACCAACUUGGUCAUGCCCAACUUGAGGGGGAGUGUAGAAUAUUUGUAAAUAUUUACUUUCCUUGUAUGUGUAGGUUAAAUAUUUUUGUAUAGAUGUAGGAGAUAUAUUUCCUAUUAGCACUACAGUUGUAUCUCUAUAUAAACCUCCAAUAUGGAGAAGAAUAUACAUUGAAGCAUUCCAAAUCAUAUUGAAUCCUUAUUUUCUACUCUCUACUUCUCUACAAGUACAUUGUACCAUUAGAAAUCCAGAAUCAUGGGUUCAAUUAUCAUUUUCACAGAGGAGUUCACAAGUCCAGUUGAUCCAGUAAGGCUGUUCAUGGCCUUAGUCCUUGACUUUGACAAUCUCAUCUCAAAGCUCAUGACUCAACCCAUCAAGAGCAUAGAAAUUGUUGUGGACAAUGGAGGCCAAAGAAGCAUCAAGAAGAAAGGCUAGCUUUAUUUAUAUAUGGAAUGUAUGUGGUUUGAGGAAUAUUAGUUUAUGAUGUUAACAGAUCAGUUGUGCAGGUAGCAGAAGCAAAUACUUGAAGAAGAGAUUUGAUGCUUUGGUCAAUGAAGAGUGCUUGACAUAUGGUUACACACUGAUGGAGGGAGAUAAACUGUUAUAUAAGUAUGGAAAUGGAUUAAAACACAGAUGUAUAUAAUGUCAAACAGCGACAAACGUGGCCUGUGGAUCAUCUUUGUACCAAUACUGUUCUAACUUAACCACUUUUAAGGUGUUGGGUUUUAAUCACAAAAGGUCUCGGUACAAUUAUGAAUGACCCACCUAGUUAUGAAUUAUAUUUUCUUUGUCACUUUUCCAAUGUGGGAUCUCUCCUCUCCAACACUCCUCUUCACGUGCAACCUAACUUUUAGGUUUGCACAUGAAACUGAUUAAUAAAUUGAACCCAGGCCCCAUGAUAACCAAAAGAACCUCAAACUUCCAAUGACAACUGAAAGAACCCCAAACUCGAAAGAACCAAACCAAGGCCAUGGCCCCUGAAAGAACCAACCCGGGCUCAUUGGAGAUGCAACUGCUCAUUGGAGAACCAACCCAGGCCCCAUGAUAACCGAAAGAACCUCAAACUUCCAAUGACAACUGAAAGAACCCCAAACUCGAAAUCCCAAUGACAAUUAAAAGAACCCUAAACUCGAAAGAAGCAAACCAGAGCCAUGACCCAUGAAAGAACCAACCCGGGCUCAUUAGAGACGCAACUGGAGAGGGACCCGCUCUGGUACCAUGUCAAACAGCGACAAGCAUGGCCCGUGGAUCAUCCUUGUACCGAUAUUGUCCUAACUUAACCACCUUUAAAGUGUUGGGUUUUAAUCACAAAAGACCUCGGUACAAUUAGGAAUGACCCACCUAGUUAUGAGUUAUAUUUUCUUUGUCACUUUUCCAAUGUGUGAUCUCUCCUCUCCAACAUAUAACACAGACAAAGUUUUUCUGUUUGUCACAUGGUUNNNNNNNNNNNNNNNNNNNNNNNNNNNNNNNNNNNNNNNNNNNNNNNNNNNNNNNNNNNNNNNNNNNNNNNNNNNNNNNNNNNNNNNNNNNNNNNNNNNNNNNNNNNNNNNNNNNNNNNNNNNNNNNNNNNNNNNNNNNNNNNNNNNNNNNNNNNNNNNNNNNNNNNNNNNNNNNNNNNNNNNNNNNNNNNNNNNNNNNNNNNNNNNNNNNNNNNNNNNNNNNNNNNNNNNNNNNNNNNNNNNNNNNNNNNNNNNNNNNNNNNNNNNNNNNNNNNNNNNNNNNNNNNNNNNNNNNNNNNNNNNNNNNNNNNNNNNNNNNNNNNNNNNNNNNNNNNNNNNNNNNNNNNNNNNNNNNNNNNNNNNNNNNNNNNNNNNNNNNNNNNNNNNNNNNNNNNNNNNNNNNNNNNNNNNNNNNNNNNNNGGUUUGUUUUUCCAUUAGGGCACCCUAAUGGGCUACUAUGCGACUCAAUUAAGAAAUACAAUCUGGGCUGAUUAAGAAAGAUAUUGGACAAUGGAUACAAUCAAACUGUUGACAAUAUAUAUGAUCUGUUAAUCAAAUACAAUUAAGCCUGGGAUCUUAGAUUGUACACUAUCAUAUUUGAUGUGCAUAUUUGUUGUCGUUGAUGGUAGUGAGCUAGCUAUACGUGUUGUGUGAUAGAAAGUUAGAAACUAUGAAUUAUUGAAGGAAACCAUAAAAGUAAAGGGAGAUAAAGAAAAAGGAACACAGGUAAGGCUGGAAUUAGGCUACGUUGUGCUUGUAUUGAUCGAUUAAAGAGAAAAUGUGGGUUAUAAAGGGUUGAAAAAAAUGAAAUGACAUGAGUUACGAUUCAUUAAUAUGUAUACUUUAAUCCUAAUAUUAUAGACCCGUACCUGAAUAGAGUCUCAAGAGUCGAUGGACUCAGAGCCCCGAACCUUAAGGGGCCCAAAAUUUUCUUUUCUCUUUGUGUGAUUACAUUAGUUUAGUUAAAAGAGAAAUUUUAAAUGCACACCCCUAAUCUCUUAAUACACAUCUCUAUUAUUUUAUGUUUCUAUUGAGAUUUUAUAGGUAAGCUAAAUGACCAAAAUAAACAUCUAUUAUUAAAAAAAUAAAUAAAAAUCGUGUUAGAAGUAUUCUUUUCAACAUCUUCUACCCUAAAAUCAUCGAAAACACGUCUUCUCCCCUAACCCCAACUCUUCUCCACAAUUCAUUUGGGUUGUCNNNNNNNNNNNNNNNNNNNNNNNNNNNNNNNNNNNNNNNNNNNNNNNNNNNNNNNNNNNNNNNNNNNNNNNNNNNNNNNNNNNNNNNNNNNNNNNNNNNNNNNNNNNNNNNNNNNNNNNNNNNNNNNNNNNNNNNNNNNNNNNNNNNNNNNNNNNNNNNNNNNNNNNNNNNNNNNNNNNNNNNNNNNNNNNNNNNNNNNNNNNNNNNNNNNNNNNNNNNNNNNNNNNNNNNNNNNNNNNNNNNNNNNNNNNNNNNNNNNNNNNNNNNNNNNNNNNNNNNNNNNNNNNNNNNNNNNNNNNNNNNNNNNNNNNNNNNNNNNNNNNNNNNNNNNNNNNNNNNNNNNNNNNNNNNNNNNNNNNNNNNNNNNNNNNNNNNNNNNNNNNNNNNNNNNNNNNNNNNNNNNNNNNNNNNNNNNNNNNNNNNNNNNNNNNNNNNNNNNNNNNNNNNNNNNNNNNNNNNNNNNNNNNNNNNNNNNNNNNNNNNNNNNNNNNNNNNNNNNNNNNNNNNNNNNNNNNNNNNNNNNNNNNNNNNNNNNNNNNNNNNNNNNNNNNNNNNNNNNNNNNNNNNNNNNNNNNNNNNNNNNNNNNNNNNNNNNNNNNNNNNNNAGCUAUAUAUGUUUAAUAGCUACUGUACUUCUACAAUUCUACUAGUUUGUGAAUUUUGAAAACUUAUAUUGGUGAUUUGGAGUUGGGAUAUAACAAUAAUCAUUUGAUUAUAAAUUGAAUGAUGAUAAUCAAAAAUUUCUAACAAAAAUUAGACAAAAUAAAUAUGUAAAAAAGGUACCAAAUAGUAAAUAUAUAUUAAUUAUAUUAAAUAAUAGAAUAUUUCAUAAAUUAAGGGCAUUUUAGGCUGUUUGAGAUGUGUAUUAAGUAUAAUACUAAAAUGAAAAACUUGAUAGAUGGUGUAUUAAGUAAGGGAUGUGUAUUAAGAUAUUAGGGAUGUGUAUUUAAAAUUUCUCUAGUUAAAAACAAUCAAAAAAUAAUUAAUAUCUAAUGAAGAUGGUGUUAGAUUAAGAGCUAGAUGAAUAUAAAAUUUUACCUAUUAUAUAUAUAUUAAUAUCAUUAGUUACUGUUUCUGUACAAUCCUGGAUGGGUUUGCAGAAGCUAAUAAUAUGCCAGCUGGAUGGUCUGCUGCCUUCCUGCUGACCUGCAAUAACAAAGGGGAUCAGGAGCUUCCGGUCUUUCCUGCUCCGAAGCUUAAAUCAGUAUAUGGUGGUUGAAUGUAAUUACUGAGGAUAGUUAUGUUACCUGACAAGCUGGUGGCUGGGCCAUAUUUAUGGCCCAGAGUGGAUUCACUUCACCUGAAAACCGAUGUGGGACAACUGUCUUUGCUGUUACUUCACAUCCAGCUCCCUUAUGCCUUCUAAAUCCACCCCCAGCCCAAUACUGCCGCCAAGGUCGAGCCCGGCCCACCCUACUUAUUGGUGGAUACUUCGGGGCGGCCUCAGUUGUGGUGGAAUGCCUGCUGGUUUAUGGGCUUGGAAGGCUGGUUUAUGCACAACCGACUAUAAGUCCCCUCAAGUUCCCGUUCAAGACACAUCUUGAGUGGGGACUUGCUAAAAGAAGCCCGUAGACCAGUAUAUUUCAAGUGUGUCCCGCCCAUAGUCCCCCCAAGUCCGGACUCAUGACGUGGGUUGAACGGGUGUUACAGUCUUUCCGGUGUUACUACUCGAGUGACGGGGUGUUAACGCCGUCCGUGGUUUAUCAAGCCACUUGCUCCAUUUUUAAAGGGAUGAUAUAAAUUGCCCUGCCCCGGUGUCCCGGAAACACUUAUCCGGGACUUAACAUUUCGAGAGGCAGUUGUUACAUGCUUCCCCCUGGUGACACUUAUCCGAGAUGGGUCGUUCCUUGGCCUAACGCUGUCGGUGACUUACCCGAGAUUGGUCUUAUGAUCUCGGUGACUCUCACCCGAGAUUGGUCUUACACAUGCGCUUCAUGAUCCCGUUGACUCUUACCUGAGAUGGGUCUUACACGUGAGCUUCAUGAUCUCGGUGACUCUCACCCGAGAUUGGUCUUACGAUCUCAGUGACUCUCACCCGAGAUUGGUCUUACACAUGCGCUUCAUGAUCCCGUUGACUCUUACUCGAGAUGGGUCUUACACGUGCGCUUCAUGAUCUCGGUGACUCUCAUCCGAGAUUGGUCUUACACUUGGGAGUGUGCGCAUAGCAGUGGCAGGGGCAUUAAAUGCAUGCACGCCAGAUGUCGCGAUAUUCUUGGGCAACUGCCAAGCAAUUAAUGCACGUCGCUUCACUCUUUCCUUCUUCAAAAAGCUACAGCAGUUAAGCUACGUGGCACCAUCCUGCGGUUUAAUCGGCUGGCUAGGGGUGCCUCGUUUUUGGGUACUGGUUUUUUAAUGCGUCGGUUCGUGGAUCGAGGCGACUACUCGCUGGUCGUGUAUAAAUUCUUCCCCCCCUUUUGUUUUUCGUCUUCACUCUCACUUUACUCUUUCUCUGCUCUGUGUUUCUCUGCUGCGCUGGUUUUUCUGCGUUUUGCUCUGUGAUUUCUCUGCUUCUCUCGGGUAGUUGCUUUCUCUCUUUUCUGUUCUCUGCUUUCUCUCAACCCUGCGAUUGCGAGGUGUUUCCCGACGUCUGCGUUGCCGGCGUUGCUACGACGUCGAAUUUCUGGUAAGGUUUUCUUCAUUCUGUUGAGCUUUGUUCUGCUGCACUGAAGUUUGUUUAUGUUUUUGCCUCUACUUUGGCUUUCUCUGCGUUUGUGUUGCUUUUGUAUGGUUUUGGGUGAAACUGGAAAUUUUAGAAUUUUAGGACUCUAGGGCUUUAUGAAUUUAGGCUGUGUUUUCUGUUUUUCUUUGCACUUGCUCCCGGUGGCGCACACUAAUAGCCCUUACGGUUUGCUAUAUUAGGGUAGAUGGAUUCCCGGAGUACGACCGACUUAAGUGGGGCUAGCACAUCCUCUUGGCCGAUAAUGGAUGACGACGAGAGGAUGGAGGAGUAUAUUAGUAGGCCAUCCCGCCUGGGUGAACCGUCUUCGACUGGCGUACCCGCCCGGCAAGUAAACUGGGCAAAGAGAGUUUUUCACGGUAUCCCGAUGAUGAACGUCAUCAACUCGGCCAGGCGAUAUAUCUUGGAGGACGGAACUGUGUGCGACGAACCAGAGGGCAGUAUGACCUUGGCCGAGAUCAAACAAUUCCGUGAAGACUGGGGCAUCCCGGAAACGAUUACACUUUACGGCCUUUACGAGGGCGAGUUGGCGUGCUGCCCGAGAGAUGGCUUCGUUGCUGUGCACGAGCAUAUGUUUAGGAACGGUUUCUCUCUCCCGCUUCCUCAGUGCGUGCAGUACCUGCUGAGCAUGCUUCAGCUAGCUCCCGGGCAGAUUCCCCCAAACCAAUGGCGCCAGUUGUUGUCACUUGGCUGCCUGUAUUACUUGUCCGAGAUGGGGUUUCCAACUAUCAAUGAGUUCCGAGCUCUCUACCACCUCUCAUACUCGAAAAAGCAGAAUUGCAUCGGGUGUGUUUCCUUCGCCGCUCGGGAUUACUUGCCUCCCGUUACGGAUCUGCCUACUUCCAUUAACAACAACUGGCGCGCGAAGGUUGUGCUUGCCGGGGGUCGGUGGCAAAGGAAUUGCCCCACAUACAUCGUGCCCAACCGGUUCAGGUAUAUCCAGGAUCAGUCCUUCUCGUUAUCAGAAAUCGAGAAGAAACGGAUUGGCCGGAUAUUUGCGGCCUGACCCUCGGACGAAGAUCGUAGCUCGUACAACUUAACCCGGUGGGGCGUGCUAGUUCACUGUGAACUCGGCCGAAUGCCUGGUGGGGUUCCCGCUUAAUGUCUCGAUUAUUGCUUAUACAUACAUUUGUUCUCUGUUUCUCUGUUGCUUUACUAAUUGUUGUGCUUGCUGGCAGCCAAGGUUCCCAGACGUAAGCUUCGCCCCUCACACCCGCGCGACAUGGCUUCGGACCUGGACUUGCUGCACGAUCUCCUGGAAGUAGGAAAAACCGUUUCACACACUGAAGUGAACGUGGUGGACUCUACCGUCCGGGUUUCAGAGACGCCCGUGCUAAUGGAGAUUUUCGACGAAGGGUACGGGAAGCCGCCUCAUGACACGGAGGAGCCCAGGAGGAGCGGUGACGUUGUCAACGUCAACUUGGGCGAGAAGAAAAAGAAGAAACCCUCGUCCAAGAAGUCAAAGUCUCAGCGGGAUGAUAUUGUGACUUUGACCGGCCUGAGCGUGACUAGAGCCUCUCUACCUCUGAAGAAACAGAAAUCAGCAAGGCCCUCAACCGGCGGACCCGUAAGCCUGGGCGCUCUCGCCCCCACUCUUCCCCAAAUUCGAAAGACCCCUAUUCGGCAGAUACUGGACGAGUAUGGAUGUGCCGAUGAGAAGUUCGUCCGUGGCAUGGUGAGUGAUCUGAAGGGAAUCGAGCUGGACCAGAUCAGGGUGGGGUCUAACACUCUCUAGCAGAACCGGCAAUACGCCCGGGAGGCGAUGAUGAAGGUAGCCGUCUCCCUUUUUACUCUAACUUACUACCCGGGAUAUUGUACUUAAUCUUUUUAACUCUUGCAGGCCCUCUUCGCCGUCUAUGCCAUUGACGCCAGCGAAGACUCCAACGAGAUGAAAGAGCGCUUAGCUAGCCUGAAUGAUCAACCUACCUCCGGGCCGAGCAGAAGAGGGUGGAGAAAAGCUUGGAUGCCGAGAAGAAAGAGAAGCUCUCGCUGGCUGACAAGCUUGCCAAGCUCAACCUUCAUACUCAGGACCUUGAGGGAAAAGCCGAGCGGGUGGCAGCUUUGGAGUGCGACAUCGACGCGCUUCAGCGGGAGAACGCUAAGCCUAAGCUGAAGGAAAAAAACGACCAGAUUCUCGACCUGCAAGGCCAGAUUCCCUCCCAGGGCGAGCUUGCCGUGGCGAAGUUUAAGGAGUCGGACGAGUUCAAAGCCAUGCUGAAGACCGCCUGGGAUAGUGGGAUCACCGAGAAGUUUGGCGAAUGGAGCCGCCUUGGGUAUCUGGACAAGGCGAAGAUGACUGUCGACGUGAUCGCUGCCCGGGAUGCCAGGGAAAGGGAGACCAAGUCCAAGGCAGCUGUUGAAAAAGAGCUUCAGGAGACAGACAAGCCGUCCGAGAAGGCCGCUGACAAGGGCACCGAGGAGGACGACAAUCGGGCCGAGUCGUCCGGGAACGAGGAAGAAGAUGACCAGGAGGCAUAAAUUGUAAUUUUACCCUCUUUUUUUUUUUUUGCUUUUGUAAGACAAUGGCCUCGUGCCCUACACGGUGACUACGUGUCCCGGUGAUUUUUGUAAAUUCCUAUUGGUGGUACACGCUCGGCAUGACGAGUUUUAAUAUAUUAUGCCUAAUUUUAUUACUUGCUUUUUUGUGCUACAUAUUUGUAUUAGGCUUAUCCCGCUCGGUGUUAUGGGGGACUGCAAUAACUUUUACCUCUCGGUUUUACCUGCUCGACACUGUAUUCAAUUGAUUUAUGCCUCCCGGUGGAUUACCAUCCCGAUUAAUUUUACUCGGGAUUCAAUUGACUUAUGCCUCCUGGUGGAUUACCAUCCCGAUUGAUAUUACUCGGGAUUUAAUUGACUUGUGCCUCCCGGUUGGUUACCAUCCCGAUUAAUUUAACUCGGGAUUCAGUUGACUUAUGCCUCUCGGUGGAUUACCAUCUCGAUUGAUUUUACUCGGGGUUUAAUUGACUUGUGCCUCCCGGUGGGUUACCAUCUCGAUUAAUUUUACUCGGGAUUCAAUUGAUUUAUGCAUCCCGGUGGAUUACCAUCCCGAUUGAUUUUACUCGGGAUUUAAAUUGACUUAUGCCUCCGGGUGGAUUACCAUCCUUAGAGUUUGAAUUUAACUUCUCCAUUCUUAUAUAUAAAGUCUUUCAGAACGAAUGAAGGCAUCCUCCAGGACUUAUUGUCUUCCCGGGGGCCGCAAUACUUACAAAUGUAAAUUUUAAGGGUGGGUUUCGUUCCCAUUUCACACUGGAUAGAAUCUCAGGUGCUUCGUAUUCCAAGAGCGCCCGGUGACUAUCCCAUCCUGAUCCCGGAGAAAUAAGGUUGCUGGACCGACCUCUUCAACUAUCUCGUACGGCCCUUCCCAGUUCGGAUCCAGGGCUGCCGGCUUGGUCAUGAUUUUCUUCAUUACCCAGUCCCCCAGUCCCAACGUCCGGGUCCUGACUUUAUUAUUAUAGUGGCGUGCAACACGCUGCUUGUAGACUUGGUUGUGUAAGUCUGCUCGCUUCCUCUUCUCCUCGAUGAGGUCAAUGUUCAAAUGGAGACCCUCCUCAUUGGUUGUGGCGUUGAAAUUUUUGACCCUUCCUGAUGGUAUUGACGUCUCGAUUGGCAAAACAACCUCCGUGCCAAAGGCCAUGCUGAAAGGAGUUUCUCCCGUUGCUUCUGUUGUUGUGGUUUUGAUUGCCCAUAAUACCUCCGGCAGUUUUUGUGCCCACAGACCCUUUGCGUCGUCUAACUUCUUUUUCAGGAGUUUUUUUAUGAUCUUGUUAACCGCCUCCACCUGACCAUUGGUCUGCGGGUGCGCCACCGACGAGAAGACCAUCUUGGUACCCAUGUCAUUCGUGAAUUCAAUCAGAUGGUUAUUAUUGAAUUGUGUACCAUUGUCCGUGACGAUUGUCUCCGGGAUUCCGAAUCUGCAAUAGAUGUUUUUCACCAGGAAAUUCUUCACACUCGGUGGUUAUCUUCCCCAGGGGCUCUGCCUCCACCCAUUUCGUGAAAUAGUCAACAACCACUAUUACGUACUUGAACUGGCCCAGAGCCGUAGGCAGUAUCCCGAUGAGAUCAAGACCCCACUGCGCAAAAGGUCAAUGUGACAACAAUAUUGAUAGGGCAAUGGAAGGGGAAUGUAUCUCGUUGGCGUGCAAAUGACAUUUACGGCAUCUCGCCGACAUCUUAUCUGCCAUGACGCCCAUGUUGGGCCAGAAGAACCCUAUGCGUAGCGUCUUGUGUGCUAACGACCGGGAUCCAGAAUGAUUCCCGCACACCCCUUCAUGAAUUUCUCCCAUGAUCACUUCUCCUUCUUCCUCUGUCACGCACUUGAGGUUUGGGAGAUUGUAACCUCUGCGGUAUAACUUCCCGUUCAUGAGGGUGUAUCUAGCACAUCUCAAUUGCAACUUUCGUGCCUGCCGCCUGUCCUCCGGGCGCACCCCCUCCUUCAUAAACUCGAUUAUGGGGUUCAUCCACGUUGGCUCUCCGGGUCCCGCCUCGAUCAUGAAUAUCUCAGAGAUUGUCUUACUGAUAUUUGGUUUUCCAAGCACCUUAAUCCUUGCCUUCUUUCUGCCUUUCCCGAGCCCUCCGGUGGCUAGCCGGGCGAGGGCAUCUGCAUGACGGUUUUCUUUCCGGGGGAUGUGAGAGAGAGAGGCCGAUUUAAAACGUUGCAUGAAGGCUUUUGAUAAUGUUUGGUAAGAGUGCAACUGAGGCUCCUUACACUACAACAAAUUCCGGCAGUAGUGACCAACAGAGUGGUCACAAAAGCUAAUAGUUUUGGUCACUAAUUGUGUUUAGUGACCAAAAAAUGGUGGUCACUAAGUGGUCACUAUAGACUCGUCACUAAUUCUCAAUAGUGACCACUUAUUAGACUUGGUCACUAAAUUAGCGACCACUAUAAUCUGGACACUAAUACUAAUGGCAUUUGUGACCACAAAAUUGAUCACUAAAAGGGUCAAAUGUAGUCACUGAAAGUCAUUAUUUGGUNNNNNNNNNNNNNNNNNNNNNNNNNNNNNNNNNNNNNNNNNNNNNNNNNNNNNNNNNNNNNNNNNNNNNNNNNNNNNNNNNNNNNNNNNNNNNNNNNNNNNNNNNNNNNNNNNNNNNNNNNNNNNNNNNNNNNNNNNNNNNNNNNNNNNNNNNNNNNNNNNNNNNNNNNNNNNNNNNNNNNNNNNNNNNNNNNNNNNNNNNNNNNNNNNNNNNNNNNNNNNNNNNNNNNNNNNNNNNNNNNNNNNNNNNNNNNNNNNNNNNNNNNNNNNNNNNNNNNNNNNNNNNNNNNNNNNNNNNNNNNNNNNNNNNNNNNNNNNNNNNNNNNNNNNNNNNNNNNNNNNNNNNNNNNNNNNNNNNNNNNNNNNNNNNNNNNNNNNNNNNNNNNNNNNNNNNNNNNNNNNNNNNNNNNNNNNNNNNNNNNNNNNNNNNNNNNNNNNNNNNNNNNNNNNNNNNNNNNNNNNNNNNNNNNNNNNNNNNNNNNNNNNNNNNNNNNNNNNNNNNNNNNNNNNNNNNNNNNNNNNNNNNNNNNNNNNNNNNNNNNNNNNNNNNNNNNNNNNNNNNNNNNNNNNNNNNNNNNNNNNNNNNNNNNNNNNNNNNNNNNNNNNNNNNNNNNNNNNNNNNNNNNNNNNNNNNNNNNNNNNNNNNNNNNNNNNNNNNNNNNNNNNNNNNNNNNNNNNNNNNNNNNNNNNNNNNNNNNNNNNNNNNNNNNNNNNNNNNNNNNNNNNNNNNNNNNNNNNNNNNNNNNNNNNNNNNNNNNNNNNNNNNNNNNNNNNNNNNNNNNNNNNNNNNNNNNNNNNNNNNNNNNNNNNNNNNNNNNNNNNNNNNNNNNNNNNNNNNNNNNNNNNNNNNNNNNNNNNNNNNNNNNNNNNNNNNNNNNNNNNNNNNNNNNNNNNNNNNNNNNNNNNNNNNNNNNNNNNNNNNNNNNNNNNNNNNNNNNNNNNNNNNNNNNNNNNNNNNNNNNNNNNNNNNNNNNNNNNNNNNNNNNNNNNNNNNNNNNNNNNNNNNNNNNNNNNNNNNNNNNNNNNNNNNNNNNNNNNNNNNNNNNNNNNNNNNNNNNNNNNNNNNNNNNNNNNNNNNNNNNNNNNNNNNNNNNNNNNNNNNNNNNNNNNNNNNNNNNNNNNNNNNNNNNNNNNNNNNNNNNNNNNNNNNNNNNNGAGAGAGAAGAUACAGGGAACGGAAGCUGAAUAUUUGGUGGAGGGAGUCCAGAUAUGUCUAAAAUAUAGGUAACUGUUCACUCCAAUUUUCUCAUAAACCGCGAAUAAUCCCGCGUCUGAGAAUAAAGUUUUUAAAUGUUCUUUGGUCACUAAUGAAUCUGAUGUCGUCACUAAUUUUUUAAAAAUUACUGACCAAGUCGACUUGGUCAUUACUUUGUCAAAUGAUAGGUCACUAAAAAUUAUCCAAAGGGUGGCCUUACCAUUUUUAUUACCUCCAAAUGCUUUAAUGACCAAUAGUGUUUGCUGGUCACUAAAACUAUAUUAUUUGUGACUAUUAUGAUUAGGUCACUAAGAAUUUGGUCACUAUAGCCACAUAUUGUUGUAGUGUUAGCUUCAAAGCUCUCGUUGACCUGUUUUACAACCAACUGUGAAUCACUAAAUAUUUUCACUCUUUCCACUCCGAUGCCUCGGGCAAGUUGCAAUCCCCUGAUUAAAGCUUCGUACUCAGCCGCAUUGUUGGAUGCCUUGAAUUGGAAUUCCAGGGCGUACUCAUGCUUGAAUCCAUCGGGAGUUUCUAAUAUUAUUCCCGUCCCGCUUUUAUUUCUCGUCACCGAGCUGUCCACAAAAAGUUUCCAGAGUUGAGCCAGUGGUUCCUCACUGUGCAUCUCCUUAUCCGCUCCGGGACCAUUUUCCUCCCGGUUGGCCUCGUUGGAUACUCCCACAACUUUCGUGGGAGUGGGCUCAGAGGACUCUCCCACAACUUUCAUGGGUGUGAGCUCAGAUAUAAAGUCAGCCGCUGCUUGGCCCUUGAUUGCCACUCUCGGCCGGUAAUGGAUAUCAAAUUCCCCCAGCUCUAUUGCCCAUUUUACCAGCCUCCCGCUGAUUUCUGGCUUCAACAUAAUUUGCCUCAGGGGGUGGUUAGUAUAAAAGGUUAUCGAAUGUGCUUGGAAAUAGUGUUUGAGCUUUCGGGUGGUUAUAAUAAGUGCCAAGGCCAACUUCUCUACAUCUGGGUACCUGCUCUCGGCCGGUGUGAAUCCCUUCCCCGCGUAAAAUAUAGCGUGCUUGACAUCAGACUCUUUUCUUAUCAAGAUCGAGCUAACUGCUGACUGUGAAGCCACGAUAUACAGGUAAAACAUCUUGCCCGGGAUUGGUUUUGACAAAACCGGUGUGGACGUGAGGUAUGUCUUUAUCUGUUUGAAUGCCUCCUCCUGCUCGGGUCCCUAUACUAUCUCCUUACACUGCUGGUAUUUCAGCAACCAAAAGAAAGGGGCACACUUAUCCGUGAGUCGUGACACGAAUCUGGCAAGGGCGACAAUCUUUCCGGCCAAUGAACUCAAUUCAUUCCUCUCCCCCUCAUGCUAAUUAUAUGCCCCAGGAAUUUCCCUUUGAUAACCCCGAAGAUGCAUUUCUGAGGGUUUAGUCUCAUCCCGAACUUCAUUAUGACCUCGAAGACCUUCUCAAGAUGCCCUAUAUGCUCCUCGGCCCUUAGACUUUUGACCAACAUGUCAUCGACAUAUACCUCCAUUAUUUUCCCGAGGUACUCGGUGAACAUGACAUUCAUCAGCCGUUGGUAAGUCGCUCCCGCAUUCUUCAGUCCGAAAGGCAUUACCUUAUAGCAAUAAAGGCCCCUGUCGGUCGUGAAGGCUGUAUGCUCCUCAUCCCUUGGAUCCAUCUGGAUCUGGUUAUAGCUCGCAUAGGCGUCCAUGAAGCUCAACAAUUCGAAUCUAGACGUGGAGUCCACCAGUUGGUCUAUUCGUGGGAGAGGGAAGCUGUCUUUUAGGCAUGUCCUGUUGAGAUUUGAGUAGUCUACACACAUCCUCCACUGCCCUGUUGACUUCUUUGGAACCAUGACCACAUUGGCCAACCACUGGGGGUAUCUGACCUCCCGUAUAAACUUUAUGUCUAUCAACUUUUGCACUUCCCCUCUCAUUGCAUCAUACUUUUCUGGCUUAAACGCCCUUCGCUUUUGCCGCACGGGAGGGGAUCCUUUCUUGAUUCCUAGCUGGUGUGUUACAAUUCCGCUAGAUAUCCCGGGCAUGUCCUUAUAUGUCCAAGCGAAUGCCCCACUAUUUUUCUUCAAAAAGGUCAUCAAGGCCGCUCGCACCCCUGGUGCCUUCCCCGUCCCGAUGGUCACUUGCCUAUCCGGGAAUUCAUCUGAGACUGAUACCAUUUCUGUUUCUUCUGCCGACCCCGGACGCUCCUCAUCCGAGUCGGUAUCAUCCCUUGGAUUCAUAAGGAUCCAAGGGGGAUGCCAUGGCCUGGCUCGCUAAUAGAACCUCGGAUCUUUUCCUUCCGUUGUCUAUCGCAUAGCAACUCCUUGUUGCCGCUUGGUCUCCCCGGAUGGUAAUGACUCCAGUCGGGGUUGGGACCUUCAUCAUCAACAUGUGGCCGGCAACAAAAGACUUCAGCUUCCAUAACAUGGGCCUUCUCAAGAUCCCGUUAUAGGACGACUCGCAAUCGACCACGAUGAACUCUACGGUAGCCCGGGCAAUUCCCUCUCGGCCUUCCAUACUUACUCCAAAGCUAUCCGAUCCUAGUGGCUGGACCACAUCACCCGAGAAGCUGAUCAGGGUUCAUGGUUUUGUAUCAACUUGUUACUUCCUCGAUGCAGUCAUUUCCAGGCACUUCUGAACAACACGUUGACCGAGGCUCCCGUGUCAACUAGGAUCUUCUUUGGGAUAUAAUGGUCGAGUUGCAAUGUUAUUAGGAAUGGGUCCUCGUGCCGCCUUAUCCCCUCCUCUUCCUCUUCUAGGAAGGUAACGGACUUCCAACCGGUUGUCAUUUGUUGAUUGCUGCUACUCCAAAAGGCGAAGACCUCCUGGCCAUCCCUGGAUCUCGUACACUGCUUUUUUGCCUUAUUGCUUCUAUUAUCUAUACGGGACUCGCCAUGGAUGGUGUUGAUUGUCUCAUAUACUUCAAUUGCCCCCACAUGCCUCGGCCCGGGCACAUACUGCUGCAGCUUUCCUUCUUGUAUCCGGCGCUCUACUGCCUUUUUCAAUUCUAUGCAGCUGUUAAUGUUAUGGCUUGCUUCUCCGUGAUACCCACAAAAUUUUCCGAUGUCUUCCUUGGUGAGCCGGGAUGGGGGCGACUUUUGGGCAGGGGGAGGCGGGAUGGCGGACUUAUUCUCAUUCCAUAUCGCCUCAUAGGUGGCGUUAAGCGUCGAGAAGUGCUCCUGGCUUGCCGGUGCCGUCCUCGCGUACCCGGUAUCUUGGUAAGGUCCUUUUGUCUUUCCUUGUGCGUUAUGCUGCUUUGCUGCCUUCCCCCAGCUUCUUUCCUUGUGCCUCUUUCCAGCUGGGUGCGAGUUCGGCCCUUGCUCCCGUCCAGGCCCUUAUCUCCUGGACCACUUAUACCGGCGAUCCUUCUCCUUGCUCUCCGACCUUCCUCUUCCCGACCGAGGUCCCUCCAUACGUAUCAUGGUCUGCUUGUGCUUGCCUGACCGCCAUCUCCAUAAUCUCAUCGUAACCUUGCGGGCAUUCGAUUUUUACUGCAUACAUAAAUUUUUCGGGAAGCAGUCCUUGAAUGAAUGCUUCCUCUGCAACCUUCUUGUCAAAGUUCCUGACUCUGGCCGUGGCACCUUGCCAUCGAUUCACGAAAGCUUUCAAUCCCUCACCCCUAUCUUGCUUCACCUUGAACAACUGGGCGGUAUUCUGCCCAUCCGUUCGUAAAAUGAAUCUAUUGACGAACUUGUUUGCCAGUUCUCGGAACCAAUUGAUCGAGUUUGAUGGGAGCUCGUAGAACCAACUCAGUGCUUCCUCUGCUAAUGUCUCCUGGAACAUAUUGCAGCAUAUUGCAUCUGAGUACCCUUUAGCGUUCGUGUGAGACUUGAAACUAUCGAGGAAGAGAUGGGGGUCUCGAUCCCCAUUGUAACUCAGUUUCAUCGGCUUGGCCGGACGGACCGGAUGAUCGCUCUUGUGAACGGUCCCCCCUUUCUUCGAAACUCGUGCGAGUUGGGUUACGCGCCCCCUUCUCUCGGCGUCCGAGAUUCGGUCAGCCAAACUCGCCACGCUAUCCCGGAUAGCUCUCAGGGUUUCUUCCAUCUCUCCCUGCCGUCCAACUUGGAUUUACGGGAUCGGCUCGGGUAAGGGCGACGGUCCCUCAUCCCGCAUUGCAUCUGGGAACAAGUUCGUUCCUAUAUGCACCGUCCUACGGUUCGUUCUCACCGGGGUGCCUGUCUGCUGAGACGUGGCCGCUCGAUCCAACUCCCUCGCCCGAUCCAAUGCCUCCCGGUGCUCAACUCCUCUGGCUAACGCUCUCAUGAGCGUGGCGUUAUCCCUUUCCAACCUGCGCUCCCUCCCGGAGGCUUCUACUCGAUCAUGGGCACCUUGUUGCUCUAGCAGAGUGAUUUGAGCCCUCAUAUCUUCCAACAUCUCGGCUACCUCUUGAGGAUUGAGAUCCCGCGGCACAUACUCUGGUGUUUCAUCCUGGAGGGUUCUCCCAGUAGUUCUUGAACUUCCCCCUGCGGUUUCCGGGGUCUUUCCUAAUAUCACCUCCCUCUCUUGGUCUUGUUGUUCGAUUAACUCAGCCAUCGAGUCAUGCUGGCUUUUUGUAAUGAUUCCCACAGACGGCGCCAAAUGUUUCUGUACAAUCCCGGAUGGGUUUGCAGAAGCUAAUAAUAUGUCAGGUGGAUGGUCUGCUGCCUUCCUGCUGACUUGCAAUAACAAAGGGGAUCGGGAGCUUCCGGUCUUUCCUCAUCCGAAGCUUAAAUCAGUAUAUGGUGGUUGAAUAUAAUUACUGAGGAUAGUUAUGUUACCUGACAAGCUGGUGGCUGGGCCAUAAAAGUGGAUUCUCUUCACCUGAAAACCGAUGUGGGACAACUGUCUUUGCUGUUACUUCACAUCCAGCUCCCUUAUGCCUUAUGAAUCCACCCCCAGCCCAAUACUGCCGCCAAGGUCGGGCUCGGCCCACCCUACUUAUUGGUGGAUACUUCGGGGCGGCCUCGGUUGUGGUGGAAUGCCUGCUGGUUUACGGGUUUGGGAGGUUGUUUUAUGCACAACCCACUAUAGUUACUAUUUUAAAAAAAUAAGCAACCUAAGUAAGAAAUUUGUUGUAUAAAUAAGAUUUUUAAUAUAAAUAGGAAUUAUAAUGUUUCUUGUUGUUAGAUUUUGAGUUUAUAGCUUUAGUUCGUGAAGUAUGUUUCUUAAAAAAAAAAAAAUUUGAAUGAAUACUAUACUUUGAGGGUCUAAUUUUAAAAGUUCGAUUCAAGUAUGAAAAUCUCAGGUUCGGGCCUGCCACCAUAUUGUGACUCUUUAAUGAUGUACAGCUGGUUGUGGAGUUCACGAGAACGAAUCACAUUCGAAUGCACACGAGUAUCGAUCACCAACAUCCAAAAGUACAUCAUAUUCUAAACGAAGCUGCAUUGCAAAUUUGCAAGGGAACCAGCAGUCAACCAGCACAUCCAAAAUUAUUCAAUGUAAACGCAAAAUGAAAACACUUGCACAUCCAUAACAAACUAGUAGCAGUACUGUAGCUACCGCAACACAUAAGAUUAUAAGAGAAAAUUAUCACGGAGGGAGAAUGUUCAUACAUACGUACAUGUUUCCUUUGUUGAUCCUUUGUCACAUUUCCGGAUCCUUUCUUCUUUUCCCUGUCCUCUAGAAUGAACAGCAACAUAAGAUCAAAAAAGAAAAAAAUGUUGAACAGGAUCAAUUUGGGUAUUUAGGUUUCCGGAUGAUGAUGAUGGUGAUGAUCGAUGAUGAUGGUACCUGCCGGUAUGUGUCUUGCCAGCACGACCUUCCUUUAUGAAUAUGCAGGCAGGUCUAACAUCUGGCAUGAAUUUUUGGUGCGACCUUGAUUGAGCCCACCAGCACGAACUAUGUAUACACUCAUGGACACCAGGCACUUGCAGAUCGAUCUAUCUUUGGCUCUAUAUCAUACAUGCUAUCGUGCCUUGUCUCGAUUGAGCCACACUUUGAAAUGGAUCAAACUAGCUAGGGCAUACCUAUAUAUUAUCCCCUUUUCUCUCCAAAUAUAGAAUAUUUUUCAAGCUAGCUAGAGACAACGGCAAAGUGUUUAUAAUCAUUCAUCCAUGCCAAAACCCUCGAGUUUGAUCACCAAAUAAAACGACCUCAUGACUCGACUCGUACGUUCAUGGCUCCACAAUGUCGACAUUACGAUAUAAACAAAUAAACGGAUGAAAGAAUUAUGCAAAAGUCUAGAUUCCUAGCUAGAAAACGAUCUCUUACUAUUUUGUCUUUCAAAAGUCCUGUUCAGUUUCAACGUACGUGAAGUUGUUUGGGUUUCACUUCAGUUUUUUCUUCUGUAACUUGUUGCGAAAUCGAUGGUCUUAUAAAUGUGAAAGAUAUGUACCUACCUUGUCUACUUGGUGAGAGUGAUGUGUGAAUGUCUUUUGUCUCAACAACCUAAUUAUACUGAUAUUUUCAAUAUAAUCAGGCAAUGUGGAUGACUUAUAGUCUAGCUUAUAAAACAUGAAGCAAUUAAAUGUGGACUUGGUCUUAGUUUAUCUUUACUUUAUAAUUUGUAAAGUAGAAUGUCUCUGUUGCUUUGUAAGAUGAGGUUUGGACAUCAUAUAGCUAACUAGCAACGUUAUUAAUCAAGACUUAAUUAUAACCUGAAUAUGCUAUCUUAAUUAUAACCAAAGACUUGUCAAUAUGCUAUCUAGCUCUUUCGGAUUUUCCUAUAAACCUGAAGAUUCGUUUGGAAGAGUAACAUUAGAGAUGAUCAUAUAUGCCUGACGUUCAGGCCGAUCUUGUCCUGAUCGAAUUGUUUAUGUGUUACGUCAUUUUAGGGUUUAAAUUAAGUGCAGAGAUUAUUAAUUAAUUCGAUCUAUUUAUUAACUAAGAGGUUACGUACGUUAAGAAUGAUGAUUCUGAGUUCCUGACGAUGAACCAAAGAGUUGACCAGACUUAAUCGAUAACUGGCUCAAGUCACCCGAUCCAAAUCCUGACUUGAUGCGAGUCUGAAGAGGCGGUCGACUCAAGGCCUGGAGCUCUAGGGGGCCCAGAAAUAGACAAAUCACUGCUCUCUCUCCAUUAUUAAAUUUAGUCAAAUAUGGAAGGAAGAAUAAUGUUAUGUCAGAACAUUUUUUACUGCAAUGGAAGGAACAAAGGAACGGACUUGCCCAACCAACUAUAUAUACAUAUAUAAUAUCACUUGAUAUAUUUUGAGUGAAAGAAAUAAGUAAAUAUAUACAAUUUAAGUUUUCAGAAAAGAAAGUCUAUACAAUUUAAUAAAAUUACUACUCGAAAAUUAUACCAAAAAAAAAAACGUAAAUUUCUAAAAUAGGGUUUAUAGUGUAAAUAAAAUUACAAAAAUAUAAAUCAUAAUCCAAAUAUUUUGGAUAUGUAGUUAAAUUUUGACUUAAUAGAUUUAGUUUGUGAAAAAUUUUAUUAAAAAAAAAAAAUCUAGAUGCAAAUUAUGAUUUGAGGGCCUAAUUUUGAGAGUUCGACUCAGGUCCGAAAAUCUCAGGUCCAAGCUUGACCCGAUCUAAUGGCAAAGAAAGUCUCUUGGUUUCAAAUAAGGGUUUUGCUUUGUAAUUAAAUAUAUAUUCCAUCAAAAUUGAACCACAAAAAAAAAAAAGUUUUAGAGUUAAAGAUUUUGCUGCAUUUGGCUACAUUUCUGGAUGGAUGCACCAGGACCAGGUCAAAGCUUGGGGACCCAGCUGCUUGGGCUUAUCCGUUUAGAUUUUUGUAAUUUUAUUAAGGGAGUCGGUUCAUGAAUUCUUCUAGUUCCAAAAUAAUAUGAAGUCUUGUAACAAAAAAAAAUAAUAAUAUGAAGUCUUGUAUAAAAGUCUUUGCCCCUGUAUUGCCGAAAGAAAAGAGAAAGGUCUUGCCCCUGUUAGAUCAAUUGUACUCUUUCAUCAACCUGGAGCAUGAUAAAAUCUACUCAUAGGUCUUUAAUUAACGAGCAAAUGUCUAUUUAGUACUAAUUUUAGAAAAUUUUAGCCUGGUCCAAUGAAAAUAAGAUUCCAUUGCCCAUUCCAACUGUUACUUGGUAAAAUACAUUUAUACCCUUAUACUCAUUCUCUUUCUUCUCCUCUCCUUUUCCAUCAGAUCUGUUUCUCUCUCUCUCUUCUUUCCUUUUCGAUAAUAUCUCUCUCUCUCUCUACGCCAAUCUGCUGCCACUGAUGAACUACUUCAACGUCGACACACGGUCCAUGACACCAGAAAUCGGCAACCCAGCCAUCAACGCCGACCAUCCUCUCUCUCUCUCUCUCUAUGUCUCUCUCUCUGCGNNNNNNNNNNNNNNNNNNNNNNNNNNNNNNNNNNNNNNNNNNNNNNNNNNNNNNNNNNNNNNNNNNNNNNNNNNNNNNNNNNNNNNNNNNNNNNNNNNNNNNNNNNNNNNNNNNNNNNNNNNNNNNNNNNNNNNNNNNNNNNNNNNNNNNNNNNNNNNNNNNNNNNNNNNNNNNNNNNNNNNNNNNNNNNNNNNNNNNNNNNNNNNNNNNNNNNNNNNNNNNNNNNNNNNNNNNNNNNNNNNNNNNNNNNNNNNNNNNNNNNNNNNNNNNNNNNNNNNNNNNNNNNNNNNNNNNNNNNNNNNNNNNNNNNNNNNNNNNNNNNNNNNNNNNNNNNNNNNNNNNNNNNNNNNNNNNNNNNNNNNNNNNNNNNNNNNNNNNNNNNNNNNNNNNNNNNNNNNNNNNNNNNNNNNNNNNNNNNNNNNNNNNNNNNNNNNNNNNNNNNNNNNNNNNNNNNNNNNNNNNNNNNNNNNNNNNNNNNNNNNNNNNNNNNNNNNNNNNNNNNNNNNNNNNNNNNNNNNNNNNNNNNNNNNNNNNNNNNNNNNNNNNNNNNNNNNNNNNNNNNNNNNNNNNNNNNNNNNNNNNNNNNNNNNNNNNNNNNNNNNNNNNNNNNNNNNNNNNNNNNNNNNNNNNNNNNNNNNNNNNNNNNNNNNNNNNNNNNNNNNNNNNNNNNNNNNNNNNNNNNNNNNNNNNNNNNNNNNNNNNNNNNNNNNNNNNNNNNNNNNNNNNNNNNNNNNNNNNNNNNNNNNNNNNNNNNNNNNNNNAGUAAAAGUUUACUAGGGCUAGUAAACUUCAUUUUUUGCCGGUAUGCUUCUGGCAAGAUCCGGUGGGUUCUUGUGACAUUUUUUUCAAAAAAAUCCAGUGAGACUCCGGCGGCCAGUGUCCGGUGACGGGAAUCAGGCAACUGGUGUUCGGCGACCGGAAUCCGGUGACCGGCGACCGGCGCUGGUGUCCGGUGUGCUUCCGGGAAAGUCUUCCCUUCUUCUUUUUCUUUUUUUCUCUUUAAAUAAAGGUUAAGGGUAAAAAAGUCUUUUAAAAUAUUAUUUUAUUAUAUUUUAAUAAAGAUUUGUGUAUUUGGGCUUAAAAUAAGUACCUUGUAUUCAAAUGGGCUAAUAAAAAAGAUUAUCAUUGAAAUAGAGUUUGACUUUUUCUAUUUUGUGCAAAUGGUCUUUUUCCCUUAAUUAAUUAGUUACUUUAGGUUCUCAUCUUUAGUUAAUUACUUUGGGUUACUUUAAAGUAUUACAUAUAUGGUAGCUUGUUGCUGAUCCAAGCUAUCACUGUCGAAGAUAUUAGCUAGGGUCUUUUGAUCAGUUUGGAAUAAUUGUUCGUCAAAUAAUUCUUUUUGAGAUUCAUAAAAGUGGAAUUAUAUUUAUUGAGAAAUUGUUAGGGCAUAGACGGAGCUACUUGAAGACCUUGUAUAUGCAUUUCAUCUUUGUAAUAAGUUGGUUCAAAUGAGUUCAUGUUUGAGCGAAUAACAUAAAGUCCCCCCCCCCCAAUCAUAUAUAACUAAGUUUAUGCGCGAGAACUUGUAUCGAGUACAUCCACACUAAUUUGUGGCAAACAUCGAUCUAUCCUGGCUUUUUGAUACAUGAGUAUUGCUCAAUAGUAUGAUCCUCAUUCUUGAACGAUCUGAUGGUCUACGUUUCGGAUCAGUUUAUCAAACAAAAACCAAGUUGCCAAUUAACAUAAACAUUUCAAUUAGUAGUUUGGUACCAAUUACACCAAACAAAUAUAGAUGUGAUUGAUAUUUUGUCUCUAAAGUAGAACUGGCCAAAUGGGACUGAACUAUUUUUCAACUCUGACAAAGUCAUCGGAUAUAUAUUUUCUUUUGGCUCAAAAAGAUUACAAAGUCAUCGGAUAUUGCUUUCAGUAAGAGUGACCAAAAUUGUUCUCGAUCGGCCUCUUGGUCUGGCAAGUAUUCAAACAUAUAAAACCAAUGCAAGUAAGAUCACACUGAUUACAAAGAAAACUAGUUUCAUUUAUAUUCAUAGAAGAUAAUACACUGUGUUCAGUCUGCAACUGUUUUAUGACUUUAUCCCAAACAGAAACAUCACAAGCAACCAGAAGAUCACACACCAUAAACACUUAUUAUGCUCAAGCCCAGACCGCCCAAACCCAUGGCUGUUCUGGACUGACAGAAAGCAACAUAAAAACCACACACCCUUUUGAGUACUAAGAUCGAUCACGGAUAGCUAGUACUCAAACAUCAUAUAGAGAACGAUCAUAACUUAGUUGUAUUCGCUGGGGUGGUCCUUGAGGUAUCCCUCAAUGAGCUUGAAGAGGUGCGAGGCCUUCUCUUUGCCGGCCUUGACGUGCUCUUCCUUGAUCUCGACAUCUCCCUUGGUGUGGUACUUGCUGGUGGUCUUGAUGACGGUUCCUCCGUGAGGAGCUGAUACCAACUUGGUCUCGUAGUCGAUCUUCUCGAUGUUGUCUGACAAGGCAUCUCCCUCGAUCAAACUGUAGCUGUAGGUGUGGUUCUCUUUGUCAAUGGAGUGGAUCUUGUGCUUGACGUACCCGUAGUGGCUGCCUGUCGAGUUCCAAUGUAAAAAAAGGGAGUGAGCAUAUAAUUUACUACGGUCCAAAAAUUACCAAAUUGAAAUAUACGUAAAAAUGGAUUGAGAGUUAUACCUUCACCAAAGGUGAUCUUCUUGAUGGUUCCGGGGCCGCCAUCUCCUUCGAGGAUCUCGGCGCACUUAACUGCCUGAGGUGCAAUCUUGGGGAUGAGGUUGUCGGCAUCGAGAACGAAGGCCUUGAACAACUUAGGUGCUGGGAUAUCGGAGGUGAACUCGUUUUCAUAAGUGUAAACACCCAUGAUGAUCACGACUUGAGAAAUAAGCAAGCAGGGAAUAAGGAACUUCAAGGAUGAUGGUUUUAAGGGAGCUGUGUUGUGUUGGAAAUGUGUUAUGGGAAGGUGGUAUUUAUAGAUCUUCAGAGUGAAGGUCUCCCUAGUGAACUGACAAUACUGUCCCCCUGUAUAUGGAUCGAAGUGUGUUUUGAACUUUUGAUCAAUUUGCCACUUCUUAAUUCGGUUGUUCUCAAAUUCGCAAGGAACCUGAUUUUUUUAUACAAACUAUCUGUGUUAUUUCAUUCUUUAAUUAAUUAGUGGAUAUCUUUAGAUCAGAAUUUUUAAUAAAAUUCUGUGUCUUGGUCAAAUUAAGCAAUAACUACUGUAAUUGCUGAAUAAAAUAGACUCCAACUAGGUUGAGACAAUAUAUGCAAUUGCAGCAGAAAAUAAAAUUAAAGACUUUCUAGAUAUAUAUUGUUGGGAGCCAUUCUAAGAACUCUUAACUUGAAGACUUUUCAGUUUAUGGUUAAAAAGACAAAUUUUUUGAUCAUAUUUUGACAUCUCAUCCGUUCAUUUUUUAAGUUUAUAUAAGUAGAUCAUUUAUACAAAUUUUCAGCCAAAUUGGUGUUCGUUAAGAUAACAAACUAGAUCAAAUUAAUGGACGAACCAAAUCUGUCAAAUAUGAACCGUUCAAGUUUCUAAUUGAUAAAUCACACUUAUGAAUGCAUUAAUAAUUUUCAAUAUAGCUGAAAAUUUAGAGAAAUGAUCUACUACUCAUAAAUACUUAUAAAUUGAAUGGUCAAGAUGUAAAUAUAAGAUCGAAAGAUGAGAUAAACUGAAAAGUCCUUAACAAGUUCUCAACUUAAAAAUCUUCAUUAGAAGAGCUUUUAUAUAUUGUUAGCUAGGUUCAGGGUUUAGGAUCAAAGAAUAUUGAUCAUCAUCUAGUACAUAGUUUUCAGGCUGCUUUCAGUAAAUUUCAUAUAAGAUAAACAUUGAUGAGCUUUUUUGAACAGAACACGUUGCAAGAUUUCUAAAGCAUGAGAAAUAGUUGAAGUCAAAAAGCUUAAAAAAGAUAUGAAAUUAUGGAGAAAAUACUGAUAAGAAAGUAAGAAACUAUGAUGGCAACUAUGAUCGAACAAGCAGCUGAUUGAUAAAGCUUCUAUUUGCAGCUUGGUUAAUUGCCGACCAUAAUUCGGAACCUGGUAAUUAGCUUGGCUAGCUGGUAAUUACCGAGCUAGAAGGCUUUGAUCUUCUUAUUUCCCUUUCUGAUUUUUCUGGUUUUCAUUCUCUUCUUGAUAGUUCAAGAUUUGAAUGCUUCGAUUCAUUUCAACAAUGGCAGCUGGCGGUCAACAUUGGCUAUCCAUAUCUCUCUUUUUUCGGUUUUUUUUUCAUUUUCCUUUUUUCUUUGAUGCAGGACUAAACUGAUCGAUCUUAAUUAAUUAUUCUUUUAUUGUACGUGGAAUGCUUUAAAUUAUUAAGAAGUAACCUACAUCAACUGAUGGAGACAUUUUACUGUUCUUGGAUAACCAUCUUAAUUUGCAAUAAUUCACAAACCUAAUGGUGGCCUGAGAGAAAUGAGAAUACAGCUACAAAUUAAAAUAAAUUAAAGAAUAAUUAAAUUCAGUUUACGUCAUUGUGGUUUAGAGGUGAAUUUAUGUUAGUCCUUAAACUUUUAAUUUCAUCAGAUUACCUCCCGAACUCUUGUUUUUCUGUUUGCCGUAUGCUUCGUCCAAUUGGGACGUUGAAAUUUGAUGACAUUUGGGGGUUGAGAAGCUAAAUUACCAGAAAAACAAGAGCUCGGGGGGUAAUCUGAUGAAAUUGAAAAUUUAGGGACUAACAUCUAACAUGAAUUUACUUCUAAAUCACAAUGAGGUAAACUGAAUUUAAUUCUAAACUAAAACUUACUGACAGUGCUGCAUUAACAAUAUACUAGCCUUUUUUUACCAGUGCAUUUCUACGGGCUCACAAUUUCUUAAUAACGCAGUUAUUCUCUCCGGUAUAAAACACAUUAGUCAUUACCCACUUUUCUGUCCAUAAUUAUCUCUUUCUUUUAUUUAUUUUAUUUUUUUAUUUACCAUAUUAACCCUUAUUCUUACUAAUCUGAAUCAACUUAAUAUGAAUAAUAUUACCAGAACAUAAUUUGAUAAUUUAAAGACUGGUCGCUUUAUAGUAGUAGAGAUAACAUUAAUAACUAAUAGGGUUUGUGGAGUAGUUACAUUACCAAUUAAAUACCAUAUAAUAUAUACUUACAUGAGCUGAUGAUCGAGCAGUAAGAACACAAAGUGAUAACCAAUAAGUUAAAAUUUUGCCGAAAGCUGGAGGGAAUAAGAAAUUUCAAUAUGGAGAGAAACAGGAGCAGCCCUAGCUAGGCAUUUGGUGGAAUACAACGCACUUGAUCAACCAGUACGUAAUUCGUACUUAUAAAUUAAUCGAUCACUUAAUCAUCUAGUGGAAUAUAUAUCCAAUUGAAUAUAUACAUCCUUGAUUCCUUAAUUAGCCCAUACAAACUAUUGCUUUGUUUAUGCUUAAUUUGUUAAACUAUUAAUUCCUUCAUCAACUACUAAUCACGAAUGGAUCAAAGCAUUUUGGAAAAUCAUAUUCUACAACUGAAGUUGACGAAAUAGUUGUUGGGAUGGUUGUGAAUUGUGAUCAUAUAGUAACAUCUUCUAAUAAUCAAAGAAAAAUUACUAGACUGAACUAACACCGAAUUACUAAACUUGCACAUCAAUAAUUACUGGUGAUCGAUGAUGACAUGGUUUUUAGAUCGAUACUAGCUAGUUCAAUGAGAUGGUAUUUAAUUAUUUACGUUUGCUUGUACUCAUGUUCAUACAAAUUGCUUUCUUCAUUUCAUGAUCUGAUUUGGAAGAUGUAGAAAAAGUCAUCUUUAUCACAUGCCCCACAUCAUCGUCUUGAAGAUUUGUUUGUCUUUGGCUCGGAUAUUCCUCAUCGUCAAUCUGGAUAUCCCCAAAUUUAUGCAAUAUGCACUCGCCGGCCCUCUUCAUUUGUAAUUGUUAGGCUUUAUAUAAAGUAUAAAGUAUAUAUGAAUUUCAUUGCCACGUUUACAUAUCAUAUAUUUAAAAUGAAAAUAUGAAUGAUGAAGCUAGCUACAUCGAGCUUCAACUUAAAUCAACUUUUGCUACCCCAAUUAAAGAUUUUGGAACAUUAAUUCGGCAUUAUCUUGCUAAAUUGUGAGCUUGAAUCAUAUCCAUUAGCUUCAUGCAUACAAAACAAGAUUAAUAGUUCAAAGUCACAUUCGAUUAACAACAUAUUAUGCUAAUUAAGUUAUCUUUAUGAUCUUUAGAGGAUAUAUUUUGCCGAUGAUGGUCAUGAUAUAACCAAUUUAGUAGAGUCAAAUGACGAUUAUAUGAGUUCGUGUAUAUGCUCACUAAAUGUUGGUAAUGACGUAGCUGAUGCUCUGGUGAAUUUUGUUACAACUUUUGCUGGUUAGCCUGGUUUGGUUUGGCUAAACUUGAUUCUUUCCUCUAUUCAUGCUCAUUGUAACAGCGACCGAUUAGGUUUACCAAAAUUUUGCUUUUAGGAGUUUGCAUGAUUUUGUUUCUGAUUAUGAAGUUUGGUUGUGUCCUGUUUUCGUUUUUUAUUUUAUUUUAUAAAUGAUUUUAAGGUGUCAAAUUCAUUGCUCGCUUAGCGUGAAAAAAAAAAAAUCCCAUGAAAACAUUUCAUAAUUUAAGUGAAGCGCAUGGCCUCGUAUGGUCGUAUUAAACUGAAAAAUUAUGAUCUUUAUCUUUGCAAAUAUUGUCAAUGGACGGUUUUAAGGGUACUUAGCGGUAGUGGUGGGAAGGCACUAACUAUGUCUAUUUAGGUUAAAUUAAUCAAUCAAACUAUUAAUUAACGGAUGAUUUUCAUUAUUUUAGAGAAAAUAAUACCACAUUCAGAUCGUCCAAACAGGUCUAUAUCCUGCAUGAUAUAACCAAGUUCUUGGCAUUUGUCUCGUUCCAGAAGUAAAGCCAACGUUACUAGUAAAACCACACUUUAUCCGAUCACGUACAUAGAGGUAAUUAACACCCAAACAAUGAUCUUCUUGCAAGUUUAGAAGUUUAGUUGUAGUCGUCGGGAUUGGCCAAGAGGUAGCCUUCGACCAGCUUGAAGAGCUGAGACGCCUUCUCUUUUCCAGCCUUAACAUGCUCUUCUUGGAUCUCAAUAUCACCAAUGGUGUAGUAGUUACUGAUGCUCUUAACAAUGGAUCCUCCCUCAGCAGACUCCACCAAUUUGGUCUCGUAAGAGACUUUCUCAAUCUUGUGUUCAGCUAACACAUCUCCUUCGAUCAAACUGUAAUUGUACUGGAACUUAUCUUUGUCAAUCCCAUCGAUCUUGUGCGUUACAGAUCCAAAUUUACUGCCUGCAAAGAAAAAAAGAAUAUAUAUAUAAAUAUACAUGUAUAUAUAUAAUUAGGGUUGCUGCUAGAACUUUCUUCAUUUCAUCUGCAAUAUGUGCUUAUUCUUUUACUCAAAAAUUAAUUCCGGGUCAAGUAAGUGCAUUCAACCAUACCUUCCCCAAAGGUAACUUUCUUGAUGGUUCCAGGCCCUCCAUCACCUUGAAGGAUUUCAGUACCUUGGAUUGCUUGGGGUGCAAUCUUCGGGAUGAGAUUGUCCACAUCAAGGAUGAAAGCCUUGAACAAUCUAGCUCGUGGGAUGACGGAGGUGAACUCAGUUUCGUAAGUGAACACACCCAUUAUAGGAUCGAAAUUCUCAAUUCGAAACAACAACAAAUUAAGAUAAAGGUUUAACCCAGAAGAUUAGGGUUGGAGAGGAGAAUGCUUUGCAGGUGGUACUUAUAGAAAGAAGAUCGGUGAGACCAAUGUUUAUAUUUGGAAGCUGUUACUACAACUUUAGGAGAUACAUACUCGAUCAUUUGGUUUUAAGCAGUAGACAUUAAAGAGUCGCAAAAUGUGGGUGGUCUAUCGACUUCCUAUAUAUUUUGGUUUGAACUUCCGGUAGCUAGCUUCAGUACGUAAUACAUAGAUUGGAACUUGGUUUUUAAUUAACUGGCUCUUUUUCUACUUUCUUUUUUGGGUUUCAAGUUUUGUUUAGUUGCUUUGAUUUAACAAUGACAGUUCAUACGUACGCCCAGCUCUUUAAUUUUUCUUCGUUUUCUUUGAUUUAAUUUAGCCUAUAGAUUUUGAUCGACUUGGAAAGCCUACUUAAUUGACCACCAAACUGAUUAAGCAGCAUUCAUUAAGGUCGGAAAUUCGGAAAUGUUCUGUGGAGCCAAGACUUACUCUGUCAUUAUUUAGGAUUAAUAUGCACAACAAUUUGGAUUAAAUGGUGCUGGAGAAAGUAAUUUUCCAGAUAAUAGCAUAUUUUAUAAAUGAAAAAUAAACUAACGCUACUUACAAAGCCAGUUGAUUAGUCAUGAUCGACCUUCACCCUAGCUAGUACACCAAAUUUCGUCUUGAUGCAUCCAACAAGCUAAUUGUGCCUCAGAUCCGUCCAUGUUCAACAUUUCUAUAUAUAUGAUCAUCAAAAACAACUUCUCUCCCGGCCGAAUGAUAUAAGAAAAUACAAUGAAUAUAACAAUUCUUUGGUAUAGACAGUCCAGAUUUUUCAAGAAAGAGUGAGCUCGUGAUGAUUUGUAGGAUGAUAAUGCAGUUUAUGGUUGACUAUUUAAUUUGAAUUAUUGUCAGUAUUGUGUAUAAUGCAACGAGUGUAGUACAAUUCACUUGUUCUUAUAGCUAGCUAGCUAGCUAAUUAAUUUUACAUGCAACUAAUUAAAUUCGUAAUAGUUCGUCUGAUAUGUACAUACAUAUAUAUAUAUAUAUAUAUAUAAUAUAUAAUUACUUUNUAGUACUUAAAAAACUUUUUUUUAAGUUUUUUUUUUAUUUUUUUUUUUUUUUUUUUUUUUUUUUUUUUAACAAUGUCAAAGGAUUCUAAAGGAUUACUAUGCGAAUUAAUCUCCAAGAACAUGUGAAAUACUCAAAUUAUAAAUUGCAGCUCCGCCAGCACGAUACUUUUGACAACUUCGAAUAUAUAAUGUGAAUUGUUAGUAAAAUAAUUAAUUGAUGAUAAUUUUAGGAAUAUGCUUAAAUUAUGAACUCAUUUAUUUGUUAGUGGAAUUUGGCCAUCAACCUGUCCAAGUUCCUAGAUUAUAUAGAUCAUCUUUUUACUUAUUGGUAACUGAAAUUUUGAUCGCAUGCAUAUAUAAUGCAUUCACUUUAGAGGCGGCUUCAUUCUUUAGAUUAAUGAUCUGUCAAAUUCUUCUGACCAAAAAUAAUACAAGAGCACUGGAAUUUCAUAUUCCUUUCGUCACAUUUAAACAUCCAUUAUAAAAACUGGCAAACUGCCAAAACCACCUUCGGCCAGUCACACUGCGUUCCCUUUCACCCUAGUCACCCAUGAACCUAUAUAUACCACCCUCGCCCCUCACACUUCCUCACACCAAUACCAUAUAUUAAUUCUUUCUUACCUUCCAUAUAUAUAGCUGUCUUAUUUAAUUUCUCUGAUCAUCAUGGGUGUGUUCACAUACGAAUCCGAGUUCACCUCAGUCAUCCCACCACCUAAGUUGUUCAAGGCUUUCGUCCUUGACGCCGACAACCUCAUCCCCAAGAUUGCCCCUCAGGCUGUGAAGAGUGCUGAAAUCAUUGAAGGAGAUGGAGGUGUUGGAACCAUCAAGAAGAUCCAUCUUGGUGAAGGUUAGUCAAAUUAACUGUAAUAUUAUCGUCAUUAGUAAGUAGUAACUUGUUUGAAUUGUUUAACUAUAUAUAGAUCUCCAUGCAGUUUUGAUAACAAUGGUCACGUUUUCAUGUUACAGGAAGUGAAUACAGCUACGUGAAGCAUAAGAUUGAUGGAAUCGACAAAGACAACUUCGUGUACAGCUACAGUAUCAUCGAGGGAGAUGCUAUCGGAGACAAGAUUGAGAAGAUCUCCUAUGAGAUUAAGUUGGUAGCAUCCGGUGGAGGUUCCAUCAUCAAGAGCACCAGUCACUACCACACCAAGGGUGAGGUCGAGAUCAAGGAAGAGCAUGUUAAGGCCGGAAAGGAAAGAGCCGCUGGUCUGUUCAAGAUCAUUGAGAACCACCUCUUGGCCCAUCCUGAGGAAUACAACUAAAUCUGUUGAUCUCUGUGAUAAGAGGCAACAAGCCAACAAGCCAACAACUAAAAUGGUGUCAAUCUGCUCGAUCAUCGUAUCUCUUUGUUUAUCGGUGUGCCUUUCAUUUUCCCCCUUUUUUUGUACCAAACCAAAGCAUGGACUUUGGGGGUACAACAAUGCUGUAUUUGAUUCCACUCUAAAUAAAUGAAGCAGAAAAGAUUUAGUAAUUAUGAGCAAUUAACAAGUUUUGUUAUCUCUGUACGUAUAGAAGAUACUAAUUACUAUUCAAAAAAAAAGAAAGACGAUACUAAUUAUGGGGUUAUUAUUUGCUAAAUAAUUUGUUUAAUUUGUUUUCCUGGAUCACAUUUUAGUUCACUCUGAAGCAUCUUUCAGAUCGAUACAGUUGUAUGUAAAAAUACUUCUACUCAAACAACUGAUCAAAUGCCGAAUAGCUCUUAAGAACUUUUCCGCUUGCGUAGAAACGUAUGGCCUUUCUAAUGAGAGGGUUAUAUUUUCUUUUGUGACCAUUUUAAUAGCAUAUUGUAGCUGUGUUUCUCAGUUUCUCUCGGUUUCGAUUUACAACGCACAAAGUAAUAUCCAUGAUAUCUCUUACAAAUUCACAAUAUCAUUUCAGAAAGACUUAAUUUGCUAAAGAUUGUCGAUAAUAUGACCAUGCAUGUUAGAUGCACAACUAGCAAAUGAAUCAAAGGCUCGAACACAAAACCCUAUCUUUGCCGAAUAAGAAAAAGGAGAAAUAAAACCAGAACCAACAUUUUAUAUACAUGAAAGCUGCUUUGUAGUAAUUGCAACGACAUCAAGUAUCUAAAGCUCAUCGAUAUUAUCGGGUUCGGUAUAGCACUAAGGAGGGGAGGUUCAGCAGGGGGGUCCAGCAGGGGGGGUCCAGCAGGGGGUGGUUUUGCCUGUGUUUUCCAGCAGCAUGCUAUGUCCUCCGGCACAGCAGAAUUUUCCGAUAUUAUCCUUCUAGUAAUUUUUAUGUCAAAGUUGUAGGGCUGUUAUGAAAGUGUACAAAGCAUAUUAUUGAUGACUGAUAUGGACCAAAUAAGGCAGGCAGGCUAGCUAGCAGCCAGUCUUGAAUAUAUGGAAGACUUGAUGAUCCGACUUGUUCUAAACUCUAAAGAAGGAAAAGCCAAUAAAUCAAAGAAAAUUAAUCCAAUGUGCAAGUCAUGUUUCCUUUUUUGUUCUUAUUUUUCUGGCCAUUAAUAAUUUCGCAAAUUAAUUUGUCCCACAAUUUUUGUUUUGUUUCGGGAAGGAGGAGGGGGGCGGUUGGGUUUGGAUAUUCAUCAUCAUCAUCCAACUUAAUUAUAUUGAAUAAGAAAGAUAUCUGUCUCCACUUAAAUCAUGUUCCUACAUAAGAUCAUUAUGCAUCAAACUCGAUCGCCACCACAUGUAUAUAUACAGAUUGGAAUUGAUUCAAAAAUGAACUACUCUGUAGUAUAUAUAGUAAUUAAAAGUUUAAACUGCAUAUAAGUAAAACCAUUCCAAUAUCUUAGCACCUCACGAGUCACUACUUGGGUACGUACAAGAUCGAGAAAAAACUACCAACAAGUACGUAAGAAAUACACCCCGACAAUAACCCAUGCAAGAUCAAGUGUACACCGGCAUGCAUGGUACAAGAGAAUGAAGCUGAUCCAUAGCACGACAGAUAGUAAUAUUUAACACAUGAGAGUCCUUCUACUAAAAACUCUUAAGUUGAGGACUAGUUGAAGACUUUUCCGUUUAUAGUUUAAAAAACCCAUUUUCGAUCAUAUUUUGACAUUUCAUCCGUUCAAUUUUUAAGUUUAUAUGAGUAGAUCAUUUUUACAAAUUUUCAGCCAAAUUAGUGUUCAUUAAGAUAACAAAUUAGAUUAAAUUAAUAGACGAACUAAAUCUAUCAAAUAUGAACCGUUCAAGUUCAUAAUUGAUAAAUCACACUUAUGAAUGCCUUAACAAUUUUUAAUAUAGCUGAAAAUUUGGAGAAAUGAUCUACUCAUAAAUACAUAUAAAGUGAACGGUCAAGAUAUGGAUAUAAGAUCGAAAAGUGUGAUAAGCCGAAAAAUCCUCAACAAAUCCUCAACUUAAAGGUCCUCAUCAGAAGUGGUUCUUUUAACGCUUAGUAUCUGAAUCAUAAUUAGCUUUGUAUGAGCAAAGAGCAUCGGACGCAGGCAUUGCCUAUAAGCUGAAACUGCUCAUAACUAAGUUUGCACAAGCCAAGUAUAAAAGCGAAGUGCUCUUUUAAUUAGUAAUUUUUUAUCGAAAGAAUUGCACCAUGAAUCGAAUGAGUUUUGCUUUAUUCAUGAGAACUUGAGACAUUUUUAAUCAAUACAACAUUCCAAUUUGUAUACUAACUUGAUAUGCAAGCCAAAACAAUCUGAAAGAAAAAGGAAAUUAAUGAUCAAAGCCACACCAAUGACCGAGCAAAAGGAGGAGAUGAUCGAUCAUGAAGAAUACUGUAUAUUGUUUUAGUUGUAGGCAUCAGGGUUGCCCAAAAGGUAAAUCUCAAUAAUCUUGAACAGACCAGCGGCUCUUUCUUUUCCAGCCUUGACAUGCUCUUCCUUGAUCUCAACCUCACCUUUGCAAUGGUAGUUGCUGGUGCUCUUGAUGAUGGAACCUCCAUCUGCAGAUGCGACCAACUUAAUCUCGUACGAGAUCUUCUCAACCUUGUCUCCAAUAGCAUCCCCUUCAAUCAUACUGUAGUUGUACACAAAGUUGUCUUUGUCAAGUCCAUCAAUCUGGUGCUUCACAUAGCUGUAUUCGCUUCCUUCACCGAGGUGGAUCUUCUUGAUGGUUCCAACACCUCCGUCACCUUGAACGAUUUCAGCGCUCUUCACAGCCUGUGGAGCAAUCUUGGGGAUGAGGUUAUCGGCAUCAAGAACAAAGGCCUUGAACAAUCUUGGUGGUGGGAUUACAGAUGUGAACUCUGUCUCGUAAGUGAAAACACCCAUUAUGACAAUGUAGAAGAGCUGAAGGGAAAAAAAAAAUGAUCAGAGAAGGAAUAGAAUGUUCAGGAAUUAAUGCUGAUAAGAGAGAACUGGUAUUAGGGAUGAGGAAGUGUGAGGGCUAGAGGAGGUAUUUAUAGAUGUGAGGGUGAAGAUCAGACGUACAGUUUAUACAUGCAAGAGGAUUAUUCAAACAAUGUUUCAAUGUGAAAAUGAAUUUACAAUAUUCAACUUAAAUGAACCUCUUUUUUUUUUUUUUAGUCUAAGAAGCCGUCUCGAUUAUUCGUGGCUCGGAAGACUUUGAAAAACCCAACUGCCGCCACAAUCCAAAAUCCGAAACUAAUUGUUUACCUCAGUUUCUUUGUAUCACGAGGUCCAUUACAUUCCUACGUACAUACGUUCCCUAUUUCAUAAAUUUAGUCACUCAUGCAACUUUCGUUAUUGUUUUUUAUUGAGGAAAAUAAAUAACUAAAUAGAGGUGCCUCGAACGCACCAAAUGUUCAUACAAUCAAGUGAUAAGGCUAAAAAAGCCUCUGGGGGAACAUUCUCCACCCAAAGACCGCACCUAUCAAAUCUAUGGCCCAUAUUAGCAAAUUGGCAACAAAGUUAGCUUCUCUGAAAACAUGUGAGAAGCGAAUGGACUCAAAGGAGCAACUCAAACAUUUAAUAUCAUGGUAGAGUUUGAGGAGUCUCCAAGGGGGGUGAGAAACACCAUUAACUACAUCGAUAAUUAGUUUGGAAUCCCCUUCCACUUCAAUCUUUGUCAGGCCUCUCUCCUUUGCACAAAUAAGGCUAUUUCGGAGCGCCAAGGCCUCGGGAACAAGGACAUUGGUGACUCCUGAGUUGAAAGCACCCGCUGCAAUUGGUUGUCCAGAAGUUCUUAAAAUGAAACCUCUUUCGUUAUUUGCUCCGUUAUGUUCGUUGUGAGUUUUGUAUAUAUAUUUCAUACGUUCGUAGAAUCAAUGAAUGAGUCUUUUCUCUUGUAUAUAUACACAUUUUUCCUUGGAAUCUUGGAGGAAAUUAAAUUAUUAUUAUUAGGUUAAUACAAAUGCUACAUGUAGCUACAGUUGAAAGAUGAAACCAUAAAAGGAAGCAUCAAUGCACUCUUUAACAAUAAAAUCAUAUGUUGCUACAAGUUUUAUUUACAAGUUUUUACAAACACAAAUAAUACAACAUGCUCCACAACAACCGAUUCUGAUUAGUUCACAAGAACGACACCAUUUAUCGGUGGAGACUAGCAUUGGUCACAAUAUAAGGGUUACACACCAUCGCGCUUUUUCCUUUUCCUUCUUAAUGUCUGGGUAUGCUUAUUUACUGAUCAAUGAAAUGUCAUAUUGUUUCAAAAAGAAAAGAAAAAAAAAUGUACUACGUUAUCUUUAAUUUAUUUCGUUGUUCCAUGACUUUCAUCCAAUGAAAAGUCUCGACCUGAAAGAAGCUACAACGCACUAUAUAUUCAUGUUUGAAGAUUGGGAGUGCUCGAUCAAAUGAGUUUUGCUUUUUUUAUUUUUAUUGAGAUAGAUAUUACAACACAAUUAGAAAAGAAAAGGAGAAAAAGAAAUGCAUGCAGUACGUGGUACAAUUUAUUAGAUAGUUUUUAGUCUUUUAAACUUCAAUUGUAUGCCUCAGGGUUGGCCAAAAGGUGGUUCUCAAUGAUCUUGAACAAGCCAGCGGCUCUUUCUUUUCCGGCCUUGACAUGCUCUUCCUUGAUCUCAACCUCUCCUUUGCAAUGGUAGUGGCUGGUGCUCUUGAUGAUGGAGCCUCCACUUGGAGAUGCCACCAACUUAAUCUCGUAAGAGAUUUUCUCAACCUUGUCUCCGAUAGCAUCACCUUCAAUGAUGCUGUAGUAGUAAACAUAGUUGUCUUUGUCAAGUCCAUCAAUCUGGUGUUUCACGUAGCUGUACUCGCUUCCUUCACCGAGGUGAAUCUUCUUGAUGGUUCCGACGCCUCCGUCACCUUGAACGAUUUCGGCACUCUUCACUGCCUGUGGGGCAAUCUUGGGGAUGAGGUUGUCAGCAUCGAGAACAAAUGCCUUGUAGAGUCUUGGUGGUGGGAUGACGGAGGUGAACUCGGUUUCGUAUGUGAACACACCCAUGUUGAUGAUAUGAGAACUUAGAAAUUGAUCAAAGAACUGAAGUGCAGAAGAAAGAUGAUGAGAGAACUGGUAUUGGUGUGAGUAAAAUGAGAGAGCCGGGUUGGAGGUGGUAUUUAUAGUGGAGGAUGAAGCUCACUGCUGUUGUAGAUCAAACAGUUUAGACAAGUGAAACUUUCAAAGAGUACAUAUUAAUUUCGGUGUGAAAUGAGUUUCAUUCAAUUCAAUGAAUUGUUGUUUAAACUUGAAAGUCUAAGAAGCUAGCCGUCUUCCGUAGUACGUUGAUUUGAGGUCGACUGAGAAAAACCAAAUUGAAGUAUGAGUAGGAACUUGUACUUAACGAUAUACAUAAUCCUAAUGUGGAAAAUCAGCAUUGAUCCGUUUCAACAUUAUAUUACAUCAAUUCUAAAUCAAAACAUCACUUCCCCAUCAAGAUUGCAGACAAUGGGCAAAGAACCCAACAAAAUAAAAAAUGUAAUAGCUAGCCAAUGUUGACCGGAUCGGCUAUGCCAUUGUUGAUGCUGACUGCAAAUAAAGCUAUAUAUUGAAAAUUCAAAAAUGGUGUAGAAGAAGACCAUCUAGAACCAGACCCAUUUUUGGUCAUCUAAUACUACUAUACCAUCCAUAUACCAGGUGACUAGAUAAGGGUAGCGUACAUAGCUUUCUCUUACCUUCCAGACUAUGCCAUUUGAUUUUCUGGUAGUAGAGUAUCGGUAAAUCAAUUCUGCAGUACAUUAGUUUAAGUUACUGCUCGUAGUAAGGAGAAGUUGUUUACCAUUUCAGAAGUUGGUUUCUUAUUGUAUCGAGCUAAUUUAUAUAUACAACAUUAGUUUAUCGAGCUAAUUUUCACUUUUGUUAGUCUGGCUUUACGUCAUGUUGUUCAUUUGUUUUUUGUUGAUUAAGGAGUGGUAUAUGUUCAGCCACACUCCUCUGUUUAUUCAUGCGGAAAAAAAAAAAAAAAAAACCUUUGUGAUGACAAAAUUUUAUUACCUUCGGGCUAGGAUAUGCAGAAACUGUAGUUGUUUCAGACCAAUUUAAGAGCCAAAGUUCUGUGAAAUUCUAAGCAGUGUGAACUUCCGGGGCUGAAUUUCUCGAUAGGAAAUAGGGCUUUAUAAACACUUCUUGUCGUGGUAAUCGUCUUGUACCCAGAUGUUAGUUAGGUUCAUCAAUUCAUGCGGGUCAUAGUCAAUGAUAUGGUCUUCUAGUCGCUCUGUUUCUUGUUGUUUUUUCUUUUCGUCAGCAGUUAAGUUUGUUGUCAUCUUCUAGUUGGUUGUAUUCUUUUAUCCUUCUCUAGAUAAAUCAUAACAAAGGCAUGUAACCAGUUUCUCUGUUUUUUUGACAUAAUUUUUGUAUUGUCAUCACUCAUCACUUAGCACACUAUGUUCUGCAGGAACAAAUAUAUCCUGGAGUUCUUAACAAAUCUAGUUUACAAAGUAGAACCGGCUCUGUAGAAUUCUCAAUUUGUAGAUCAGUUCAGUAUUCAGAUUCAAAGAACUGGCAAAACAGUAACUCUUACUUACCAAAUGAUAUUUCGUUUAUUUAUUUAGAAUCAAAUCCACCAUUAUUGCAUUACAAUUUGCCACACAUAAACCGAAGUGCAAGCCAAAACAAACUCAGACAAGAAGAGGAAAAAAUAGCAAAGCCACACCAAUGACAGAAUCAAAGAGCAGGACACAACACUAUUAUUGUCCAUAGUAGCGCUCAAUACUACUACCAUAGAGACAGCAAGGUUUAGUUGUAUUCCUCGGGGUGGGCCAAAAGGUAGCUCUCGACGAGCUUGAACAGACCAGCGGCUCUUUCUUUUCCGGCCUUGACGUGCUCCUCCUUGAUCUCAACCUCACCCUUGCAAUGGUAGUGGCUGGUGCUCUUGAUGAUGGAUCCUCCCUCGGAUGCAAUCAACUUAAUCUCAUAGGAGAUCUUCUCGACCUUGUCUCCGAUGGCAUCUCCCUCAAUGAUACUGUAGUUGUACACAUAGUUGUCCUUGUCAAGUCCAUCGAUCUUGUGCUUUACGUAGCUGUAUUCACUUCCUGCAUAAAAUGAGUUCAUGAAUUAGAUGGAUGGUUACAAAAACUUGAGACACUUUUUUUCUUUGUAAUGUACAUAUGAGCAAAAAUAUAACAAGGCUGUAGAAAUUGAAGUCAAUGAUGCAAAUUGAACUAACCUUCACCAAGGUGGAUCUUCUUGAUGGUUCCAACUCCUCCAUCACCUUCACAAAUUUCAGCACUCUUCACUGCCUGAGGGGCAAUCUUGGGGAUGAGGUUGUCGGCAUCAAGGACGAAAGCCUUGUACAAUUUGGCUGGUGGGAUGACUGAGGUGAACUCGGUUUCAUAUGUGAACACACCCAUGACGACGAUUAAAGAGCUAAAAGGGAAAUGAUCAGAGAAAGAAUGAAUUGUGGAGGAGGCUAAGAGUGAAUAUAUUGGUAUUGGUGUGAGGAAGUGUGAGGGUUGGAGGUGGUAUUUAUAGAUAGCUAGAGAGGCUGAAGCACACCCUGCAGAUCAAGGCUUGAAUUUAAACAAGGGACUUUUCAAAGAAUUCUUAUGUGGAUGUGAAAUGGACGUUCAAAUUUUCAAUUCUAUGGAUCAUUGUUUUAGUCUAGGAAGCCGGCUUCAAUUGUUGAUUUGUGAAAGCAAUUUGUCAUCUAAUAUUUAUCAUACUAUUAUAUAGAAGACUUUGAACUAAAAGUACUUGGACUUGAUAACAGAUAUGUAAUCCCAACAUGGAAAAUGACUAUCUUUAACUCUGCCACAGCUAGAUUAUGUAAUUCUAUACUUGGACACAAAUAAAUCAGCAGGUGUAGUCAUAUAUAUUAUGUUACAGACUGAUAAAAGUCUUUCAGAAGCAAAUUUGCCUAGUAUAGAGGACUCUUGGUUUGGCGAAGACAAUGAUACAUAUUCCUGUCGCAAGCAAAAUAAGAUGCACAUUGACAAGGAUAAAUAUCAAGGCGGUCCUAGCUAGUUCUGUGAACCUUCUCUCCAAGUUCAUAAUAAUCAUUGGUCCGCUUAAUAAUUGAGUUUUACUUUAGAUAUAUGCUGAUCUGUAUUGCCUGAACAUGUUCUGAUAAACAUUGAAGGCUUUACUAAAUAAGGUAUGAUCAGUUUGUCGUCGGAUAAACAAUGACGAAAUUCAACACCAGUCAAUAAAAAAAAAGAUGUCAUCUGUAAGGUACUGAUACUGGUUUUAAAAAAAAUGGGGUGAAUCAUGAUCAGAAAAAUUUACUUCUGCACUUGAAAUAAAUCAUUCCAGUACAAAUUAAAUCACUAUCUUUGGCAUACAUGAGAAGAUUUCUUGAACAAAUUUCUCUGUUCCCUGCUAACAUAGGGUCUCAGGGAGACAUUUCCAACCUCACUACGUCCUUUCAGUAUGGUUGUGAACUGGAUUUUUGCAAGUCAAUUCAGGCCAAAACAAAAGUAGGUGCAGCAUCAAGACAAUAAGGUCAGUCUUAAACCAAAGAAAAAUGAAAUAGCCAAUCUUGACUGGCAUCUAGUUUCAGUAACCUGCCAAUGAAGCUAGCUCUUGAUAAUAAGACCAUCUAGAAGCUUUAAAAAAAAAAAAAAAGACCAUCUAGAAGCCAACACUCUUUUUCCUAAUACAAGUGGGGUUUCAGAUAGGGUGCUUUCUUUGACCGUCUUGGCCAAUACAAAAGAGUAGUACGAUUUAUACCUACAAGGACACUUAUCAGUCAUACUCAUACCAGCUAGGAAGCUAUAGGUGACCUUCAAGGCUUCAACCUUGUAUCUUGUCUAAUCACUCUAUAAAUAUCAGUGAUAGCAUUCUAUUUUCUCACAACUCAAAGCAUUACUCUUUCUUUGAUCAUCUUUCCAGUUUCAAGCAACCUAAAAACUGAAAAUGGGUGUGUUCACUUAUGAAACCGAGUUUACAUCUGUCAUCCCACCACCAAGAUUGUUCAAGGCUUUCAUCCUUGAUGCCGAUAACCUCAUCCCAAAGAUUGCUCCACAAGCAGUUAAGUGUGCUGAAAUCAUUGAAGGAGAUGGAGGCGUAGGCACCAUCAAGAAGAUCACCUUCGGUGAAGGCAGCCAGUUCGGCUCAGUGACCCACAAGAUCGAUGGGAUUGACAAAGAGAACUUUGUGUACAGCUACAGUUUGGUCGAAGGAGAUGCCUUGUCCGACAAGAUUGAGAAGAUCUCUUACGUGACCAAAUUGGUGGCGUCUUCCGAUGGAGGAUCCAUCAUCAAGAGCACCAGUAACUACCACACCAAAGGUGACGUGGAGAUCAAGGAAGAGCAUGUUAAGGCCGGAAAAGAGAAGGCGUCCCACCUCUUCAAGCUUGUUGAAGGCUACCUCUUGGCCAAUCCUAAUGAAUACUGUUAAACUUGAUUGUUAUCUGUCACUUUUCCCUUUGUUUUGCUGAUGUUCCAGUUGGAACAUUAGGAAAUUGAAUGCUGUAAUGUUUUCUAUUGAAUAAACAAUCUGUAAUCACAAUUUGCAUUACAUUGUUCAAUUUCUCCCUACUAAUUAAGCUAAACUAUCAAAUUGCUGCUAUAAAAAUAUAUCCACACAGAUGGUCAAGAAACAUCCUAAGAAGGUGGUUCACCUAUCAUUAUUCAAAACAAGAAAUGUCACAAUAUAUAGCCUCUUUGUUUCAGAAAUGAGUCGUUGAGACUUCGGAGUAUUUAGGCCGGUUAGUGAUAGAGGUUGCACUGGUAAAACUCUAAACAGUGACGGCAAACUUGUUCUCCAAACAAUUUGCUGAAAAGUUGAACUCAUUAUCAGUAUAAGUCUUUGAUAAUGACUGAUUGUUGUAGUGAUUGAGUCUUUCUUUCCUUACCUUUCUAUAAAGAAUCGGCCUUUCCCAAUCAAAAUAAUUAUGAUAUUAUGAAAAAAAAAACUGUUUCAUGUCCACAUCUACGACAGAUUAACCAACUGUAAUAGAACAAUACUGUUAUGUUAUGUUAAAAAUAAUUCACAAUUACUGAAGACUUUGGACAGUCACUAACCAGAUAACUCUCUACCAGAUCAUAUACUCCACUUCAUUCAGGGUCCAAUUGACUCCCCGUCGUGCUGGUAUUUGUGUCCCUUUCAUCAUGAUUUUCUUGGAAAGACUGGAACUACUCAAAUAAAGUUCUCACGUUGGUUAAAAAUGCAAUGAAUGGAACAUUUCUAACCAAUCAGUCUGCACGCAGAAAUAGCUAUUGGAUUUCUUACAGCGACAGACUUACAUGCCAAGCAUCGAAAAAUAGAAGGUAAAAAACUCUGCACGCUGUAUUAGUAUAAAGAGGAACAUACGUUUUAUUCUUUACUUUUUAAACGAAAUCCAAUGUGACAUUACAAUUUACCAUAACUCGAAGUGCAAGCCAAAACAAUCCCAGGCUUGGUAGGAAAGGAAAGGGAAAAAAUAUCAAAGCGACACCAAAUGACAAAACAAACAGGACACAACAGAAUAUUAUAAUGCAGUAGCAUUAUCAUAGUUCGAUUUAGUUGUAGGCCUCGGGGUUGGCCAAAAGAUGGUUCUCAAUGAUCUUGAACAAACCAGCGGCCCUUUCUUUUCCGGCCUUGACAUGCUCUUCCUUGAUCUCAACCUCACCCUUGCAAUGGUAGUGGCUUGUGCUCUUGAUGAUGGAGCCUCCACUUGGAGAUGCCACCAACUUGAUCUCGUACGAGAUUUUCUCAACCUUGUCUCCAAUAGCAUCACCUUCAAUGAUGCUGUAGUUGUAAACAAAGUUGUCUUUGUCAAGUCCAUCAAUCUGGUGUUUCACGUAGCUGUACUCGCUUCCUUCACCGAGGUGAAUCUUCUUGAUGGUUCCUACACCUCCAUCACCUUGAACGAUUUCGGCACUCUUCACAGCCUGUGGCGCAAUCUUGGGGAUGAGGUUAUCAGCAUCAAGAACAAAGGCCUUGUAGAGUCUUGGUGGUGGGAUGACAGAGGUGAACUCGGUUUCAUAAGUGAACACACCCAUGAUGAGGAAUAAAAAGCUUAAAAUGAGGAGAUUGAAAUGUGGAAGAAGCUAAGAGAAUAUUGAUA
RNAcentral lists this long non-coding RNA (124210 nucleotides) under Fragaria vesca (wild strawberry). Its description in RNAcentral is "long non-coding RNA (FVES_LNC001884)". The stretch from base 70203 to 70451 matches the Rfam family "RNase MRP". Lineage: Eukaryota; Viridiplantae; Streptophyta; Magnoliopsida; Rosales; Rosaceae. The record is from RNAcentral.